Molecule: long non-coding RNA, 119656 nt
Filed under: Vitis vinifera (wine grape)
Lineage: Eukaryota; Viridiplantae; Streptophyta; Magnoliopsida; Vitales; Vitaceae
Description: long non-coding RNA (VVIN_LNC000937)
Source: RNAcentral
CCAUAUGCAACUUGAUCAUGCAUGGAUGCUUUUACUAUCUUGUUUAUAUAUGCCGACUUAGCCAUUAUAUAUAUCCAUCAAUUGAUUUCACUUCUUCAUACCAACGUACAGCUUAGCCUGCGGUUCACAGCUUCUAUGGAGCUUCAUCUUCUUCCCAUUCUAACCUGCCUCUCUGUGAGACUUCACUUUUACCUUUAUUUUGUUUUUAUUUUUCUAACAUAACCCAUUACAUGACAAGGGCAAUGCUAGUUAUAUUAUUUUGCAGAAAAUGGUACUUACAUAAAAUUCUCUUUAAAAAUGAACAUUUAUAAUCCAAAUUUUAAGUCUUACUGUUCUAAAUUGUCUUUGUUACGUGGGUUUUCUGAUUUCUCCUAAUCUCCUUACUAUAUAUUAUGCAUGAACUUGUGGCAGCUGCUGGUGGUUGUAAACAAUGCUUCUCUACCUUCUGAGGUCUACUGGAAGUUGGCUUUGCCGUAUACUCGGAUGCCCAAAGUCGUGCGAGAUCUCUUGCAGCUGAGUUAGUUUCAAUGAAUCCCUAACUCAUAUGCAAAUUUUUUUUUUUGUUCUUUUUUGAAAUUUGGUGAAGAAAAUAAUUUACUGUUGAAUAUUAGUUAGGCAACUGAUUCUUAAUUAGCCACCUUGGCAUAAUUGUAAUAGCUAGUAAGGGGAUAUUAUUCAUAUACGUUUCAAUGAGUUUGCAGACUCAAUGGAAGGUGGAAGUUCAAUCAAUGUGAGCAAGGUUAUACUAAAUGCCAUCCCAGCGGAUGUCUUUAUCAAAUACCAAAACCCAUCGGCUGCUGACACCCCCACUGAAGACCAACCUCCAGAAAAGGUUACUUCUUGGAAAAAGACCUGCAUUCCACCACAAAAAUGAAGAUGCACUUUAGAAAAACUACAAAUGAAGCCACUUUGUUACCCCGUCAAGUGGCCGACUCCAUACCCUUUUCAUCUGACAAGUUCCCAGAAAUUCUAAAUCGGUUUUCACUUAAACAAGAGUCCAAGGAAGCUGAAAUAAUGAAGAAAACGAUACAAGAUUGCGAACAACCAGCCCUGGAAGGAGAUUCCAGGUUUUGUGCCACAUCCUUGGAAUCCUUAAUUGAUUUAAGCAUUUCAAAGCUUGGAAAAAACAUCAAACUAAUCUCAAAUGGAGUUGAAAUGGGAAGCCAAGAAUACGAACUCGGAGUGGGAGUGAAGGUGGUUGCAGACAAAUCAGUGGUGUGCCAUAAGCAGAAGUAUCCAUACGCUGUGUUUUACUGCCAUGCAAUCCAUAAGACGAGGGUUUACACACUUCCAUUUGUGGGAACCGAGGAUGGAACCAAAGCUGAGGUUGUGGCUUCUUGCCAUAUAGAUAUGUCGGCUUGGAACCCGAAGCAUGCGACCUUUCAAGUGCUGAAAGUUAAACCAGGAACUGUCCCUGUUUGCCACUUCCUUCCUCGUGAUGAUCUCAUCUAGGUUCCUAAAUAACUAGAAAUCUGAAAGAAAAAAAAAAGCCUCAAGCCCAAUCGCAUAAGUCGAUCUUGUAUUUUCUAAUAUCCAUAUCUGAUGUGCUUUGAAUAAGUGUUGGUUAGAGGAAUGUAUGUAUGUCUAUGGGUACUAUUUGCAAUGUAAUUCGGGUUAUGCCAUGACCAUCUUCUUGGUUUUUAUCCAUGUUUUCAUAACUGGACUGGUCAUUGAACGUGAAAAAUUAUCAGUUUAUGGUUCACCGGUUGGACUGGUGGUCGAACCGCGGUUGAACCAGUGGUUGAACCGAUAACGUCAUAAAUAUGUAAUUUAUAUAUUAUUAAAUUUUAAAAUAAUUAUAAAAAAUUUAAAAUAUAUAUGAAUAAAUUAAAAAUCAAUAAUAUUAUUUUAUAUACUUGAUAUUAUCGAAUUAAAUCAUAUUAAUAUUUUAAAUUUUAUUAAAUGAAAUAUGUCUAAUAUUUAAAUGUGAAUAUAUUAAAAUGAAAAUUUAAACUAAUUUUAUAAUUUUUAAAAAUAUUAUAUUAUUUUUAUUUAAUAUUAUAAAAAAAAAUUUUAAAUCCAAUAUAUAUUGUUUUGUUUGGCAUAUUAGAUAACAAAUUGCGUGUAGCCGAGUGGUGUCUUAGCAAUCCCACAUCGGAUUCUUAGAGAAAUAAGGGUGCAAAGGAUGCCUAUAAAAGCUAUCCUCAUUGAAGGCCAAGACAUCAUCCCAUCUUGUGGGCUCAAGACUCGGCCACUUAAUGGUUGGGGUGGGUAUGGGCUUUGUCAUAAUAAGACAUGGCCCAACAUGGUUUUUUGCCAAAAGUUUUUAUACAAUGGGGUCCUCAUGCUUACAAAAUGAGGGGGCAACUUGUACCGUUUAGUUUGUUUAGAAUUAUUUGGUUCCACUGGUUCACUGGUCCGACUGUCGGUUCAAUACUUAAACGGUUUAAUAGGGUAAAUCGGUCAAUAGUUGAAUUAGUUGGAUCGACUGGUCCGAUCUGGUUUACACAUCAUUGGUUAAAACAUGUAAAAGUAUCUAAAAUUGUGCCUUAAAAGCCAACAAUACUUCAUGGGUAGCUUGACCAUAUCUUUUGCCCUUUGUGAAUUAAUUUAAUGAAGAAGAAUUUUUGGUUAAAAGGGUUAAAAUAAGUUUGAAAUCGAAAAAAUGACCCAUUUGAAAUAUUUUUAUCAUUUUUUAAACCCUUUAAAACAUUAUUUCUCUCACUUUUUGCUCAUUUUCCUUAUGUUUUUGUCACCUCCUUUUCCAAUGAAGCUCACAUCCUAGAUAAUUAGAAAAAGAAGGAAAGGGUCGGAUAAAAUAGAUAUUAUAUCUAUAUUCUUAUUCAAAUUAAUAAAAUUUUAAUUUGACUACAUAAGUUUUUCUUCAAAAGAAAUUGAUACGUAUAUAUAUAAGUAUGAUUGGUUAAACUAUAUUAAAAACCUUACAUAUCAUUUUUAUCUUUAUGUUAUUACACUAACAAGGGCGAUCCUACUUAGCUUCCACUAACAUAAUAAAUUAAUGAAGGCUCUCUCUGAAUCACGCAAACCUGAUAUUUUCUAUUCUUGUAUGAUUGGUAUUUGUUUCUCGAGAAACUGGUACUGUUUUCUUGGUCUUUUUUUUUUUUUUUUUUUUGUGCUCCAAAUUAAUUUAAAAGAAUGUUUUGGAUUAGCAGUUCCCUACCUUUAGACCCUUGUUGGUAAAUGAAACGUAACUGAUAUUCUCUUUGUAAUUCAGCAUGUAUGAAAUGAAAAACCUUUCAUAUUUCAUAUCUUCUCAUAAAAACACAAAUUUUAUCUCAUCAAGGGAAAUAGUUGAGAAUUUAAGUUGGUACUUUUUCUCAUUUUUAUACUUUCUUGGUUAUGUUUGAUUUUUGAAAAAUUUGAGGAAAAAUAUAAUGAAAAGAAAAAAGAAAAUAGAAAAGAAAAGUGGAAGAGAAAGAUGAAACCAAAUAAAAAAUAAAUUUAAAAUUAAUAAAAUAUUUUUAUACGCUUUUUGAAAUUUAUUUUACUUAUUUUCCUUUAUCAUAUAAAUAUUAAAUAAUUUAAAAUUACAUAAAUUUGUAAUUAAUUUUUAUUUUAUAUAGAUGCAUUUUCAAUUUUUUUUUUUACAAUAAAACCAAAGAUGAGAAAACCAUCUUCUUUAAAAUAUUUUCUUUGGUUAAUAUUUUUUUUUAGGAGCCAAAAAUAGCUUAAAUGAUUAUUGUCACACUGACACGAGUAAGUGAAAAAAUCUUGUAGACAAAAUUAAAUACAGAGAAAUAAUUUGGCGAGCCGACUUGCCUUCAGUAGGAAUGGCAAUUUCACGGGUAUUUCAGGUCACCCGCCCCGCCCCGCUCCGAUUAGAACGGGUAUGGGAGCAUAAAAAUCGGGGAUGAGACGGGUUCAGGUUUUAAAAAAAAACCCGAAUCGGGUUCGGGGCGGGAUUGGGUUUAGUAACAAUAUGCCCCGCCCCACCCCGAAUAUGAAUUUACAAGUUUACCCCCACCUAUAAAUAUUUGCUUCCUAUCCUUUUUGAUCUUCCUCUCUCGUUUUCUCUCCCGUUUUAGGUUUUUUUUCUCUCGUUCCUGGGGUUGUUGAUGAGAGAACACAAGUGAUGAUGGAGACGGAGCUGUCCCGAAUCACCUGAGACGACCUCAUCAUACUAGAUUGCCUCGACCCCUUUCUGUACCAGUUUCCAGUGUGAAGAAAUGGCUUCCGCAAAUCCCUCCCAUCCUCGUUCUCGUCCCUAAAACUCAUCCCUAAUCUGCAAUCAGCAACUCAAGUGUUCGUCAAAAUGCUAAAAGAUGGUGUGUUUUGGACAGUUGGAGUACUCAAUGCAGAAAUCCAUCAGAUAAUCCACCCGAAACUGCCAUUUUCUCCAUGGGAAUCGUUUUAGAUAUUUUUUUUUGGAAUUUUGAUUUUUUGGUUUUGGGUGUUUUUUUGUCAGUUUCUGGGCAAAAGAUGAGAGAUUUGAAUGUUGAUUUGUUUGGUUUGGGGUGUUUUUUUUGUCAAUUUCUGGGCAAAAGAUGAGAAAUUUGUUGGUGAAAUUUGGGAUUGUCCAGAUUUGUAAUCUGGUGGCAACAAGGUGGUCUUUUUGCUAAUUUGUUUUCCUCAUUUCAGCAGUCUGUAACUCAUUGUUUUCACCUGUUUUUGGGCAACCCGGGUCGGAACGGCCGGGGAUGGAAUUUUGAUUAUUAUUUCAAAACGGGGAUGAGAUUACAUACCCCGCCCCGCCCCGGGUUUGGGACGGGGAUGAGAUUUGUUUUGAAUAAACGGGACGGGGUUGGGAUGAGGGCGACCCGUCCCGAACCCGUCCCGUUGCCAUUCCUAGCCUUCAGAACCAUUGUAUCUUCUUCUACAACAAUAGUUGCCAAUUGCCAACUGGGCAUCAAAACCAUUGAAUCUUCUUUUAUAACACAUGUUUGUAGGAUGAGUCAUUAUCAAGGGUGUCGUCCUGCUAAGAAAACAAAACAAAAAAGAUGAUAUAUUCCCAUUUGGUGUGUGUUCAUAUAUGGAUUUUAUAUCCUUUUGGGUGUACCCCACUUCUGCAUCAAACCCAGGCUUGUUUGCUCGUAUAUAUGUAUAUCUUUUUUGGAAUCAUAUAUAGCCACAUAGCCUUAAGAUAUUUAUUUUUAAUUAUUAAUUAAUUAUUCUGGAAAAUAAGUGAUGGUGCCUUAGUAAUGAAUUACUUAAAAAAAAAUUGUAAUAAUUAUUUAAAAAUUAUAAUUAUUUUUUGUUUUUAGAAUAUCUAAAAAAUAUUUUCUUAUAUUUGAUUUUUAAAUAAAAUAAAUAAAUUAUCCUAGAUUUUUUUUAAUUGUUUUUUCAAAGUAAAUAGACUAGAAAUGAAUCAUUGAACCGACCAAUCACUUCAUCAAUGAUGACCAAUCACUUCAUCAAUGAUGAGUGCCAGCAUGGCCAUGAAAUCAAUUCUUGGCGCCGUCGGAUAUAGACAAUGGUGAUACUUAAUUUAAUUUGUUUGGCUUAUCACUUUUGCUAGUUUUUGUCCAUUCUCAUUUUGUAUUUUUUUUCCUAAUUAAAUUAAACUGUGAAUAAUAAUAAAAACAUUUUAAAAAUUACUUAUUAAAUUUUACAUAUAUUUGAUGACUAAGAUAUAAAUUUAACAAAAUUGGGGGAAAAUAGCCAUUAAAGAAUUAUUUGAAAUAGAUUUUUUUUUUCAAAUUUUUUUAUUAAAUAAAAUGUUAUUGAAAUCAUUGCAAAAAUACUUUUCAUUUAUAUCAAAUAUUAUUAUUAUUUUUGAAUACUAUAAUAUUGUAUGAAAAUGAUGUACUCCAAUAGCCGAAUGUGGUGUGUUGAAAGUCCAAUGUGAUGCCUUAAUAUAUGUUUCUUCUUCCGGUCAAGAUUUUAUCCUUCUACUCGUCAAGUUUCAAUUCUUUUCAAACAACUUUUUUCUUUCCCUUUGGAUUUAUAUCAAAAUAUCAAUUAAUUUUUCUUGAGAAUGAUAUUUGAUUUUACAGAAAUCACUUUCAUAGAGCUUUUAUUUCACAUGCGAUCUUAGAAGAUGUUAAAGCAUGCGUCAAUAAUCGUACAUGGUUUGGACUGAUGUUAUUAAUAAUACGAUGUUAUAUAAGAAUGUAAUAUAACGGAGGAUUGAGAGGUAUAAACAAGCGGAACAGUGCUAAUCGACAAAGGAAUAAAUCCCCACAUUUAUAAAGUAUAUAAAUCUUUGGCUAUGUUUGGUUCUCGGAAAAUUUGAAGGAAACUGCAAAGGAAAGAAAAUAGAGAGGAAAAAUAAAAUAAAAUAAAAAAACGAAUGAAAAUAAAAAAUAGAGUUAAAGAUGAUAAAUUAUUUUUAAUUGCUAUUUCAAACUUAUUUUAUUUAUUUUAACUCAUCAAUAUAAAGAUUAAAUACUUUUAAAAUGCAUAAGUUUCUAACUAAUUUUCAUUAUAUUUAAUUUUCUUUGAAAUAUUUUAUAGGACAACCAAACAUAAGAAAAUCAUUUUCCUUAAUAUUUUUUUUUUCCAGGAAUCAAACAUAACCUUCAAGAAUAUGGUAAUCAAAGUAAUGAUAAAAAGUUAUAAUAAAAAGUUCUUAUUGUUUUUACGAUUGAUAUUACAUACAUAAUUUUUAUUCUCUUUAACAAAACCCUAAAUUAUAAGAAGAUAGAGAUACACUAAGGAUAAAUUCGUCAUUAAUAUUUUUUAUUCAAAAGACAUCCCGAACUAUGGAAAGUGACCAUCUCCUUCUUUGCAUUUAUUUUUAUGUCCUAUUUAUUUUAUCUAUAAGCUUGUUAGGUGAAAAUUAGUUGUAAAAAUUAAAUUAAUUCUUUUUAAUUUUUUUUUAUCUCAUCUUAAUAAAAUAUACUAUAAUUUUUAAUAAAAUUAAAGAUUAAAUCAAGAAAAGAAAUGUUAAUAAAAAUGAUUUUAUCAUGUUUGAUUUAUUUAAAAAAAAUAUAAAAAAAUAUUUUUAUUUUAAAAUUAAUAAAAUAAAUAUUUUUUUAAAUUUAAAUGAACUGUGUAUCUAAAAAUUAUUUAUAAAUUUAUAAUAUAAAGUUACUUGAAGAAAACAUUUUAUUAAUUGGAAAAGAAAAAAACAACAUCUUCCAAACAUGUUUUUUGUUUUACUUGUUCUAAAAAACUUUUUUAUUAACUCAAGAAAACAUGUUUUUUUUUUUUUUGAGAACAAAACUGUUUUCCAAAAUUCAGUUCCCAAACACAAUUUUUUUUUAAAAAACAUAAAAAACUAUUCUUAAAAAUUGUUUUAUAUAACAGUUUUAAAAAACAACAACCAAAUAGACCCUUAAUUUCAAUAAUUUAAGGAAAAAGAAAGGGUUUGUAGGUGGGGGUGUGGUGGUUGGGUGGAGCUUACCUUUGUGAAAACACAAAAAACAGCUAAUAAAAAAAAACAAGAAAAAUAAUUUAUUCUUUGAAUAUUGAAAAAAUAUUGAAAACAACUUUUUAUUGUUCUAAAAAAAGUAGUUUUUAAGAACACGGAAAACAUAAUAAAACAAAAACACACCCCCUUCCUCAAAUAAGUUUUUUGUAUUUUUUGUUUUUAAGAACAGAAAACAGUUCUUGAAAACAAGAACCAUUAAAAUGGAUAAAAAGAAAUGAGAGGGAAAAAAUGCUUUUGAAGGAAAAUAAAAUAGAAGGGUAAACUUUUUCAAAUAUAAUCAAAAUUAAUGAAAUCUAUCAAGGAGUAUAAGAAUUAUAUAUGGAGAGAGAGAAAAGGAAAACAUACAUAAAUUUGUAUUAAGAAUUUAAGAGUGAAGAGAAGGUGGGGAUAAUGGAGACGGAAAGAUGGACAAAUCAAGAAUUUGUAACCAAUUUUACUUAUCCAUAAAUUGAGAAUGACAUAUUCCCUUUUGGUGUGUGUUCAUAUAUGGAUUUUAUAUCCUUUUGGGUGUACCCCACUUCUGCAUCAAACCCAGGCUUGUCUGACCGUUCAUAUGUAUACCUUUUUUGGAGUCAAAUACAGCCACAUAGCCUUAAGAUAUUUAUUUUUAAUUAUUAAUUAAUUAAUUGUUUAUUUAUUUAUUUAUUUAUUCUGAAAAAUAAGUGACGGUGCCUUUCAUGUCAUCCAUUAUUGUGAUCACAAUUUUUCUUGCAUCUUUAACAAAUAUUUUUUUAAUCAAAAUAUUUGUAAACAUGUUAGUAAUGAAUUACUUAAAAAUAAAUAAAUAUUGUAAUAAUUAUUUAAAAAUUAUAAUUAUUUUUUGUGUUUAGAGUAUUUGAAAAAAUAAUUUUCUUAUAAUUGAUUUUUAAAUAAAAUAAAUAAAUUAUCCUAGAUUUUUUUAUUUUAAUUGUUUUUUCAAAGUAAAUAGACUAGAAAUGAAUCAUUGAACCAAUUAUUGGUGCCGAUCAAUUCAUCAGUCUCACGUGGUGAUAAUUCAUGGGCAUGGGCAUGCAGGUUGCGGCGGCACUUGGUGAUAAUUUAAGGAAGGUGGCCCAUAUAGUCACUCUGCCAAUUGCCAACUUGCCAUCAAAGCCAUUGCAUCUUCUUUUAUUACAACAAAAAUAGAAAAACGUGAGUUGUUCGUAGGAUGAGUCAUUAUCAAGGGUUUCGUCUUGACAAGAAAACAAAAGAGACUAAAAAACAAAACAAAAAAGCUGAUGAUCAUCUUUGUAUUGCCGCUAUGGCACUAUUUCAGUAUCGAAAAGUACCACCCAAAUAAAAAUGAUAACAUGAUCAAGGUUCCAUGGCGUCUGAAGAUUUUCUCUUCCUCUACACUCGCUCGUUCUCACCAAAAUGGUACCAGUUCAAGCCCAAAUACAACUCCGAUAAUGUCGUCUCUGAAUCAAGCAUUCAUCAUCAGGCUUGAUCACUCAAAUUAUCUUCUAUUGUGUACUCAGAUGCUGAAUAUUGUAAUCGUUAAUUGACUCAAGGAGAUGAUCGAUGGCUCACAACCUUCUCCUCCAAUUUUUCUUGAGAAUUCUGAAAGUACAAACCCAGAUUUUCAGAUCUGGCAACGACAGUCGUUUUGUCAUGUGUUGGAUUUAUUCAUCUCUCAUUGAGAAUGUAAUGUCGCAAAUCAUCGAUCUCACUUCCGCUUCUGAAAUCUGGAGUGCUCUUGAAAAAUUCUUCUUUUGCUGCAUUAAUUGUAUUUAAUAUCUUAUUUAUUUUUUUUAUUUUUAAAAUUUUUUUUUUAUUUUUUUUUCUAUUUAAUUUUUUUAUUUGUAUUUUGUCUCAUUUUUUAAAUCAAUUUAUUUUUUAAUUAAUUAAUUAAUUAAUUAUUCUUGAAAAUAAGUGAUGGUGCCCUUCAUGUUACCCAUUAUUGUGAUUACAAGUUCUUGUGUCUUCAACCAAUAUUUUUUUAAUCAAAAUAUUUGUAAAAAUAUUAGUAAUGAAUUACUUAAAAAAUUAAAUAUUAUAAUAAUUAUUUAACUAUAUUUAUUUAUUUUUCUUUUUUUUUAUUUACUUUUCCUCUGUAUUUGAAAUAGUGUAUAAAAAAAAUGAAGUAUUCAACUUCAAUUUUUUUUUUUACUAUAUUAAGUUUAAAAAUUUUAAAAUCAAUUUAAAAUAUUUAAAAUAUAUAAUGUAUACUUUUUGUAUAAAAAGUUUUAAUUUUUAUGCAAAAUUUGAUUAAUUUAAAAAAAAAACAAAAAUAGGAAAUAUAUUCUAGGACACUUAUUUUGUUAAUUUUUAAAUAAAAAUAUAAACAUGGAAUUAUCGUCUAUAGAUUUUGUUAAUUUUAAUUUUUAAAUAGUCAACCUUUCACAUCUUAUGAUAAAAAUUUGUAAACAUAACGACGUAUUAUCACUCCUGGGUGAUCCUUUUUUAUAAUUCUCAGAGCCCAAGUCAAUAGAAAGAGACAAAACAGUGUUCACGUUUGUUUGUUAAUUUUUAAUUUUAAUUUUUUUGGGUGAUUGUGAAACAGAACUUUGGGCUAAAACUUUAAGCAAGUAGAGGUGACUUCCCUAAAGUGAAGUUUCCAAAAUAAGUAUGUGGUCCACCCCUAAAGUGAAGUUUCCAAAAUAAGUAUGUGGUCCACGUGUCAUUAAGGCUGACGUUGAUGGUGUCUGCCCACAUAUGGCGUCAUUUCUGACCCUUAAUUGUACUGGUUUUGGACCACCACGUUCACCUCCAGCCAUUGGAUCUCUAUCCCCCUUUUUCUUGGUCCCCCACCAUACUCGCCAUCCCCUAAUUUUUCUUGUCCUUUUUGUCCUUGACUGUGAAUACAGUGGUUAGUUUGGCUUUGAUUUGUUCAUUUUCUCGGAUGAGAAGUCAUCUUAAUUUGGGGGACGUUAAGCCCGAAGAUGUUUCAGAAGACACCUUGAAGGCCGUGGCUGAAAUUCUGAGAAAUUCUACUACCCUUAAGGUUUCUGAAGAUGGUGAGCUCUAUGUUUUCCACUCAUAGGUUCCUUUUUUUAAUCCAAAAUAGAAUUAAUGGACGAGUUUUCUGCUUGUCCAGUGGAUAUUUUUCCUUGAAGUUUUGAAGAUUUAUCAGCACUCUUAGUUGCUUUUAUGCUUGUUCUUUUCAUUGCCCCAAAAAAUUUUCUAUGUUCUCAUCGAUAAAAUCUAUGUAUUAUAAGGAACAUAAACAAUGGUGUAAAAGAGAAUGUACCCCUAUUUCUUAUUCUGUUAUGUUGGUGCUCAAUAUGUUUACACUUGUUUUUGGUGUUUCAGGGAAAAAGAUUGGCAGGGCUACUGAACUUUUAAAGCCAGAAGAGGUGGUAGAGCAAGUGAACAUAAGGACAAUUGCAGCAUCACCCCUAGAAUAUGAUGCAAAGCUUGAAGAUGUGGAGGCUUACUUUGGUCAAAUUGCCAAGGUAUUUGCUGCAUGCAUUGUUCUUUUUUAAUAAUAAACUAAUUUUUCUGGGCAUUAUUUGUUUCUUACUUUUAGAAUCUAUAUUUCGGCAUCCAUUAGUUUAUUUUAUUGGCUUGGGAUCUCCCUUGAGAUUUUGUAUUGCUAGGUGACAGUAUGGAGUUACUUUUUUUGAUGGAUAAAUUAAUUUGAGAUGAAAAUUGUAGCCUUCCUUGAAUGAUUGUCUAUUGUAAAAUCUCCACUAAUGCAAUCCUUAAAUGAACGACUAUGAACAGGGCUAGAUCCCUUUUUUGCUUUAUGUGCACUUGAAUAUUUGAAGGGGAAAAGACAAACAUUUUCUAUUCAACAAACUGAACAGUCUUUCCCCUGAGUUUCUCAAUGUGAAUCAGAUAUUUAACCGGUGUGUGAACCUGAGCAGAAGUGUUGAAAUAUUCUUAUUAUUUGGAGCAUUUGUAUUCAUGGUUUCAGAAAGUUGGGAUUUUAAUGACUCACCCCAAAAGACAGUUGGAAUUUUUUGUUUUCAAACUUGCAUUUGAACCAUCGGGAUGAAUAAAUGUAAUUGUAAAACCCAGCCUAAUCUAUCUCCCAUAUAAAAGAGAAUAGGUGAAGAUCAUGUGAACAUUAUUGCCAACUUUUAUACUGACUUAUUUUCUCUGAAAUUCUAUUUAUGGUACUCUGUGAAUUUAUCCAUAUUUCAGGUUAAUAGUGUUAGGCUGCCCCGUCAUGUUGCAGAGAAAAGGGUAUUUUGUGGUACGGCCCUAAUUCAAUACUCAACUGAGGAAGAUGCUGCGAAGGUUUUGCAGCAAAGCUUGGUUUAUGCUGGUGUUGAAUUGGAACUAAAACCAAAGUAAGUAGUGCUUGAGGCUGCAGGUUGAAAUAAAUGUGAUUCCAAUGCAAUAUGGAUGAAGAAAGCAUACAGUUUUGAAUGGGGAUGGCCAAUUAGUUAGUAUAUUUGAUUUAUCCUUUUUCUUUUUCUAAUAUCUAUGAAGUUCUACAUAGAGUGAAUGAAAGGCUUAUAACAAAAAUAAUGAGAUUUUUCUGGUUAUUUUAUAAUUCAAAAUUACGUACGUGUAUCAAUAGUUACUGUUUUUAAUAUUACAUGCUAGGAAAUAUUCAUAAUUUUUUAAUUUAUGCAACAUCUUUCUGCAACAUCUUUUACUGAUUCUUAUGGUCUCCUAUCAUAGAAUUAAACUGCAGGGAAACUGUCAUAUAUAUCAUCAAGAUUGUUCUUCAUAACCAUUAAUUUGCUUUAUUUCUUGAAAAAUAUUUGUCUAGAUUAACAUUUCUAACUUUUCUUUGUAAUUGCUGAACUUGCAAAUUCAACAGAAGGUCUAAUUUCUGUCGAUGCUUUGGCUCCCUCUUGUAUUGGUGUUCACGUCCAUUUCGAUAAAUUCUCUCAACCCGCCGGAGAAGAGGCUCAAGUAGAUGACUCAAAAAUAGGUAACUUCUUCUUGGAAACAGACCUGCAUCCAGGUAAAAAAAUGAAGCUGAACUUGGCCACAACUACAAAUGGAGCUGUUUUCUUGCCUCAUCAAGUUGCUGAAUCCAUGCCCUUUUCAUCCAACAAGCUACCCGAAAUCUUGAACCGGUUUUCCUGAAAGAAAAAUCCGCAGAAGCCGAAAUAGUAAAGAAGGAGCUAGAGGCCUGUGAGGAGCCUGCCAUGGAAGGAUAAGCCAGGUACUGUNNNNNNNNNNNNNNNNNNNNNNNNNNNNNNNNNNNNNNNNNNNNNNNNNNNNNNNNNNNNNNNNNNNNNNNNNNNNNNNNNNNNNNNNNNNNNNNNNNNNCAUUCACAUUCCUUCCAAGCUUUGAAGUGCUGAAAUGGAUUAGGGACUCUAAUGAUGUUGCACAGUACCUGGCUUCUCCUUCCAUGGCAGGCUCCUCACAGACCUCUAGCUCCUUCUUUAUUAUCUCAGCUUCUGCGGAUUUUUCUUUCAGGGAAAAUCGGUUCAAGAUUUUGGGUAGCUUGUUGGAUGAAAAGGGCAUGGAUUCAGCAACUUGACAGCCAGGAGUAUGAGUUUGGAGUGGGGAUGAAGAAGGUUGCAGACAAAUCAGUGGUGUGCCAUAAGAUGAACUACCCAUAUGCUGUUUUCUACUGCCAUACCUUCACUAAGACACGGACUUACAUGAUUCCAUUGGUGGGUGUUGAUGGAAGCAAAUCUAAAGCCAUGGCAGCUUGUCACAGUGAUACAUCAGCUUGGCACCCACAGCAUGUGGCCUUCCAAGUGCUCAAAAUUAAGCCAGGAACGGUCCCAGUCUGCCAUUUCCUUCACAACAAUGCCAUGGUCUGGAUUCCAAAGUAAGAAUCAGCCUCAAGCCUCAAGCCCAGUUGCAUUAUCAGUUCCAUCUUAAAGCUGUUUGUAGUAUGAAUGGUUAGAAUAAAAAAUUAAAUAAAAAAAAACUUUAUUAAAUAAAUAAACUUUAGUUAUUUUAUUUUUAAUUAUAUUAAUUUAUUAAUUAAAAUAUAGACGCCCGGUUUCAUCAUAUUAAAAUAUAUUGGUAUGAUAUUUUAUUAAUAAGGCCACUAAUUUUAUAAAUUAAAUAUGAUGAACAACAUUUUGAGAAUCAAAGAUGUGCCUCCAUUUGGAAAUUUCACACGAGAUUUUGGGCAUGUCACCUAUUUUAUUCCCAAAGGGUUGACUAAGAAAAACAGUAGAGCAUGUCACCUAAUCACACGAGCUUAGUGAUUUCGGGACCCUCUUCUGACAAUAAAUGAGCCACUAUUUCAUUUAAAAACCCAUAACAAAGUGAUUUUGGCCCGAUCCCCACUUCGGUUCACACAUUGGAACCCUUGGUACAUCCGUUACAAAAUUUGGUACAUCCUUCACAAAAUUUGGUACAUCCUUCAAAAAAUUUAGUACAUCCUUCAUUAAAUUUGGUACAUCCGAUCUGACAGAUUCCGAGGCCCCCAUUUCAACAUGGAUGGUCCAUAAUUACUUUUAGAAACCCAUAACAAAGUGAUUUUGGACCGAUCCCCACUUUGGUUCACACAUUGGAACCCUUGGUACAUCAUUUACAAAAUUUGGUACAUCCUUCACAAAAUUUGGUACAUCCUUUACAAAAUUUAGUACACCCUUCAUUAAAUUUGGUACAUCCGAUCUGACAGAUUCCGAGGCCCCCAUUUCAACAUGGAUAGUCCAUAAUUACUUUUAGAAACCCAUAACAAAGUGAUUUGGGGCCGAUCCCAACUUCGCAACGCAUUUUUAGACCCUUCGUACAUCCUUAACAAACUUUGGUACAUCUGAGUUUAGUGAUUCCGAGGCCCUAUUCUGACCAUGGAUGAGCCACUAUUUCAUUUAAAAACCCAUAACAAAGUGAUUUGGGCCCGAUCCCCACUUCGGUUCACACUUUGGAACCCUUGGUACAUCCUUUAUAAAUUUGGUACAUCCUUAAAAAAAUUUGGUACAUCCUUCAUUAAAUUUGGUACAUCUGAUCUGACAGAUUCCGAGACCCUCAUUUCAAAAUGGAUGGUCCAUAAUUGCUUUUAGAAACCCAUAACAAUGUGAUUUGGGGCCGAUCCCCACUUCGGAACGCAUUUUUAGACCCUUCGUACAUCCUUAACAAAAUUUGGUACAUCCGAGCUUAGUGAUUCCGGGACCCUCUUCUGACCAUGGAUGAGCCACUAUUUCAUUUAAAAACCCAUAACAAAGUGAUUUGGGCCCGAUCCCCAUUUCGGUUCACACUUUGGAACCCUUGGUACAUCCUUUAUAUAUUUGGUACAUCCUUCAAAAAAUUUGGUACAUCCUUCAUUAAAUUUGGUACAUCUGAUCUGACAGAUUCCGAGACCCUCAUUUCAAAAUGGAUGGUCCAUAAUUGCUUUUAGAAACCCAUAACAAUGUGAUUUGGGGCCGAUCCCCACUUCGGAACGCAUUUUUAGACCCUUCGUACAUCCUUAACAAAAUUUGGUACAUCCGAGCUUAGUGAUUGCGGGACCCUAUUCUGACCAUGGAUGAGCCAUUAUUUCAUUUAAAAACCCAUAACAAAGUGAUUUGGGCCCGAUCCCCACUUCGGUUCACACAUUGGAACCCUUGGUACAUCCUUUACAAAAUUUGGUACAUCCUUCACAAAAUUUGGUACAUCCUUCACAAAAUUUGAUACAUCCUUCAUUAAAUUUGGUACAUCCGAUCCGACAGAUUCUGAGGCCCCCAUUUUAACAUGGAUGGUCCAUAAUUACUUUUAGAAACCCAUAACAAAGUGAUUUGGGGCCGAUCCCCAAUUCGGAACGCAUUUUUAGACCCUUGGUACAUCCUUAACAAAAUUUGGUACAUCCGAGCUUAGUGAUUCCGGGACCCUCUUCUGACCAUGGAUGAGCCACUAUUUCAUUUAAAAACCCAUAACAAAGUGAUUUGGGCCCGAUCCCCACUUCGGUUCACACUUUGGAACCCUUGGUACAUCCUUUACAAAAUUUGGUACAUCCUUCACAAAAUUUGGUACAUCCUUCAUUAAAUUUGGUACAUCUGAUCCGACAGAUUCCGAGACCCCCAUUUCAAAAUGGAUGGUCCAUAAUUUCUUUUAGAAGCCCAUAAAAAAGUGAUUUGGGGCCGAUCCCCACUUCGGAACGCAUUUUUAGACCCUUCGUAUAUCCUUAACAAAAUUUGGUACAUCCGAGCUUAGUGAUUCCGGGACCCUCUUCUGACCAUGGAUGAGCCACUAUUUCAUUUAAAAACCCAUAACAAAGUGAUUUGGGCCCGAUCUCCACUUCGGUUCACACAUUGGAAUUACAAAAUUUGGCACAUCCUUCACAGAAUUAGGCACAUCCUUCACAAAAUUAGGUACAUCCUUCAUUAGAUUUGGUACAUCCGAUCCGACAGAUUCUGAGGCCCCCAUUUUAACGGUCCAUAAUUACUUUUAGAAACCCAUACCAAAGUGAUUUNNNNNNNNNNNNNNNNNNNNNNNNNNNNNNNNNNNNNNNNNNNNNNNNNNNNNNNNNNNNNNNNNNNNNNNNNNNNNNNNNNNNNNNNNNNNNNNNNNNNAUUCCGGGACCCUCUUCUGACCAUGGAUGAGCCACUAUUUCAUUUAAAAACCCAUAACAAAGUGAUUUGGGCCCGAUCUCCACUUCGGUUCACACAUUGGAAUUACAAAAUUUGGUACAUCCUUCACAAAAUUUGGUACAUCCUUCACAAAAUUUGGUACAUCCUUCAUUAAAUUUGGUACAUCCGAUCCGAAAGAUUCUGAGGCCCCCAUUUUAACAUGGAUGGUCCAUAAUUACUUUUAGAAACCCAUAACAAAGUGAUUUGGGGCCGAUCCCCAAUUCGGAACGCAUUUUUAGACCCUUGGUACAUCCUUAACAAAAUUUGGUACAUCCGAGCUUAGUGAUUCCAGGACCCUCUUCUGACCAUGGAUGAGCCACUAUUUCAUUUAAAAACCCAUAACAAAGUGAUUUGGGCCCGAUCCCCACUUCGGUUCACACUUUGGAACCCUUGGUACAUCCUUUACAAAAUUUGGUACAUCCUUCACAAAAUUUGGUACAUCCUUCAUUAAAUUUGGUACAUCUGAUCCGACAGAUUCCGAGACCCCCAUUUCAAAAUGGAUGGUCCAUAAUUGCUUUUAGAAGCCCAUAAAAAAGUGAUUUGGGGCCGAUCCCCACUUCGGAACGCAUUUUUAGACCCUUCGUAUAUCCUUAACAAAAUUUGGUACAUCCGAGCUUAGUGAUUCCGGGACCCUCUUCUGACCAUGGAUUAGCCACUAUUUCAUUUAAAAACCCAUAACAAAGUGAUUUGGGCCCGAUCUCCACUUCGGUUCACACAUUGGAAUUACAAAAUUUGGUACAUCCUUCACAAAAUUUGGUACAUCCUUCACAAAAUUUGGUACAUCCUUCAUUAAAUUUGGUACAUCCGAUCCGACAGAUUCUGAGGCCCCCAUUUUAACAUGGAUGGUCCAUAAUUACUUUUAGAAACCCAUAACAAAGUGAUUUGGGGCCGAUCCCCAAUUCGGAACGCAUUUUUAGACCCUUGGUACAUCCUUAACAAAAUUUGGUACAUCCCAGCUUAGUGAUUCCGGGACCCUCUUCUGACCAUGGAUGAGCCACUAUUUCAUUUAAAAACCCAUAACAAAGUGAUUUGGGCCCGAUCCCCACUUCGGUUCACACUUUGGAACCCUUGGUACAUCCUUUACAAAAUUUGGUACAUUCUUCACAAAAUUUGGUACAUCCUUCAUUAAAUUUGGUAUAUCCGAUCCGACAGAUUCCAAGACUCCCAUUUCAACAUGGAUGGUCCAUAAUUGCUUUUAGAAACCCUUAACAAAGUGAUUUAGGGCCGAUCCCCACUUCGCAACGCAUUUUUAGACCCUUCGUACAUCCUUAACAAAAUUUGGUAUAUCCGAGCUUAGUGAUUCCGGGACCCUCUUCUGCCCAUGGAUGAGCCACUAUUUCAUUUGAAAACCCAUAACAAAGUGAUUUGGGCCCGAUCCCCACUUCGGUUCACACUUUGGAACCCUUGGUACAUCCUUUACAAAAUUUGGUAAAGCCUUCACAAAAUUUGGUACAUCCUUCAUUAAAUUUGGUACAUCCGAUCCAACAGAUUCCGAGACCCCCAUUUCAACAUUGAUGGUCCAUAAUUUAUUUUAGAAACCCAUAACAAAGUGAUUGGGAGUCGAUCCUCACUUAGAAAUGCAUUUUCAGACUCUCGGUACAUUCUUCACAAAAGUUGGUACAUUCUUCAUUAAAUUUGGUGCAUCCGAGCCUAGUGAUUUCGGGACCCCCUUUUGACCAUGGGUGAGCCACUAUUUCAUUUAGAAACCCAUAACAAAGUGAUUUGGGGCUGAUCCCCACUUCGGUUCGCACUUUGGAACUCUUGGUACAUCCUUAACAAAAUUUGGUACAUUUUUAAUUAAAUUUGGUACAUCCUUCAUUAAAUAUGGUACAUCGGAUCCGAUAGAUUCCGAGACCCCCAUUUCAACAUGGAUGGACCAUAAUUGCUUUUAGAAACCCAUAACAAAAUGAUUGGGUGUCGAUCCCCACUUCGUGACUCAUUUUUGGACCUUUAGUACAUCUUUCAUUAAAUUUGGUGCAUCGGAGCUUAAUGAUUCUGGGACCUUCUUCUGACCAUGGAUGAGCCACUAUUUCAUUUAAAAACCCAUAACAAAGUGAUUUGGGUCUGAUCCCCACUUCGGUUCACACUUUGGAACCCUUGGUACAUCCUUUACAAAAUUUGGUAAAUCCUUCACAAAAUUUGGUACAUCCUUCAUUAAAUUUGGUACAUCCGAUCCGACAGAUUCCGAGACCACCAUUUCAAUAUGGAUGGUCCAUAAUUUCUUUUAGAAACCCAUAACAAAGUGAUUUGGGACCGAUCCCCACUUCACAACGCAUUUUUGGACCCUUCGUACAUCCUUAACAAAAUUUGGUACAUCCGAGCUUAGUGAUUCCGGGACCCUCUUCUGCCCAUGGAUGAGCCACUAUUUCAUUUAAAAACCCAUAACAAAGUGAUUUGGGCUCGAUCCGCACUUCGGUUCACACUUUGGAACCCUUGGUACAUCGUUAAGAAAAUUUGGUACAUCCUUCACAAAAUUUGGUACAUCCUUCAUUAAAUUUGGUACAUCCGAUCCGACAGAUUCCGAGACCCCAUUUCAACAUGGAUGGUCCAUAAUUUCUUUUAGAAACCCAUAACAAAGUGAUUGGGAGUCGAUCCUCACUUCGAAAUGCAUUUUCGAACCCUCGGUACAUUCUUCAGAAAAUUUGGUACAUCCUUCAUUAAAUUUGGUACAUCCGAGCCUAGUGAUUUAGGGGACCCCCUUUUGACAAUGGAUGUGCCACUAUUUCAUUUAUAAACCCAUAACAAAGUGAUUUGGAGCCGAUCCCCACUUCGGAUCGCACUUUGGAACCCUUGGUACAUCCUUAACAAAAUUUGGUACAUUCUUAAUUAAAUUUGGUACAUCCUUCAUUAAAUUUGGUACAUCUGAUCCGAUAGAUUCCGAGACCCCCAUUUCAACAUGGAUGGUCCAUAUUUGCUUUUGGAAACCCAUAACAAAGUAAUUCGGGGUCCAUCCCCACUUCGUGACUCAUUUUCGGACCCUUAGUACAUCCUUCAUUAAAUUUGGUACAUCCGAGCUUAGUAAUUUCGGAACCCUCUUCUGACCAUGGAUGAGCCACUAUUUCAUUUAAAAACCCAUAACAAAGUGAUUUGGGUCUGAUCCCCACUUCGGUUCACACUUUGGAACCCUUGGUACAUCCUUUACAAUAUUUGGUACAUCCUUCAGAAAAUUUGGUACAUCCUUCACAAAAUUUGGUACAUCCUUCAUUAAAUUUGGUACAUCCGAUCCGAAAGAUUCCGAGGCCCCCAUUUCAACAUGGAUGGUCCAUAAUUACUUUUAGAAACCCAUAAACAAGUGAUUUGGGGCCGAUCCCCAAUUCGGAACGCAUUUUUAGACCCUUCGUACAUUCUUAACAAAAUUUGGUACAUACGAGCUUAGUGAUUCCGGGACCCUCUUCUGACCAUGGAUGAGCCACUAUUUCAUUUUAAAACCCAUAACAAAGUGAUUUGUCCCCGAUCCCCACUUCGAAUCACACUUUGGAACCCUUGGUACAUCAUUUACAAAAUUUGGUACAUCAUUCACAAAAUUUGGUACACCCUUCAUUAAAUUUGGUAUAUCCAAUCCGAUAGAUUCCGAGAGCCCCAUUUCAACAUGUAUGGUCCAUAAUUGCUUUUAGAAACCCAUAACAAACUAAUUUGGGGCCGAUCCCCACUUAAGAAACCAUUUGUAGACCCUUCGUACAUCCAUAACAAAAUUUGGUACAUCCGAGCUUAGUGAUUCCAGGACCCUCUUCUGACCAUGGAUGAGCCACUAUUUCAUUUAAAAACCCAUAAUAAAGUGAUUUGGGCCCGAUCCCCACUUCGAUUAACACUUUGGAACCCGUGGUACAUCCUUAACAAAAUUUGGUACAUCCUUCACAAAAUUUGGUACAUCCUUCAUUAAAUUUGGUACAUCCGAUCCAACAGAUUCCGAGACCCCCAUUUCAACAUGGAUGGUCCAUAAUUUCUUUUAGAAACCCAUAACAAAGUGAUUGGGAGUCGAUCCUCACUUCGAAAUGCAUUUUUGGAUCCUCGGUACAUUCUUCACAAAAUUUGGUACAUCCUUCAUUAAAUUUGGUACAUCCGAGCCUAGUGAUUUCGGGACACCCUUUUGACCAUGGGUGAGCCACUAUUUCAUUUAGAAACCCAUAACAAAGUGAUUUGGGGCCGAUCCCCACUUUGGAUCGCACUUUGGAACCCUUGGUAGAUCCUUAACAAAAUUUGGUACAUUCUUAAUUAAAUUUGGUACAUCCUUCAUUAAAUAUGGUACAUCUGAUCCGAUAGAUUCCGAGACCCCCAUUUCAACAUGGAUGGUCCAUAAUUUCUUUUAGAAACCCAUAACAAAGUGAUUGGGUGUCGAUCCCCACUUCGUGACUCAUUUUUGGACCCUUAGUACAUCUUUAAUUAAAUUUCGUACAUCCGAGCUUAGUGAUUCCGGGACCUUCUUCUGACCAUGGAUGAGCCACUAUAUCAUUUAAAAACCUAUAACAAAGUGAUUUGGGCCCGAUCCCCACUUCGGUUCACACUUUAGAACCCUUGGCACAUCCUUUACAAAAUUUGGUACAUCCUUCAGAAAAUUUGGUACAUUCUUCAUUAAAUUUGGUACAUCCGAUCCGACAGAUUCCGAGACCCCCAUUUCAACAUGGAUGGUCCAUAAUUGCUUUUAGAAACCCAUAACAAAGUGAUUUGGGCCCGAUCCCCACUUCGGUUCACACUUUGGAACCCUUGGUACAUCCUUUACAAAAUUUGGUACAUCCUUCACAAAAUUUGGUACAUCCUUCAUUAAAUUUGGUACAUCCGAUACGACAAAUUGCGAGACCCCCAUUUCAACAUGGAUGGUCCAUAAUUGCUUUUAGAAACCCAUUACAAAGUGAUUAUGGGCCGAUCCCCACUUCGGAACGCAUUUUUAGACCCUUCGUACAUCUUUAACAAAAUUUGGUACAUCCCAGCUUAGUGAUUCCGGGACCCUCUUCUGACCAUGGAUGAGCCACUAUUUCAUUUAAAAACCCAUAACAAAGUGAUUUGGGCCCGAUCCUUACUUCGGUUCACACUUUGGAACCCUUGGUACAUCCUUUACAAAAUUUGGUACAUCCUUCACAAAAUUUGGUACAUCCUUCAUUAAAUUUGGUACAUCCGAUCCAACAGAUUCCGAGACCCCCAUUUCAACAUGGAUGGUCCAUAAUUUAUUUUAGAAACCCAUAACAAAGUGAUUGGGAGUCGAUCCUCACUUAGAAAUGCAUUUUCAGACUCUCGGUACAUUCUUCACAAAAGUUGGUACAUUCUUCAUUAAAUUUGGUGCAUCCGAGCCUAGUGAUUUCGGGACCCCCUUUUGACCAUGGGUGAGCCACUAUUUCAUUUAGAAACCCAUAACAAAGUGAUUUGGGGCUGAUCCCCACUUCGGUUCGCACUUUGGAACUCUUGGUACAUCCUUAACAAAAUUUGGUACAUUUUUAAUUAAAUUUGGUACAUCCUUCAUUAAAUAUGGUACAUCGGAUCCGAUAGAUUCCGAGACCCCCAUUUCAACAUGGAUGGACCAUAAUUGCUUUUAGAAACCCAUAACAAAAUGAUUGGGUGUCGAUCCCCACUUCGUGACUCAUUUUUGGACCUUUAGUACAUCUUUCAUUAAAUUUGGUGCAUCGGAGCUUAAUGAUUCUGGGACCUUCUUCUGACCAUGGAUGAGCCACUAUUUCAUUUAAAAACCCAUAACAAAGUGAUUUGGGUCUGAUCCCCACUUCGGUUCACACUUUGGAACCCUUGGUACAUCCUUUACAAAAUUUGGUAUAUGCUUCACAAAAUUUGGUACAUCCUUCAUUAAAUUUGGUACAUCCGAUCCGACAGAUUCCGAGACCCCCAUUUCAACAUGGAUGGUCCAUAAUUGCAUUUAGAAACCCAUAACAAAGUGAUUUGGGGACGAUCCUCACUUCGGAACGCAUUUUUAGACCUUUCGUACAUCCUUAAUAAAAUUUGGUACAUCCGAGAUUAGUGAUUCCGAGACCCUCUUCUGACCAUGGAUGAGCCACUAUUUCAUUUAAAACCCCAUAAUAAAGUGAUUUGGGACCGAUCCCCACUUUGGAACCCUUGGUACAUCCUUAACAACAUUUGGUACACACUUCACAAAAUUUGGUACAUCCUUAAUUAAAUUUGGUACAUCCGAUCCAACAGAUUCCGAGACCCCCAUUUCAACAUGGAUGGUCCAUAAUUUCUUUUAGAAACCCAUAACAAAGUGAUUGGGAGUCGAUCCUCACUUCGAAAUGCAUUUUCGGACCCUCGGUACAUUCUUCACAACAUUUGGUACAUCCUUCAUUAAAUUUGGUACAUCCGAGCCUAGUGAUUUCGGGACCCCCUUUUGACCAUGGGCGAGCCACUAUUUCAUUUAGAAACCCAUAACAAAGUUAUUUGGGGCCAAUCCCCACUUUGGUUCGCAUUUUGGAACCCUUGGUACAUCCAUAACAAAAUUUGGUACAUUCUUAAUUAAAUUUGGUACAUCCUUCAUUAAAUUUGGUACAUCCGAUCCAACAGAUUUUGAGACCCCCAUUUCAACAUGGAUGGUCCAUCAUUGCUUUUAGAAACCCAUAACAAAGUUAUGUGGGCCCGAUCCCCACUUCGGAUCGCACUUUGGAACCAUUGGUACAUCCUUCACAAAAUUUGGUACAUCCUUAAUUAAAUUUGGUACAUCCUUCUUUAAAUUUGGUACAUGCGAUCCGAUGUAUUCCGACACGCCCAUUUCAACAUGGAUGGUCCAUAAUUGCUUUUAGAAACCCAUAACAAAGUGAUUUGGGGCUGAUCCCCACUUCUGAACGCAUUUUUAGACCCUUGGUACGUCCUUAACAACAUUUGGUACAUCCGAGCUUAGUGAUUCCGGGACCCUCUUCUGACCAUGGAUGAGCCACUAUUUGAUUUAAAAACCCAUAACAAAGUGAUUUGGGUCGGAUCCCCACUUCGGUUUACACUUUGGAACCAUUGGUACAUCAUUUAAAAAAUUUGGUACAUCAUUCACAAAAUUUGGUACAUCCUUCAUUAAAUUUGGUACAUCCGAUCCGACAGAUUCUGAGACCCCACUUUCAACAUGGAUGGUCCAUAAUUGCUUUUAGAAACCCAUAACAAAGUGAUUUAGGGCCGAUCCCCACUUCGGAACGCAUUUUUCGACCCUUUGUACAUCCUUAAUAAAAUUUGGUACAUCCGAGCUUAGUGAUUCGGGGACCCUCUUCUGACCAUGGAUGAACCACUAUUUCAUUUAAAAACCCAUAAUAAAGUGAUUAUGGCCCGAUCCCCACUUCGGUUCACACUUUGGAACCCUUGGUACAUCCUUAACAAAAUUUGGUACAUCCUUGACAAAAUUUGGUACAUCCUUCAUUAAAUUUGGUACAUCCGAUCCAACAGAUUCCGAGACCCCCAUUUCAACAUGGAUGGUCCAUAAUUUCUUUUAGAAACCCAUAACAAAGUGAUUGGGAGUCGAUCCUCACUUCGAAAUGCAUUUUCGGACCCUCGGUACAUUCUUCACAAAAUUUGGUACAUCCUUCAUUAAAUUUGGUACAUCCGAGCCUAGUGAUUUCGGGACACCCUUUUGACCAUGGGUGAGCCACUAUUUCAUUUAGAAACCCAUAACAAAGUGAUUUGGGGCUGAUCCCCACUUUGGAACGCACUUUUAAACCCUUGGUACAUCCUUAACAAAAUUUGGUACAUNNNNNNNNNNNNNNNNNNNNNNNNNNNNNNNNNNNNNNNNNNNNNNNNNNNNNNNNNNNNNNNNNNNNNNNNNNNNNNNNNNNNNNNNNNNNNNNNNNNNACAAAAUUUGGUACAUCCUUCACAAAAUUUGGUACAUCCAUCAUUAAAUUUGGUACAUCCGAUCCGACAGAUUCUGAGACCCCCAUUUCAACAUGGAUGGUCCAUAAUUGCUUUUAGAAACCCAUUACAGAGUGAUUUGGGGCCGAUCCCCACUUCGGAACGCAUUUUUAGACCCUUCGUACAUCUUUAACAAAAUUUGGUACAUCCCAGGUUAGUAAUUCCGGGACCCUCUUCUGACCAUGGAUGAGCCACUAUUUCAUUUAAAAACCCAUAACAAAGUGAUUUGGGCCCGAUCCUCACUUUGGUUCACACUUUGGAACCCUUGGUACAUCCUUUACAAAAUUUGGUACAUCCUUCAUAAAAUUUGGUACAUCCUUCAUUAAAUUUGGGACAUCCGAUCCGACAGAUUCUGAGACCCCCAUUUCAACAUGGAUGGUCCAUAAUUGCUUUUAGAAACCCAUAACAAAGUGAUUUGGGGCCGAUCCCCACUUCGGAACGCAUUUUUAGACCCUUCGUACAUCCUUAAUAAAAUUUGGUGCAUUCGAGCUUAGUGAUUCCGGGACCCUCUUCUGACCAUGGAUGAGCCACUAUUUCAUUUAAAAACCUAUAAUAAAGUGAUUUGGACCCGAUCCCCACUUCGGUUCACACUUUGGAACCCUUGGUACAUCCUUAACAAAAUUUCCUACAUCCUUCCCAAAAUUUGGUACAUCCUUCAUUAAAUUUGGUACAUCCGAUCCAACAGAUUCCGAGACCCCCAUUUCAACAUGGAUGAUUUAUAAUUUAUUUUAGAAACCCAUAACAAAGUGAUUGGGAGUCGAUCCUCACUUCGAAAUGCAUUUUCAGACCCUCGGUACAUUCUUCACAAAAUUUGGUACAUUCUUCAUUAAAUUUGGUGCAUCCGAGCCUAGUGAUUUCGGGACCCCCUUUUGACCAUGGGUGAGCCACUAUUUCAUUAAGAAACCCAUAACAAAGUGAUUUGGGGCUGAUCCCCACUUCGGUUCGCACUUUGGAACCCUUGGUACAUCCUUAACAAAAUUUGGUACAUUCUUAAUUAAAUUUGGUACAUCCUUCAUUAAAUAUGGUACAUCUGAUCCGAUAGAUUCCGAGACCCCCAUUUCAACAUGGAUGGUCCAUAAUUGCUUUUAGAAACCCAUAACAAAGUGAUUGGGUGUCGAUCCCCACUUCGUGACUCAUUUUUGGACCCUUAGUACAUCUUUCAUUAAAUUUGGUACAUCCGAGCUUAGUGAUUCCGGGACCUUCUUCUGACCAUGGAUGAGCCAUUAUUUCAUUUAAAAACCCAUAACAAAGUGAUUUGGGCCUGAUCCCCACUUCGGUUCACACUUUGGUACCCUUGGUACAUCCUUUACAAAAUUUGGUACAUGCUUCACAAAAUUUGGUACAUCCUUCAUUAAAUUUGGUACAUCCGAUCCGACAGAUUCCGAGACCCCCAUUUCAACAUGGAUGGUCCAUAAUUGCAUUUAGAAACCCAUAACAAAGUGAUUUGGGGCCGAUCCUCACUUCGGAACGCAUUUUUAGACCCUUCGUACAUCCUUAAUAAAAUUUGGUACAUCUGAGCUUAGUGAUUCCGGGACCCUCUUCUGACCAUGGAUGAGCCACUAUUUCAUUUGAAAACCAAUAACAAAGUGAUUUGGGCCCGAUCCCCACUUUGAUUCACACUUUGGAACCUUUGGUACAUCGUUAACAAAAUUUGGUACAUCUUUCACAAAAUUUGGUACAUCCUUCAUUAAAUUUGGUACAUCCGAUCCGACAGAUUCCGAGACCCCCAUUUCAACAUGGAUGAUCCAUAAUUUCUUUUAGAAACCCAUAACAAAGUGAUUGGGAGUCAAUCCUCACUUCGAAAUGCAUUUUCGGACACUCGGUACAUUCUUCACAAAAUUUGGUACAUCCUUCAUUAAAUUUGGUACAUCCGAGCCUAGUGAUUUUAGGACCCCCUUUUGACGAUGGAUGAGCCACUAUUUCAUUUAUAAACCCAUAACAAAGUGAUUUGGGGCCGAUCCCGACUUCGGAUCGCACUUUGGAACCCUUGGUACAUCCUUAACAAAAUUUGGUACAUUCUUAAUUAAAUUUGGUACAUCCUUCAUUAAAUUUAGUACAUCCGAUCCGAUAGAUUCCGAGACCCCCAUUUCAACAUGGAUGGUCCAUAAUUGCUUUUAGAAACCCAUAACAAAGUGAUUGGGGGUCGAUCCCGACUUCGUGACUCAUUUUCGGACCCUUAGUACAUCCUUCAUUAAAUUUGGUAUAUCCGAGUUUAGUGAUUCCGGGACCCUCUUCUGACCAUGGAUGAGCCACUAUUUCAUUUAAAAACCCAUAACAAAGUGAUUUGGGCCCGAUCCCACUUCGGUUCACACUUUGGAACCCUUGGUACAUCCUUUACAAAAUUUGGUACAUCCUUCACAAAAUUUGGUACAUCCUUUAUUAAAUUUGGUACAUCUGAUCCGACAGAUUCCGAGACCCCCAUUUCAACAUGGAUGGUCCAUAAUUGCUUUUAGAAACCCAUAACAAAGUGAUUUGGGGCCGAUCCCCACUUCGGAACGCAUUUUUAGAUCCUUGGUACAUCCUUAAUAAAAUUUGGUACAUUCGAGCUUAGUGAUUCCGAGACCCUCUUCUGACCAUGGAUGAGCCACUAUUUCAUUUAAAAACCCAUAACAAAGUGAUAUGGGCCCGAUCCUUACUUCGGUUCACACUUUGGAACCCUUGGUACAUCCUUAACAAAAUUUGGUACAUCCUUCACAAAAUUUAGUACAUCCGAUCCGAUAGAUUCCGAGACCAGUAUUUCAACAUGGAUGGUCCAUGAUUUCUUUAAGAAACCCAUAACAAAGUGAUUGGGAGUCGAUCCUCACUUCGAAACGUAUUUUCGGACCCUCGGUACAUUCUUCACAAAAUUUGGUACAUCCUUCAUUAAAUUUGGUACAUCCGAGCCUAGUGAUUUUGGGACGCCCUUUUGACCAUGGAUGAGCCACUAUUUAAUUUAGAAACCCAUAACAAAGUGAUAUGGGGCCGAUCCCUACUUCGGAUCGCACUUUGGAACCAUUGGUACAUCCUUCACAAAAUUUGGUACAUCCUUAAUUAAAUUUGAUACAUCCUUCAUUAAAUUUGGUACAUCUGAUCCGAUGUAUUCCGAGACCCCCAUUUCAACAUGGACGGUCCAUAAUUGCUUUUAGAAACCCAUAACAAAGUGAUUUGGGGCCGAUCCCCACUUCGGAACUCAUUUUUAGACCCUUGGUACAUCCUUAACAACAUUUGGUACAUCCGAGCUUAGUGAUUCCGGGACCCUCUUCUGACCAUGGAUGAGCCACUAUUUCAUUUAAAAACCCAUAACAAAGUGAUUUGGGCCCGAUCCCCACUUCGGUUCACACUUUGGAACCCUUGUACAUCCUUAAACAUUUUAUAGAAUUAUUAUCAAAUACAAUAUGAGAAUUAUUAUUAAAAACAUUUUUGACUUUUUUAAUACUUGAAAGAUAAAAAUUUUGAAAUAUUAAAAGUACUCCUUAAAGUCACAACCAAAUGGAUCUUUUGAAUAUAUUAAACAAUGAUUUUAAAAAACUCUUUUAACCUUAAAAACAUUUUAAAACAAAAUUAAGUGUUUGAAAAAUUUUAUCAAAUAUUUUUAAAAAUCUUAAAAAUUACUUAUAAUAUGAAAAAAUUAGAUUUUUUUUAAGAAACCUUUAUUAUUAAUUUCUCAUCCAUUUUUUUUGUUUUUGUUUUUGACAAGAAAUCAUUUCUAAGUACGGGGAUUCCCACACAUUUUCACAAUAUUUGAAUAAGGGAUUGGCAGUUAGCGUGGGUCCUAUAGUUGAUUGCUAUUUUAAGAUCGGCCCAUUAUCUUCCUCAAUUACUCCAUUUUAUAUUUUUCUAUUUUUGAAAGAAUCUUUACAGAUCUUCAAUAAUUAAUGAGAAGUACUAUCUUCCUCAUCCCAUUCCUCCCCCUCUCACUCUCUUUACGUCUUUAAAGUAAGUGGUAGGGUUGGCUUUUUUGAGUUAGAGUUGGUACAAUAAAAAGGGAAAUGGAAUUAUUGCCUUUUCAUCCAGAUGAGCAGCCACAAUCAUUUACUUCAAAAGAAUCAAAACAUCUCCCUUUUGCAGUGAAAGACAUGUGAAAUUCAUUGAGUUUGAAUUUCAAUAAAUUUGAAUUGAAUUUGAAUUUGAAUUUACCAAUUCAAGGUAAUGGGGCAGUCGUCAAAAGUGGAUUUUAAGACAAUAAGUUUGAAGAAGUUUAUGUUUGGGUAUCAAAAAAUUAAACCAAAAAUGGAAGGGAAGGAAAAAAAAAUAAUUUAAAAUUAAUAAAUUAUAUUUAUAUAUUUUUUUAAAAAGUAUUCUACUUAUUUUCUUUUAUUACAUAAAAAUAAAAAAUAAUUUAUAAAUUUAUAAAUUUUUAAUUAGUAAAAUGAUGCCUAUAAUUGCAAAACAACAUUGAUUAUAUUGUUACAAAUUUUGUAUUCAAAAUAAAAUUGGAUGUCAUUCAUGAGUUUGGUAGUGGUUUUAAAAUUUUUUUUUUUUAUAUUUAUAACAUAUGAAGAUUUUUAUUUUUUAAAUAUUCAAAAUAUUAAAAAUAUUUCAUAAAAUUAUUAUCAAACGGAUAGUGGUUGUGAAAAACGUUUUUAUCUUUUGUAAUAUUUAAAAGAUAAAUUUUUUGAAAUGUUAAAAAUAUUAAAAGUAUUUCGUACAAUCACUAUUAAACGAGUUAUUAGAGUGUGUUUGAGAGCCCAUUUGAUAGUAAUUUUAUGAAGCGCUUCUAACCCUUUUAACACUUGAAAUUUUUUAUCAUUCAAGUGUUAUAAAUACUAUAAACAUUUUAUAGAAUUAUUAUCAAAUACAAUAUGAGAAUUAUUAUUAAAAACAUUUUUGGUUUUUUUAAUACUUGAAAGAUAAAAAUUUUGAAAUAUUAAAAGCACUCCUUAAAAUCACAACCAAAUGGAUCUUUAGAAUAUAUUAAACAAUGAUUUUAAAAAACACUUUUAACCUUAAAAACAUUUUAAAACAAAAUUAAGUGUUUGAAAAAUUUUAUCAAAUAUUUUUAAAAAUCUUAAAAAUUACUUAUAAUAUUUUAUCAAUUAUUUUCUUAAUACUUUUUUCUUCUUUAUGGUAUUAAAUAUGAUCAUAAGAAAUAAAUUAUCAGUGCCGCCGACUGCAGAUAAUCUUCUCAAUUUUCUUAAAGCUAUGUUUAAAAAAUUGUAGAAGGAAAGAGUAAGCGAAAAAAAUAAAAUAAAAUUUAAAUUAAUAAAUUAUUUUAUAUGUGUCUUUAAAUUAAAUUAAUUUAUUUUUAUUUAUUAUAUAAGCAUUAAAUAAUUUUAAAAUAGAUAGUUUUUUUUAAUUAAUUUUAAUUAUAUUUGAUUUUUUUUUAUAAUGAAAUGAAAACCCUUUCUUUUAGUAUUUGUUUUUUUUCUUUAGUAUUUUUUAGAAACUAAAUAUAGCCUUAGGUUUUUUUAUUUAUUUAUUAAGUUUAUUUUUUUUUUAUUAACUAAAUUGAGCUCUUAAUUAAUAAUGAAAGCAUUUUCUUAAUAAUGAGCUCUUAAUAAUACCAAUAAAAAAAUUUCAUCCAAUUUAAAGUUGAAGGUAAUAUCUCGAAUGGUCAAAGUAAUACAUGUAUCGUUGAAAUAUAGUAUUUAUAUAUUCAAAAUUAAUACCUCAAUUGAAAAGUAUUCAAAAUCUUAAUUAUUUUCUAAAAAAUGUAUUAAAUUUAAAUUUUUUAAAAUUGGGUUUUUAUUUUCUGAUUUGUGCAAGAGCACACACUUUUCAUCUUUUUUUAUUUAUAUAUUUAUUUAUUAUUUUUUAUUUUAACUGUUGAAUAAGACUUAACAAGAGUGGAUGAAUGUCUAUCAGAUUCAGAUAAGGAUGAUGGCACAAGCCGACUAAAACGAAAGAGUUAAGCAUGUGAGUGCCACCAGGCCUGCAAGGAAUGGUAGGUCCCAAAAUAUCCAAGAAAUCUCUAUAUAUAGAAACCAAUACACUUCACGUCUUUCCAUGCGACUCGCAAGCUUCUUGUCUCAGUUGCAAACAGGUACAAAAAUGAUGCUGCAGUUGCCACAAACCACAAAUGAAGCUAUGUUAAAUAUUUAAAAUAUUGCAGUUCCAAAUGGGGUGUUCGGGAUAAAAUAUUUUAAUGUGAGAUCGAAUAACCUAAAAGAAAGGAUGUUGCCACUGAGUCUAGAGAAGUGAUCCUUCACAGCUUUGGGCAUGGGAGUAUGAGGCAAAACCAACUUCCAGUAACCCUCAUAAGGUAGAGAAGCAUGGCUUACUACCACCACCACCACCACCACUGAGUCAACUUGACGAGUGUUCUCACUCCAUCCUCUUCCCAUUCUGGCUUUUCUUUCGGUAAGUCCACAUCUUUUUCCUCUUCAUUUUUGUUAUGAAUAUUGUCAAUCAAAUAUUCUUUCAGUUGUGUUAUUGUUAUUAAUGCAACUUAAUUGCAGGUGGAGGUGGUAGAAAGCCAUGCUUCUCUACCUUCUGAAGGUUACUGGAAGUUGGUUUUGUCUAAUACUCCCAUGCCCAAAGNNNNNNNNNNNNNNNNNNNNNNNNNNNNNNNNNNNNNNNNNNNNNNNNNNNNNNNNNNNNNNNNNNNNNNNNNNNNNNNNNNNNNNNNNNNNNNNNNNNNCAAUCAAAUAAUGUUCAGAUAUGUUAUUGUUAUUAAUGCAACAUAAUUGCAGGAGGUGGUGGUAGUAAGCCAUGCUUCUCUACCUUCUGAAGGUUACUGGAAGUUGGUUUUGUCUCAUACUCCCAUGCCCAAAGCUGUGAAGGAUCACUUGCAGCCUGGUUUGUUUCAAUACAUCUCUAGACUCAGUGGCAACAUCCUUUCUUUUAGGUUAUUCAAUCUCACAUUAAGCUCAUAAUUUUUCUUUGUCAUUGCUGAAUUUGCAAAUUCAAGGCGUAACUUCUUUCAAUGCUUCUGCUGCCAGAUGUUUUGGGAUUCACAAUCAGUUCAACAAAAUCCCUCAACCAUUCCAUGCAAAGCAGGCUCAAGAUGGCUUAAAUAUAGGUAACUUCUUCUUGCAAACAGAUCUGCACCCAGGUACAAAAAUGAUGCUGCAGUUGCCACAAAGUACAAAUGAAGGUAUGUUCUUGCCUUGUCAAGUUGCUGACUCCAUAUCCUUUUCAUCUAAGAAGUUACCCAAAAUUUUGAACCGGCUUUCAGUGAAGGAAAAAUCUGCAGAAGCUGAGCUGAUGAAGAAGGAGAUAGAAGAGCUAGUGUGAGGAGGCUGCCAUGGAUGGAGAAUCUAGGUUCUGUGCAACAUCAUUAGAGUCCCUAAUCGAUUUCAGCACUUCAAAGCUCGGAAGAAAUGUGAAUGUGCUGACGAAUGAGGUCAAAACGGGAAGCCAAGAGUAUGAAUUUGGAGUGGGAAUGAAGAAGGUUGCAGACAAAUCAGUGGUGUGCCAUAAGAUGAACUACCCAUAUGCUGUUUUCUAUUGCCAUACCUUCACUAAGACACGAACUUACAUGAUUCCAUUGGUGGGUGCUGAUGGAAGCAAAGCUAAAGCCAUGGCAGCUUGUCACAGUGAUACAUCAGCUUGGCACCCACAGCAUGUGGCUUUCCAAGUGCUCAAAAUUAAGCCAGGAACGGUCGCAGUCUAUCAUUUCCUUCACAACAAUGCCAUGGUCUGGAUUCCAAAGUAAGAAUCAGCCUCAAGCCUCAAGCCCAGUUGCAUUAUCAGUUCCAUCUUAAAGCUGUUUGUAGUAUGAAUGGUUCGAAUAAAUGCAGGUUCGAGGAUUAAUGUGUGUAGUGUGCAAUUGAUGCUAUGUAUUCAUCAAUGUUUCCAGGUUGAUUAAUUAAGGAGUAUUAUGGUAUAUAUAUAUAUAUAUGUUGUGUGCAAUAGUCCUCAGCAAAGCAAUUAGCCAAUAUUUUUUUUUUAUAUUAAUUCCAAUCAUAUGAAAUAUUGGAAAUAACCUUCACUGUUUCAUAUAUGGCCGGAGAAAGAAUUGAAUAAGAUUAAUGUUGUUGUGCCCUGAAGCCAAACAAUACAUGUGUAAUAUGGGCCAUAAAUUUAAAAAUACACAAAUUUAUAAUUAAUUUUAAUAAUAUGUGAUAAACCCAUAUUCUUUAAUAUUUUUUUUAGAAUCAAACAUAACUUAAAUGAUUAUUACUACACCUACACAAGUGAGUGAAAAAACUCUUACAGACAAAACUAAAUACAGAGAAACAGUUUGGAGAUAAGGUUGCCAAUUGCCAACUUGCCAUCAAAGCCAUUGCAUCUUCUUUUAUUACAACAAAAAUAGAAAAACGUGACAUGUUUGUAGGAUGAGUCAUUAUCAAGGGUUUCCUCGUGACAAGAAAACAAAAGAGACUAAAAAACAAAACAAAAAAGCUUUGCUUCUGUGGCACUAUUUCAGUACCGAGUUCACGGGACCAUGUGCAGAGACUGAGCAAUCCUUCAAUUGCUCUCCAACUCCAACACCACCCAUCUGAGAUAAACCCCGGGAAUUUUCCGUAUGAGUUUCUCCAAAUUGGCCUGAUAAAAGGGCAUUUUCAUUUUCAUCUUUAGAAGGCAAAUUAAUCUCCAAUGUCAAAUUUCUUUUAACUGGGCCUUUUCCUGCUGAUGAACCACGAGCAGUGGAAUUAUCAUCCGGAGAAGUUACCAAAUAGUUGUCUAAGGUGCCCUUGCUACUGGGAGAACCAUCGACUGCUCUUUUUGAAUCUUUUUCGAUUCUUCCAGUCUUCAAACCAGGAGAUAGCAGUUUCCUUUUCUUUGAAGAAAAAAACUGCAUACAGAAACCAAUUACAGGCCAACAACGAAUGCAAAUUACUUCAAAUUUGAACAAGAAAGGCGAAAAUCUCUGUAACCCUACCACAUGAAAAUUUUCAUAAAAUUGCCUCAUCAAAAAUAGAAGAUUCGUUGCAUGUUUUACCAAGAACAAUGCAACAAAGAUGAAAUUUUGAAGAGAAAAUGAAUGCCGAAAGAGAUCUAUGGUUUUGGGAGAGAGUAUUGAUGAGAAAAAAAUUACCUGAUCGAUGCGAAUCCGAGGCCAUGAUAGAAGCGAAGUUUCAGGCGAUCUACGGAACCCUAGUUUUUGGCCCCGCACAUACAAGCUCGCAAAAGGAAGUCACUCAAGAGGUUUGAAUUUUCCGGAAUGACCGCCAACAAGUGCCAUGUGCACAGGAAAGGCAGAUGACAAUGGACCCAAACCCGGCCCAUUAAUCCCUGGGGCUCGGGCUGGCCCAAAUCUUUAGACGGCUGUAUUUUCCUUUACGAUUGAAAAAUACGACUAAUUCAAGACGUAACAAUAUAAAGGAAAACCUACAUAAAAAUCACCUUUGCAGGCACAGAGUAUUGGCCCAAAAGAAUCUAUUGCCGACCCAAUUCUUAGAUUAGCAAGCUGAAUUUCAUGUGAGUUUAAUUAACCUAAUUGGAGUUGGUCUAAUCUAAUCCGCAAUCUUACCUUGUUAUGAAUCAAAAUAUUAUAGGCAAGCCAACUAGGUAUAUCGUUAUCAAUCUUAAGACUACGUAUAUUUAGGGUUUAGAGUUUAUGAUUUAUAGUUUAUGGUUCACAAUAGACAAUUCAUGGUUAAUAAGUUAAUAACUAAUAGCAUGAUAAUUUUGAGAUUUAUGGUAAUAUAGUUUAGUGUGUUUUCUAGAUAUCUUGUAAUCAUCAUGUUCCAUUGUUGACAACCUUUCAUUGUUAACAACACAAUAUCUUUUUCAUCAAACUUUUUUGUUAGUAUAGGAACUCUAGGGUCAAGUUGAUUAUGGACAAGCUUAGUAACUCCUUGUCUAAUUGGUUGCAAUCACACGGACCACAUAGCUUUUUUUUAUAAGAAUCCUACUCACAAAGAGUAGUGCAAUGUCCAACUACCCUUGGCAAUGAAGUUAGUGAGGGUUAGAUGGAAAAAAAAAGGGAUGAUUAGAAAAGGAUUGGCUCUAGUAUUCCCUUUCUCCUAGGAAAUAAAGUGGAUGAGUUCAAGGUGGUUUUAUAGAUAGAAAUGAACAGGCUACUUAAUACUGUGGUUGAAGAUCUUUAUGUAGGAUAAUCUAAUCAUAGUUGUUCAGUUAUCUUUAUUUGGACCAUUAUGGUUUUUCAAGUGGCAUGUAAAUCUCUAUGCAAAGGGCACCAUUGGUUACUUAAAACUGGUAUGAUAUAUUAUGAUAGAAUCUUUAAAAGCAUGCCAUGAUAUAACAAAUGUAAAGUUUAUUAUUUAUUUAAUAAUAUCUCAAUUGAACUUUUUUAUAUCUUUGUUUUAUGCAUUAUACUUUAUGAGUAUCCUGACUUGCAUCUCUUUUAUGAGUAUCCUGACUUGCAUCUCUUGUAUCGUACAUAACUUAGGUGGAUUGGGAGUUGUAUAAAAAAAAUCCAAGUCAUGGGUUCCUUGCAAGUUGAUGAUUUGUUUACAAUUAAUUUGUGAACUUAGGCAAUCUAUUUGAGAUUGUAAUGCAUUACCUCUUAGUUGGAGAAAUAACUAGUCUUGGACAUCGAGAUAAGACUCUCAUGAUAAGUGCACUACUGUGUGCAGUUACACAUUAGACGAAAUCUACAGUGAAUCAUGAUGUAAGUUCACAGAAGUAUGAGAUAAUCAUGACUUCACCAAAUUGUUAUGAUACAUUGUCUCUUAACCUUAAGAGAAUAUUGAGUUUUUGCAUUCGUAGUGGCUUUGACCAACUAUUAAGAUCCUAAAGUGAUCAUAUAUUCCUUAUGAAUUGGGUUACUGUUGAUGAAAGCCAACAUCAACAAGUAUUAUUAAUAGAGGUACCAUGAUAUCUCAUGGACUUUGAGACAGUGUGUCCCCUUAGGUAGUUCUAAGAAAGUGUAUUUAGGUAAACUAUAAUCAUAGUAGUUUUUUAAGUAGAAUUUGAGAUAAACUCUUAGUGAGCUAGGACAUGUCAAUUGAUUACACAAUAGGAAAAUUUAUAACUCAAGAAUGGUAGAGGUGAUUUUGAGAGGCUAAUAGUUUUUACCUUACUAGAUUAUGAAUACUAAUUCAUGAGAAAACUAUGUAUAGUGGAGCAGGUUACGGAUAUGACUUAGUGUCUUGUUGUAAUAUACAUAGGACAUUGAAGUACAAUUGACUUUUUAUAGCGGGAUGUUGAGUCAUCUUCAAAAUUUGAUUAUGAGGGAGCUAGUAUUGUCCUAUAAGUCCCAUCGAUCCUUAUUUAAGCUCAUAUACCUCAAUGACUAUAUUUAUAAUGAUUGGAUUGAUUCUUGGUUCACUUAUAUACAUAAGGGUAUUUUGAUAACUAUGUAAGGUUAUAUAAGAAUAAGUGAAAGACAUUUCUAAAUUGUGACGAAAGGCUUCCCAUGUUUAGGAAUGAAUCUAUUGCAUUUGAAGAUUGAGAUAUUGUGGGAUAUUGAGUUGGAAAGAUGGACGAAUCAAGAAUUUGUAAUCAAUUUUACUUCAUAAAUUGAGAAUGACAUAUUAAUUCUCACUUGCCGUGUGUUGAAAUUAGUUUUAAAUAGCAUAUAAAGGUAAUUUAUUGUAUUUAAAUUUAUUUUUCAUAUUUUUUUCUUCUUUAUUUUUUUUAUUUGUAUUUUGUCUAAUUUUUUAAAUCAAUUUAUUAUUUUUAUUUUUAAUUAAUGAAUUAAUUAAUUAAUUAAUUAAUUAAUUAUUCUUGAAAUAAGUGAUGGUCCUUUCAUGUUAUCCAUUAUUGUGAUCACAAGUUCUCUUGUGUCCUCAAUCAAUAUUUUUUUAAUCAAAAUAUUUGUAAAAAUGUUAGUAAUGAAUUACUUAAAAAAUUAAGUGUUAUAAUAAUUAUUUAAAAAAUAUAACUAUGUUUUGUUCUUAGAAUAUAUUAAAUAAAAAAAUACUGAAAAAAAUGAUUUUCUCAUAUUUGAUUUUCUUACAAAAAAAAUAUGAAAAUAUAAAAUAUUAUUAAAAUUAGUUUUCAAAUUAUUUAAUUUUUAUAUGAAAGACUUAUAAAAUAAAUUUGAAAACGUGUAUUAAAAUAAUUUAUUAAUUAUAUAUAUAUAUAUAUAUAUAUAUAUAUAUAUUUUUAUCUUCUUUCGUUUUUUUUCUUUUUCUUUUAUUUACUUUUCCUCUUUAUUUGAAAAAGUGUAUAAAAAAUGAAGUAUUCAUUUUUUAUUUUAUUUUAUUUUUUACUAUUUUAAGUUUUAAAAUUUUAAAAUCAAUUUUAAAUAUUUUAAAUAUAUAAUGUAUACUUUUUGUAUAAAAAGUUUUAAUUUUUAUACAAAAUUUGAUUAUUUUAUAAUUUAAAAACAAAAAUAGGAAAGAUAUCCUAGGACACUUAUUAUGUUAAUUUUUAAAUAAAAAUAUAAACAUGGAAUUAUCGUCUAUAGAUUUUGUUACUUUUAGUUUUUAGUUUUUUUCAAAGUAAAUAGACUAGAAAUGAUUCAUUGAACCCUACUAUCGAUGCCCAUCAUUCCAUCCAUGCCAGAGUGGCCGUGAAAUAAAUUCUUGGUGCCGCCGGACAUCAACAAUCAUGACACUUAAUUUAAUUUGUUAGGUUUUUGUCAAUUUUCAUGAUCACUUUCGCUAGUUUAACAAGGGUCUCCAAAAAGCCCGCGGCCCACGGCCCGGCCCGACCUGAGCCCAUUUCUGGAUGGGAUGAGCCAUGGGCCCAAAUUUAGGCCUAGCCCGGCCCAGUGGGCUGGCCCGCCCGUAGGCCCGCCACUUAAAAUAUAUAUAUAUAUAUAUAUAUAUUCAAGAAAUAGAAAAUGCUACAUUAAUAAAAAUAUUUAUUGCUAACUAUUUUAUUCAUUGAAUGUAUACAUUACAUUUGAAAAUGUGGGAAAAGUUUACAUCACUACAAAAUAAAUACAUCUCAACUAGGUUGACACUUACUUAUUUGUCAAUCAUUUGUACUUUUCAACCAUAAAAAUAAAAAUAAAAAUAUGACAUACAUUUAGUAAAAUAUUUUAAUCAUUAUCUCUUGGCGAUGAUGGCGAACUAUCGCAAAUCCAUGAAGAUCUUGAAGAUUUUAGUUUUUCUAUAUCGACAAACAUAUUUUCUUCUUGAAUAGAAUCAAAUAUCCUUUUAUCUGCUAUUGCCUAGUCUUUCCCACAUAUAUUUGCUUCAAUAGAAUCCGACACUAAGCUGCAUCGUUUAUCACUAACUACUCUUCCACCUGUACUAAAAGUAGCUUCUGAUGCAAUUGUACUCACAGGAACUGUUAGUACAUCACGAGCAAUGAUAGAAAGUACAGAAUAUUUGUGUUGUUGUGAUUUCCACCAUAUUAAAAUAUCAAAAUCUUCAUCAUCUUCAAAUGAAAUUAAAUCAAUAUUAAGAUAUCUAUCUAAAUCAGUUGUGUUGUUUGGAGAACUAUUUGUUGUCUUCUUUCGACUUUUUAACAUUUCUAGAGCUCCUUUAUAAAAAGAUGAAGAGCUUGUAGAUGUAGGUGGUAAUUUAAUAGAACUAAUAUCAUCACCAUAUUUUUCUUUAUAAUAGUUAUAUAAAUUAUAUAAUAAUGAAUUUAUUUCAUUUUUAAUUUCUUCAAUUUUUAUUUGGUCAUUAAAAUAAAUAAUUGUUAACCAUUCAUUCAAAGCUUCAAAUUUCAAUCUAGGGUCCGCAAUUAAACCAAGAUAAAAAAUUAAAGGUAUUUCUCCCCAGUAUUUUCUAAAUUUUUCUAUCAUUGCAAAUAUUGCAUCAUUAAAUAUAUCCAAAUUUAAAUAUUUUGAAGUACAAUAAAAAUAUUAGUUAUUUGCAUGACAACUCGGUUUGAAGAUGGAUGAUAUACACUACAAAAAUUUGGUGGCUAGUUACACAAAAAAGGGUCAGCUCAAUUGGUGGCUAGCUCUUCUUGAAUGCUUAUGGAUUCAUAAGGGAAAGGGUUCGAAUCCCCUUCCCUUCAAAACUUAAAAGUAUUUUAAUUUUUACCCAAUACCCACCCAAGCCCGCCCAGCCCGUCCAGCUUGAGGGCCCAUAGGCUGGGCCACGGGCCUUAGAUUUACCAAGGGCCCGGCCCGACCAGCCCGUUGACCAGUCAACGGGCUCAGUGGCCCGCCCGGGUUGGGCCAUGGGCCUUACUCCUCCGGGCUGGCCAGCCCGGUCCGGCCCGUUGGAGACCCUCAGUUUUCAUUUUGACGUAAAUUUGAUGAUUAAGAUAGAAAUUUAACAUUGGGAAAAAUAGCCAUUAAAGAAUUAUUUGAAAAACAUUUUUUCCAAUUUUUUUAUUGAAUAAAAUGUUAUCAAAAUCAUUGCAAAAAAUGUUUUUCAUUAAUAUCAAAUAUUAAUUAAUUAAUUAAUUUUUUAAUAUGAUAAUAUUGUAUGAAAAUGACAUACUCUAAUACUUCAAUAUAGUGUGGUGAUAUAUUUUUUCUUCUUCUGAUUAAGAUUUUAUCAUUUUUGGACAAGUUUCACUUCUUUUCCAAUACUCCAAUACUCUCAAACUAAUCGGAUGCUUCAACCCUAUAAGAUUAGGGGAGAGGAUGACCCUCGACAUCCUUUGUGUAACACAAUAAAACUAAUUCAAGUUCAUAAUAUGAUAUUUUAUAUAUUAUUUUUAUAAAUAUUUGAAGAUAAUAUUUGAGAAUGUAAGUUUAGUAAAUUAUGUACAUACGGUGUGAAAUUAAAAGGAUAUUAUUUUCAUUCUUAAACAAAUAGAUACUUUAUAAAACAUAAAUUGACUGCUUUGUUGUUUUUACUCGUGAAAGUAAGACCAGCCAAGCAGUGGUGGUUGAGGGGUCACAUGAUUGGUGAUAAAAUUGUUUAUAUCCACAUUUACAAAAACCUAUUCUUGAGAAGGGAUCUUCAGGACACUCAUGUGCUAGUUUAAUUAUCUCGUUGUAAUGGAACUUACAUGAAUAAAUGAACUUGGUGGCAUGCAUGCAGGUGAUGGUGGUAGUAAUCCAUGCCUCUCUACCUGCUGAGGAUUACUGGAAGUUGGCUUUGCCUCGCACUCCCAUGCCUAAAGCUAUACUAGAUCUGUUGCAGUCCAGUUAGUUUCAUUAAAUCUCUACCCUCCUCUUCUGCAACAUCUUUUACUGAUUCUAAUUAUGGUCUCCUAUCAUAGAAUUAAACUGCAGAGUAAAGAUUGUUCUUUAUAACUAUUUGCUUUAUUUCUUGAAAAUUAUUUGUCUAGACUAACAUUUCUAACUCUUCUUUGUAAUUGCUGUACUUGCAAAUUCAACAGAAGGUCUAAGUUCUGUCGAUGCUUCUACUGCCUCUUGUACUAUUCACAUCCACUUCGAUAAAUUCUCUCAACCCGCGGGAGAAGAGGCUCAAGUAGAUGACUCAAAAAUAGGUAACUUCUUGGAAACAGACCUGCAUCCAGGUAAAAAAUGAAGAUGAACUUGGCCACAACUACAAAUGGAGCUGUUUUCUUGCCUCAUCAAGUUGCUGAAUCCAUACCCUUUUCAUCCAACAAGCUACCUGAAAUCUUGAACCGGUUUUCCCUGAAAGAAAAAUCCACAGAAGCCGAGAUAAUAAAGGAGCUAGAGGAAUGCGAGGAGCCUGCCAUGGAAGGAGAAGCAAAGUACUGUACAACAUCAUUAGAGUCCCUAAUCGAUUUCAGCACUUCAAAGCUUGGAAGAAAUGUGAAUGUGCAGGCGAAUGAGGUCAAAACGGGGAGCCAGGAGUAUGAGUUUGGAGUGGGAAUGGAGAAGCUUGCCGACAAAUCAGUGGUGUGCUAUAAGAUGAACUACCCAUAUGCUGUUUUCUACUGCCAUACAUUCACUAAGACACGGACUUACAUGAUUCCGUUGGUGGGUGCUGAUGGAAGCAAAGCUAAAGCCAUGUCAGCUUGUCAUAGUGACAGAUCAGCUUGGCACCCAAAACAUGUGGCCUUCAAAGUGCUCAAUGUUAAGCCAGGAACAGUCCCUGUCUGCCAUUUCGUUCACAACAAUGCCAUGGUCUGGAUUCCAAAAUAGCCUGAUGAUGAAAUCAACGGAAAUAUUUAAUCCUCAACCACAGUUGCAUUGUUCCACGUAAUAGUCGUUUCUAGUAUCAAUGGUGUGGUUUGAACAAAUGCAGGUUAAUUUGAGAAGAAUGUAGUGUGGAAUGCUAUUCAUCAAUCUUUCCCGGUUGAUUAAAGGAAUAUUGUAUAUAUUGUUGUGUGGCAUAAUAUUCAGUAAUUAAUGAAUCACUAUGAAUUAUCCUAGUGUAUAUAUUGUAGUUUAUCCUAGUGUAUAUAUUGUAGUUGUGCAAAUGAUCCUAUUUAUAUUUUUAAAAAUUAAUUUUAAAAUUUGAAUUAGUAAUUUUUUUAAAUCUUAAUUUUUAAAAUGAUUUCAACCCUUUUAACCAAAUAUUUUAUGUUAAAAAUUAUUAUUAGUAUAUAUAUAUAUAUAUAUAUUAGAAAUCCCUAUUUUACUUUAACAAAUAUCUUAUCAGGCUUUUUUUAACUUACACAUCUAGUUCAAAAAAUAAUUAUUAAAAAAUGGUAGUUUGGAAAAAAAAAAAUUUAAAAUAUGAUAGUUACAAAACUAUUAAUAAAUUUUGAAUACUUUUUGUUCAUUUAUGACAUUUUUCAUAAUUUCAUAAAAUUAAAUUUAUGUUGAAGGUGUCUCUUCAAAAGACACUUUUUUCAUAAUUUUUUUAUUAGUUAUACACGUUAAAAACAAAUUGAAGUUAUACUAAAAAAUAUAAUUUCCACAAUGUCAUAGAAUCAAAUUUAUACCAAAGGUGUCUCUUGAAGAGAUAUCUUCCACAAUUUUCAUAUUAGCCAUAUAGUGAAAAAAAAAACUGUAUUUAAGUUUAAGGCAUAGAUCUCUAUAAUUUCACAAAAUUGAAUUUACACUAAGGCGAUGUUUGUUUUUUUCACUUUUUGCUAAAAGUAAUUUGCUUUCAAAAUUUAAGUUUUUUUUUUUUCUAGUUUUUGAUGACUUAUUAUUGAAUUUUCAAUUUUUUUUGGUUAAAUAGAAAAAACAAACUUUUUAAACCUCCCCAAAUCACGAUUGCAACCCGACACCUGACGCCCAACCCUAGCCCAUCCCUUGUAGCUCUCUAGUCUUAAUUGCAAUCGGCGAUCCCCAACCCUCACCUCAUCAUUGUGUAGCUCAUUGGUUCCACGACCAUCACCAAGCUUUCUUAAGGUAAUUUCUUCCCCAUUUUCUCUCUAUUUAGGUUUCAGCUUUCGUUCUUCCUCUUUCUCAGCAAUGGGGUUAAACCAUAGGUAGAAUGGUUGUUUUAUGUUUGGAAAUGGUUUAUUAAUAUAUUCUUUAGUACGAUUCUUUAUGAUUCUCAUGCCAAUGGUUUAUUUUGAAGUUUUGUGGGCAAUUUUGACUUUGUGGGAGUGGGUUUGAUGAGUUUACAGGUUCAAUGAAUUUUGUAGAGAUGCUCAUGGGUUUUUUGGAUACAUUUGUGUGAUUCGAUUUUGACUUUGAGGAACCAUUUGUGUGAUUUUGUGGGCCAUUUUUUGCCUGCUUGGGUUGUUUUUUGUUGCCUUUGUAUAGUGUCAUUCACUUGUCUAAUGUGCAGAGUGAAGCUUUGUCAUUCACUUGUACUUGGUUGUUGGAGGAAAUAAUAAUAUCAAAAUAAGAAUUGUUAACCAAUUUUUAAACAAUAAUAUGCAUUUUCUGAAUGUAUGUUAUUGCUUGAUUUGACUCCGUGUUCUUGUUUCCUGUUGUUUUGCAUUGAAAUUACUUCCUUCCUUUGAAAACCUUCUGCCAGAUAAACAGGACUAUAAAAGAAUCACAUAGAGAGAGUUUGACAAAUUUUGCAAUCUCAAAACAUCUUGGAUUUUCCAAUUUCAUAAGAGAGUGAUAAUUUCUAUGGGAUAACCAAGUUACAAAAAAGUACGGUUCUUAUAUCAAAUGAACAACAAAAAUGAACAAACUCAUUCCUCACCAGAAUCCUUCCGUGGUUGGAGGCCACCAAUCUCGAAAACCCUAGAAGUUUAUGACAUGGGGGAUGAAUUAGAAUCCAUAUUGAAGAGGGCUUAUUUUUACAAGUGCAGAUGCUGAUCCACUCUUUUUUUUUUUUUUUUGUAAUAAAUAACUUCACAAUUUUUAAUUUUAAGCUUCUAUCCUUUGCCUUCAAUCUUCAAUCUCUGCUAUUGUAUUAAUGGCCCUGGGAGCUGCCUAAGAAAAAUGAAAAAAAUGGACCAACCAAACUCAAAGAUGACAAUAGUUUGGUGGCUGCCCUUGAAGAAGAUCCACAGAAGAAUGGACAGUUCAGAAAGGGGAAGAGGGUCAGAAAACACACUACUUUGGGAAGAGAGAGUGAAUUGAAUUGGUUGUUCUUGUACAUGAUCAGAGAUGUUUAAUUGGCCUGGAUAAAAAAACAUAUAUCUCUCAUUAAUAAGAUAUAUAUGUAGCAUAGUCAGGCUUAAAAUUGAAUGCCAUUAACUAUGACAAAGACUGCCAUACACAAUUGUGCAUGGCACAUGCACAUCCCAUCAGCAUCCUAUGCUUCUUAUGGAUCAAAGGUGAAUUUGCUUUUAGUGCAGACUAGACAUGUAAUGUGAUUUUGUUAUCUGAUGGGAUUCUUGGUGUUACCGUAUCUAUGGUUAUAGAAAAUAGCAUUAUUAAACUGGUGGUUGUCUUAGGGAUUGUUAACUUCUUGAGGUUGCUUAUAGAAGAAAAGAUUAUUCUAAAGCAACUAAAGUGAAUAUUGUGUUUGCCAGACAAUUGUUUAUUCUUUCUGUUAACAUUUAGGGCAUUGGAUGGAUUAUCUCUGUUAGAACCUUGCAAGAUAUUGUGAGUACUUUUUUCUGCUUAUAGUUGAAGCCUUUGUUAGUGUUGAAAGCCAGCUGGCUAGUUGCUUCCUUUCUUGAAUUCAAGAAAGAAUUUUUUUGCCACCACCAAAAGAAAAAGUAAAGGUAAAUAAAAAAAUUUAUUUAUUUUUGUAUGUUUUUUUUUUUUUUUAAAUUUUGACUUAUUUUUACCUAUGAAAUUUAAAUAAUUUAAAAAUAAAUAAAAUUUAAACUAAUUUUAAUUAUAUUUGAUUUUAAUUUUUUUUUUUAUAAUGAAAGAGAAAACCAUUUUUUCAGCAUUUGUUUAAGUAGUUCCCAAAAUAUCCAAGAAAUCUCUAUAUAUAGAAACCAACACACUUCACUGCUUUCCAUGCAACUUGCAAGCUUCUUGUCUCAAUUUCUGAGUUUCUGAGCUUUUACCAUUAAUGGAGUUCCUUCGUCCUCUUCCCAUUCUGGCUUUUCUUUCAGUAAGUCCACAUCUUUUUCCUCUUCAUUUUUGUUAUGAAUAUUGUCAAUCAAAUAUUCUUUCAGUUGUGUUAUUGUGAUUAAUGCAACUGAAUUGCAGGUGGUGGUGGUAGUAAGCCAUGCUUCUCUACCUUCUGAGGGUUACUGGAAGUUGGUUUUGCCUCACACUCCCAUGCCCAAAGCUGUGAAGGAUCACUUGCAGCCUGGUUGGUUUCAAUACAUCUCUAGACUCAGUUGCAACAUCCUUUCUUUUAGGUUAUUCGAUCUUACAUUAAGCUUAUAAUUUUUCUUUGUCAUUGCUAAAUUUGCAAAUUCAAGGUGUAACUUCUUUCAAUGCUUCUGCUGCUGCUUUUUGUUUGGGGAUUUACUAUGGGUUCAACAAAAUCCCUCAACCAUUCCAUGCAAAGCAGGCCCAAGAUGGCUUAAAUAUAGGUAACUUCUUCUUGCAAACAGAUCUGCACCCAGGUACAAAAAUGGUGCUGCAGUUGCCACAAACUACAAAUGAAGCUAUGUUCUUGCCUCGUCAAGUUGCUGACUCCAUACCUUUUUCAUCUAAGAAGCUACCCGAAAUUUUGAACCGGCUUUCAGUGAAGGAAAAAUCUGCAGAAGCUGAGCUGAUGAAGAAGGAGAUAGAAAAGUGUGAGGAGCCUGCCAUGGAUGGAGAAUCUAGGUUCUGUGCAACAUCAUUAGAGUCCCUAAUCGAUUUUAGCACUUCAAAGCUCGGAAGAAAUGUGAAUGUGCUGACGAAUGAGGUUAGAAUGGGAAGCCAAGAGUUUGAAUUUGGAGUGAGAAUGAAGAAGGUUGCAGACAAAUCAGUGGUGUGCCAUAAGAUGAACUACCCAUAUGCUGUUUUCUACUGCCAUACAUUCGCUAAGACACGGACUUACAUGAUUCCAUUGGUGGGUGAUGAUGGAAGCAAAGCUAAAGCCAUGGCAGCUUGUCACAGUGAUACGUCAGCUUGGCACCCACAGCAUGUGGCCUUCCAAGUGCUCAAAAUUAAGCCAGGAACGGUCCCUAUCUGUCAUUUCCUUCACAACAAUGCCAUGGUCUGGAUUCCAAAGUAAGGGAUAAGCUGAAAGCCUCAAGCCCAGUUGCAUUAUCAGUUCCAUCUUAAAGCUGUUUGUAGUAUGAAUGGUUAAAAACUUAGAAUAAAUGCAGGUUUGAGGAUUAAUGCAUGUAUUGUGCAAUUGAUGCUAUUUAUUCAUUAAUGUGUCAAUAUUUAUUGAUUUUUUAGGUUACUGAUAUUUUGUGUCAAUAUUUAUUGAUAUAUCUCAUAUAAAUCCAUAAAAUCGAAAUACCUAUACAUUAAUUCGUGAUUACUUAUAUUUUUAUCCCUACUUUACACUCAUCAAAUCCUACCUAUGCCCUCACCUUUGGCUUUCAUUUGCAUUCCUCCUUCAACUAAAGUUUGUAAAGAGAGAAGAGAUGUGCAGUCAUUGCUAACUAUUUGGACAUGACAAAAAAUCUUAAGAGGAGUGCAAAGAUGUUUUCUCAAAGGAGUGCUUAUAUAUAUAAAUAAAGAGUAUUAAAUAUAGAAGAGGUUGACGGAAACAGAGUGCAAAGACGCUUUCUCAAAGUAGUGUUUUUUUUUUUAAAAAAAAGAAUAUUAAAUAUAGAUGAACGAGGUUGGGAGAAAAAAAUGUGCAAAGAUGCUUUCUCCAAGUGUUGGCUUGAUAUAUUUUUUUCUUUUUUCUUUUUAUUUUUAAAUAAUAUCAAUCAUUAAAAAAAAAAAAAGGGAAACUCUUAUAUUAAAGGUAGAAUUUUAUUUUUUUCUUAUCAAAACUUCUAUUUUUACUUAUUAAAUGCAUCACAUGAGUGUUUAUUAUUUUGAUAUAUCUAGAAAUGAAAAAUCUAUUCCCGUCACAUAAGAGAUUUUGUACAUAUAUAACAUGAUAUGCGAUAAGAACAAACAAAAACUACUUCAUUGAUUUUGAAUAAGAACAAACAAAAAUUACUUAAUUGACUUUUUCUUUUGAGUAGAAAAUAUAAGAAUCUGAAUAUAGAGCCAACCACAUAAGAGGACAGUAAAGUCUUGAAUAGAAAUUGAUGUUACAAAGGGAUUAAGGGUUUUUGAGAGAGGACAUGGGGUUGGGAAAACUACUUGAUCCACAUGGUAGUCUAAGGGAGUUUGAGGUAAACAAUAUAUUUAACUUGACCCUUAAUCUCUGUACUUGUAUAAAAUGUUCUUUACUUUGUAUAGUAGCUUGGAUCGAUUUAUAUGGUCAAUAGUAGGUUGGGUUAUCAUCUAUAGAACCAAUAAUCUUUCUAAUCAUCAAACAAUUAAAAACCAAAAGUGAUUAUGGAGCUCAAUCAAAUAAAGAUAUAGAAAUUAAGAUUUUAACUAAAACUAGUCAAAUGAAAAGAAAAUCUCUAGAAAAAUUCUCAAAUCAGUUUGAGGAACCACACAAACAUGUUAGAUUUUAAUCUUAACAAGGUGGUUUAAAGUUAAUACAAGUCUAAAUCUAAUCAAAUGAUAGAUUUAGAUUUGGAAAUACUUGAAUUUGGCAUUUUAGGUUCAAAUCUCAGAGUCAAUAUAUUAGAUUAUUCCAAUUUUUUGUAGUUUCUCGAUUCAUUGAUUAUGCACUGAUUUAUCUUCUAAGAUUCAUUUUAAUCUUAUAUGCAACUAAUCAAAUGAGGUCUCCAUUAUUGAUUAAUAGAUGAUCAAAUAUCAUUGGAACUAAAUAAGCAAUGUCUUUCCCUUAAUUAUCUACGCAGAGAGUUCAAUCCAAAAAAAAUUACAAAUUUAAAUAAGUUUUUUCUCGCAUAUCAUAUUUGGUUGGCAAGAAAUAAGAGAAAGUAAUAGAAAAUAAGAAUUUAAGAGAUAAGUUAAAAUAAUAAUUUUUUUUUCCUCACAUAUCACAUAUAGCACUGGAAGUAUUAUUUCCUUUGUCUUUUUGUUGUGAUGAAACCCUUGACAAACAUUGUCAUAUCAUAUCCCAAGUUUGCAAGAAUAUUUUUUCACUCUCCUAGUGUUGGUGGAACUUAAUUAUUUAGACACGCAUGUCUUAUAUAGUAACUCUUAAUAUUUUAAUAUACAAAGGAAAUGAUUAAGAGCUACUAUAUACAAGAUAUGCAUAUCUAAAUAAUUAAGUUCCAUUGACACUAGGAGAGUGAAAAAAUCUUACAAAUAAAACAAAAGAAGAAAACAUGAUGUGCUUAUAGUAUUGGGAAAUGAUAUGACAAUGUUUAUCAUGAGUUCCAUCAUAGCAAAAAAAAUAAAGGAAAUAGUUCUUCCACUACUAUAUAAGAUAUGUAUGUCUAACUAAUUACAUCCCACCAUACUAGAUAAGUGAAAAAAUAUUGCAAACAAAACAAAAGAAGUAAAUUAACAUGAUAUAUAUGCUUGUAGCUACCAAUGAUGUCAAACUAAUCCUAUCUAUGUGGUUCACAUUGACCUUGAGAUUUAACCAUUUGAAGGUACAUAGUGAAGCUUGACAAAUUGCACACAAUAUACCUAUCUUGAGCCUUGAUUUAUCCAAAGGCCUAUAGUAGGCCUAAUCAUCUUCAACCUUCACACACCCAUCACAUGGUCAUUUUUCAACCAUCAUUUUCCUAGGGAGUAACAUUACUACAUACCUAAUGAUCAAUCACUUCGUUAACUCAUAAGGUUCCUAUGAUUUGAACCUAUAUGACCUGAUUAGUUUGACACCAUUUGUUUUAAUUUUAAAGCUUUAUUACAUCUAGGUAGUUUUAUUAAGUCAUAUAUUGUGGUUUUCCUAUAAAAAUUUCAUCUCUUCUUGUAUGACAUUUGAUCACUCUUCUUUUUUUCAUAUGAUAAUACCUUUUGGUAAGUUUUUGGCUCUCUUCUUAGUGAUCAUCGCAUACUAAAUAAGGGAGUAUCUUCUAGAAUCUAUCUAGCUAUCGGAUCUUCUUAACUAAGAUUCUCACCAAGUUGCUCAUCUUCAUCUAUGAGCUCAUCAUCCAUUAGAGGGACAUCAUUAUGAUUGUCCUAUACAUCUCUCUUAUCAUCAAGACACAGUAUUGAUGGAUGAACUAUACUUGGGUCAACUAGUUCAUCAUCAAUAGAUUUUGGUUUUUCUAACUUACCAAAUUUUGAAAUGAUUUGAUCAUCAAGAAAUUCAAAAUCUCUAUUUUUGGUGAUUUUCUAGUGGACCAAGUCUUAGAAUCUAUACCCAAAUUCUUCAUGAUUAUACUAGACAAAAAUACACUGCUUUGACUUCCAACAAAUACCUUGCAACCAAAAAAAAAAAAAAAAAAAUUCAGAUAAUCAUAAGCAACAUCUUUUGCUAUCCAAAAUCUUUCAAGCACGUCACCAUUCAAAGGAAUUGAGGGAGAAAGAUUUAUUAAGAGAUACCACCUAUUCUACUUACCAUUGUUACCUAAAUCCUCCAUUUAAUUAGCUAAAUAAAAUCCAUAAAUAUCUAAACUCUCCAAUACCAUUUAUUGGGAAAACUAGUUAUUUCAAAAUAAUUCAAAUACAAAAACAAAUCUAAGCAAAACAAAUAAAUGAUUUUUCCCUUUUCAUGUAAACAAAUAUGUAAAUCUAGCUAUAUCAAGUGAAUAAAACGGGUAAGAUAAAUUAACAUAAUUCACAAAAAUCAAGAUACAAAUUUUACAAGGAAAACCCUUCGAUGUGAAGGGAAAAAUCAUGAGUUGUGGUCAACUUAAAACUUUUACAAAUAAAAAAUUAAUAAGCUACAUCAAGUUCUUCUCUAGAAAUUACAUCAUUUUAUUUAACAUAGAGAAUAUGAUAUUUUAUACAUAUAAAUUACACGGAGGACAACCCUCGACAUCCUUUGUGUAACACAAUAAGACUGAUUCAAGUUCAUAAUAUGAUAUUUUAUACAUUAUUUUUAUAAAUAUUUGAAAAUAAUAUUUGAGAAAUUAAAAGGAUAUUAUUUUCAGUGCAAUCCCAAAUCUAAUGCCUCUCCACAACUUCAUCAACAAAGCUUAGAAAUACCCACAAACAUGUCAAAUCUCUCAUAAAAAAAAAGCAAAAAAAUACAAAUAGAGUUUUUCUAGAAAUAUCCAAAGAGUCGUCCUCCUUAACCGUCCUUCCCUCCUCCCUUUCUUUGGUUGCAAGAUGGUCCCUUUAUCCCCAAAUCAGGUUCACCAACUUUCUGCUCAUGCUCAUGCCUUGCCUCCAACUAAUGCUACACCUCUAUUCCCGCUCUUAGCAACCAAAAAAAAAAAAAAAAAAAAAGCCACAAUCAUGUAUUAGCAAAAAGGGUCAGGCCCAAUACAAGAUUUAAUAAAUACAUCAACCCAAAUCUAACUAAUAUAAUAGGCCCAAAUUUCAAUCACCAAUAACAUAUGAGCCCAAAAUCCAUAUCAAUUAGGCCCUAAUCUCAUAACAUCAAGCCAAAGACAAAAAUAAAAAUAAAAACAAAUGAGAAAAUUAAAAUAAAAUGAAAUAAUAAAAAAAAAAAAUAAGUAAAUGAAAUCUUACCUAUCUCCUAACCCACGAAUAGAGAUGCAACAAUUGAUGGUCAUGGGGAGUGACAAUGAAGACAGAGGCACGCUUGUGGCAGUGCAUAAAAGAAAAUAAAAGAAGAAGAAAAAACAAAGAUAAAUAUAAAUAAAUAAAAUAAAAUAAUAAAAUAAAAACUUAAAAGAGAUAAAAAUAGGGAAUAUAUAGUCGGAGAGUGAGGGGGAUGACGAUUGGAAGUGGUGCGAAUAGUAGCACCGCCGAUGACAACUUGGCGGUGGUGGAGUCGAUGAAGAAAUGAAGAAAGAAGAAAUGGAAAGAAAAAAAAAAGGAAAAGAAAAAGAAAGGAAAAUAAGAGAAGAAGAAUGAGAAAGGAUGGAGGCUGUGAGGGGGCGGUAGAAUGGGGAAAAAUGGGCUUUUAGGGUUUGACUUUUGAAAUAGUUGGUGGAGAUUAAAAAGGAAAAAAAAUGGUUAGGAUUAGUUCUCACAUUUGGGUAUGGAAAGUUGGGCCUAGGUUGGACCUAGGUUGGGCUAAAAUUAAAAUGGAAUGAGCCCAAAUAAAUACAAUCAAAAUAAGCCCUAUAAAUAAAUAAUAAAUAAAUAAAUAAUAGCAAAAAUAAAAUAAGUCAUCAAAAACUAGAAAAACAAACAACUUAAAUUUUGAAAGUAAAUUAUUUUUAUCAAAAAACCAAAAAAACAAAUGUCACCUUAGUGUAAAUUCAAUUUUGUUGAAUUAUAGAGAUGCCUUCAAUGUAAAUUCAAUUUUUUUCCACGUGACUAAUAUGAAAAUUGUUGAAGAUGUCUCUUCAAGAGACACCUUUAGUAUAAAUUUGAUUUUAUGACAUUAUGUUAAAUUUUACAUAUAUUUGAUGACUAAGAUAUAAAUUUAAUAAAAUUGGGGGAAAAUAGCCAUUAAAGAAUUAUUUGAAAUAGAUUUUUUUUUUCAAAUUUUUUUAUUAAAUAAAAUGUUAUUGAAAUCAUUGGAAAAAUACUUUUCAUUUAUAUCAAAUAUUAUUAUUAUUUUUGAAUACUAUAAUAUUGUAUGAAAAUGAUGUACUCCAAUAGCCAAAUGUGGUGUGUUGAAAGUCCAAUGUGAUGCCUUAAUAUAUUUUUCUUCUUCUGGUCAAGAUUUUAUCCUUCUACUUGUCAAGUUUCAAUUCUUUUCAAACAACUUUCUUCUUUCCCCUCGAUAUAUAAGAAUGUAAUAUAAUGGAGGAUUGAGAGGUAUAAAGGAAGAAAUCCCCACAUUUAUAAAGUGUAUAAAUCUUCAAGAAUAUAGUAAUCAAAGUAAUGAUGAAAAGUUGUAAUAAAACGUUCUUAUUCUUUUUACCAUUGAUAUUACAUACAUAAUUUUUACUCUCUUUAACGAAACCUUAAACUAUAAGAAGAUAGAAAUACACUAAGGAUAAAUUCGUCAUUAAAAUUUUUUAUGAAAAGACAUCUCGAACUAUGGAAAGUGACCAUCUCCUUCCUUACAUUUAUUUUCAUGUCCUAUUUAUUUUAUUUACAAGCUUGUUAGUUGAAAAUUAGUUGUAAAAAUUAUAUUAAUUCUUUUUAAAAAUUUUUAACUCAGCUUAAUAAAAAAUAUACUAUAAUUUAUAAUAAAAUUAAAGAUUAAAUCAAGAAAAGAAAUGUUAAUAAAAAUGAUUUUAUGUUUGAUUUAUUUUAAAAAAAUAUAAAAUAUAUUUUUAUUUUAAAAUUAAUAAAAUAAAUAUUUUUUUUUUAAUUUAAAUGAACUGUGUAUUUAAAAAUUAUUUAUAAAUUUAUAAUAUAAAGUUACUUGAAGAAAACAUUUUAUUAAUUGGAAAAGAAAAAAACAACAUCUUCCAAACAUGUUUUUUAUUUUACUUGUUUUAAAAAACUUUUUUUAUUAACUCAACCAAACAUGUUUUUUUUUUUUUUUGAGAACAAAAAUUGUUUUUCAAAAUUCAAUUCCCAAACACAAUUUUUUUUUCUUCUAAAAACACCAAAAAAUGUUCUUGAAAAUUGUUUUCCAAAACAGUUUUAAAAAACAACAACCGAACAGAUCCUUAAUUUCAAUAAUUUAAGAAAGAAGAAAGAGUUUGCGGGUGGGGGUGUGGUGGUUGGGUGGAGCUCACUUUUGUGCAAACACAAAAAGCAGCUAAAAAAAAAAAACAAGAAAAAUAAUUUAUUCUUUGAAUAGUGAAAAAACACUGAAAACAUGUUUUUUGUUUUUAAGAACAGAAAAUAGUUCUUGAAAACAGAAACCAAAUAUGCCAAAAUUAUCUUAGGUUUUCUUGAAAGAGUGAGAGUACAACAAUUAAAAUGGAUAAAAAGAAAUAAGAGGGAAAAAAUGCUUUUGAAGGAAAAUAAAAUAGAAGGGUAAACUUUUUCAAAUGUAAUCAAAAUUAAUGAAAUCUAUCAGGAGUAUAAGAAUUAUGGAGAGAGAGAAAGGGAAAACAUAUAUAAAUUUGUAUUAAGAAUUUAAGAGUGAAGAGAAGGUGGGGACAAUGGAGACGGAAAGAUGGACAAAUCAAGAAUUUGUAACCAAUUUUACUUAUCCAUAAAUUGAGAAUGACAUAUUCCCAUUUGGUGUGUGUUCAUAUAUGGAUUUUAUAUCCUUUUGGGUGUACCCCACUUCUACAUCAAACCCAGGCUUGUUUGCUCGUAUAUAUGUAUAUCUUUUUUGGAAUCAAAUAUAGCCACAUAGCCUUAAGAUAUUUAUUUUUAAUUAUUAAUUAAUUAAUUAAUUAUUCUAGAAAAUAAGUGACGGUGCCUUUCAUGUCAUCCAUUAUUGUGAUCACAAUUUUCCUUGCAUCUUCAACAAAUAUUUUUUUAAUCAAAAUAUUUGUAAACAUGUUAGUAAUGAAUUACUUAAAAAUAAAUAAAUAUUGUAAUAAUUAUUUAAAAAUUAUAAUUAUUUUUUGUGUUUAGAGUAUUUAAAAAAAUAAUUUUUUAUAUUUGAUUUUUAAAUAAAAUAAAUAAAUUAUCCUAGAUUUUUUUUAUUUUAAUUGUUUUUUCAAAGUAAAUAGACUAGGAAUGAAUCAUUGAACCCAAUUAUUGGUGCCGAUCAAUUCAUCAAUAAUGAGUGCCAGCAUGACCAUGAAAUAAAUUCUUGGCAUCGCCUGAUACAGACAAUCUUUGUUUUGCUUAUCACUUUUGCUAGCUAGCUUUUGUCCAUUCUUAUUUUGUCUUUUUUUUUUCCUAAUUAAAUUAAAUUGUGAAUAAUAAUAAAAAGAUUUUAAAAAUUAUUUAUUAAAUUAAGAAUUAUUUAGUAAAUUAUAUACAUAUGUGUGGAAUCCAAAAAUAUAUUAUUAUCAUUUUUAUACAAAUAGACACUUUAUAAAACAUAAAUUGAUUGCUGUGUUGCAGUGGAGCUUGAGGGUCAACAUGAUAGGUGAUAAAAUUUUAGAAUAUGAUAUUUGAAGUUAUUUUUAAUAUUUUUAAAAUGAUAAUUUCAAUUUAGAGAAAAAAGAUAAUUUUCAUAUUUAAAUUGAAAAUAUUUAUUUAAAAGAUAAUUUUCAAUUAAUAUUAUAAAAAUUAAAUUUGAAAAUAGUUAUAAAAGCAUCAUACCUUAAUAAUAUUUUUAAAAUUACUGUAAUUUUUUUUUUCUUUCAAAAAAUCUCCAUUUUACUUCAACAAAGAUCUUAUCGUGAUCGUUGUAGAUAACUCUCACGUGGCGAUAAUUCAUGGGCAUGGGCUUGCAGGCUGCGGCGGCACUUGGUGAUAAUUUAAGGAAAAGUUUAAUUAAUUGUAAAGGUCGCCCAUUCAGUCACUCUUUACGUAAAAGGCAAUGAUUGAGCCAAAAUAAUAAAAUAAGGCAUUUAUCACCACGCCAAUUUUUUUUUUUUAAUACUUUUUUCUUCUUUAUGGUAUUAAAUAUGAUCAUAAGAAAUAAAUUAUCAGUGCCGCCGACUGCAGAUAAUCUUCUCAAUUUUCUUAAAGCUAUGUUUAAAAAAUUAUAGAAGGAAAGAGUAAGUGAAAAAAAUAAAAAUAAUAAAAUUUAAAUUAAUAAAUUAUUUUUAUAUGUGUCUUUAAAUUAAUUUAAUUUAUUAUUAUUUAUUAUAUAAAUAUUAAAUAAUUUUAAAAUAAAUAAUUUUUUAAUUAAUUUUAAUUAUAUUUGAUUUUUUUUAUAUAAUUUUUUAUAAUGAAAUCAAAACCCUUUCUUUUAGUAUUUAUUUAUUUUUUCCUAAAAGUACCACCCAAAUAAAAAUGAUAACAUGAUCAAGGUGAAGAUUUCUCUUCCUCUACACUUGCUCGUUCUCACCAAAAUAGUACCAGUUCAAGCCCAAAUACAACUCCGAUAAUGUCGUCUCUGAAUCAAGCAUUCAUCAUCAGGCUUGAUCACUCAAAUUGUCUUCUAUUGUGUACUCAAAUGCUGAAUAUUGUAAUCGUUAAUGGACUCAAGGAGAUGGUCGAUGGUUCACAACCUUCUCCUCCAAUUUUUCUUGAGAAUUCUGAAAGUACAAACCCAGAUUUUUAGAUCUGGCAACGACAUUGUCGUUUUGUCAUGUGUUGGAUUUAUUCAUCUCUCGUUGAGAAUGUAAUGUCGCAAAUCAUCGAUCUCACUUCCGCUUCUGAAAUCUGGAGUACUCUUGAAAAAUUCUUCUUUUACUGCAUUAAUUGUAUUUAAUAUCUUAUUUAUAUUUUAUUUUUUAAAUUUAUUGUAUUUAAAUUUAUUUUUUUUAUUUUUAUUUUCAUAUUUUUUUCUUAUUUAAUUUUUUUAUUUGUAUUUUGUUUAAUUUUUAAAUCAAUUUAUUUUUUUAUUUUUUAAUUAAUUAAUUAUUCUUGAAAAUAAGUGAUAGUGCCCUUCAUGUUACCCAUUAUUGUGAUUACAAGUUCUCGUGUCCUCAACCAAUAUUUUUUUAAUCAAAAUAUUUGUAAAAAUAUUAGUAAUGAAUUACUUAAAAAAUUAAAUAUUAUAAUAAUUAUUUAACUAUAUUUAUAUAUAUAUAUAUAUAUAUAUAUAUAUAUAUAUUUAUAUUUUUUCAUUUUUUCCUUUUUUUAUUUACUUUUCCUCCGUAUUUGAAAUAGUGUAUAAAAAAUGAAGUAUUCAAUUUUUUUUUUUACUAUUUUAAGUUUUAAAAUUUUAAAAUCAAUUUUAAAUAUUUAAAAUAUAUAAUGUAUACUUUUUGUAUAAAAAGUUUUAAUUUUUAUGCAAAAUUUGAUUAAUUUAAAAAAAAACAAAAAUAGGAAAUAUAUUCUAGGACACUUAUUUUGUUAAUUUUUAAAUAAAAAUAUAAACAUGGAAUUAUCGUCUAUAGAUUUUGUUAAUUUUAAUUUUUUUUUUCAAAGUAAAUAGAAUAGAAAUGAUUCAUUGAACCUACUAUUGGUGCCCAUCAUUCCAUCAAUGCCAGAGUGGCCAUGAAAUAAAGUCUUGGUGCCGCCGACACAAACAAUAAUUUAAUUUGUUAGGUUUUUGUCAAUUUUCAUGGUCACUUUUGCUAGUUUUCAUUUUGUCUUAUUUUCUUAAUUAAAUUAAACUGUGAAUAAUAAUUAAAAUAUUUGAAGAAUUAUUUAUUAAAUUUUAUGUAUAUUUGAUGAUUAAGAUAGAAAUUUAAUACAGUGAAAAAUAAGCAUUAAAGAAUUAUUUGAAAAAUAUUUUUUUCAAUUUUUUUAUUGAAUAAAAUGUUAUCAAAACCACUGCAAAAAAUGCUUUUCAUUUGUAUCAAAUAUUAAUUAAUUUUUUAAUAUGAUAAUAUUAUAUGAAAAUGUCAUACUCUAAUAUUCUAAUCAAGAUUUUAUCUUGUUUGGUCAAGCUUCACUUCUUUUCCAAUACUCCAAUACUCUUGAGCUAAUCAGGCGCUUAGGGGAGAGGACGACCCUCUACAUCCUUUGUGCAACAUACAUUAUUUUUAUAAAUAUUUGAAGAUAAUAUUUAAUAAAUUAUAUACAUAUAAAAACAUAUUAUUUUCAUUCUUAAACGAAAACAUAAAUUGACUGCUUUGUUGUUUUUAUUCGUGAAAGUAAGAGCAGUCAAGCAGUGGUUGUUGUCGUUGAGGGGUCACAUGAUUGGCGAUAAAAUUGUUUAUGUCCCUUCUCUUAAUGCCACUCACCCUCAUUGCCAAAAUAGUCCCACUAACCUCUAUAAAUAGCAAGAAGCUCGGUUCAGUUCUUUCCAUCCAAGCAUACCUUCUCAUAGCUUAGCUUUCUGUUUAAGUUUCUCAGCUGUAAUGGAGUUUCGUUCCUUUCCCUUUCUGGCUUUUCUUUCUGUGAGUCCAGAUUAAUUCUUCAUUUUUUCACAAAAAUGUUUUGGGAACAAGUCAUAAUUUUUCUGUUUAAAAAACAAAAACCUGUUCUUGAGAAGAGAUCUUUAGGACACUCAUGUGCUAGUUUAAUUAUCUUCUUGUAAUGGAACUUGGUGGCAUGCAUGCAGGUGAUGGUGGUAGUAAUCCAUGCUUCUCAACCUGAUGAGGAUUACUGGAAGUUGGCUUUGCCUCACACUCCCAUGCCUAAAGCUAUACGAGAUCUGUUGCAGUCCAGUUAGUUUCAUUAAAUCUCUACCCUACUUUCUGCAACAUCUUUUACUGAUUCUUAUGGUCUCCUAUCAUAGAAUUAAACUGCAGGGAAACUGUCAUAUAUAUCAUCAAGAUUGUUCUUCAUAACCAUUAAUUUGCUUUAUUUCUUGAAAAAUAUUUGUCUAGAUUAACAUUUCUAACUUUUCUUUGUAAUUGCUGAACUUGCAAAUUCAACAGAAGGUCUAAGUUCUGUCGAUGCUUCUACUGCAUCUUGUACUGUUCACAUUCAUUUCGAUAAAUUCUCUCAACCCGCCGGAGAAGAGGCUCAAGUAGAUGACUCAAAAAUAGGUAACUUCUUCUUGGAAACAGACCUGCAUCCAGGUAAAAAAAUGAAGCUGAACUUGGCCACAACUACAAAUGGAGCUGUUUUCUUGCCUCAUCAAGUUGCUGAAUCCAUGCCCUUUUCAUCCAACAAGCUACCCGAAAUCUUGAACCGGUUUUCCCUGAAAGAAAACUCCGCAGAAGCCGAGAUAAUAAAGAAGGAGCUAGAGGAAUGUGAGGAGCCUGCCAUGGAAGGAGAAGCCAGGUACUGUGCAACAUCAUUACAGUCCCUAAUCCAUUUCAGCACUUCAAAGCUUGGAAGGAAUGUGAAUGUGCUGACGAAUGAGGUCAAAACGGGGAGCCAGGAGUAUGAGUUUGGAGUGGGGAUGAAGAGGGUUGCAGACAAAUCAGUAGUGUGCCAUAAGAUGAACUACCCAUAUGCUGUUUUCUACUGCCAUACAUUCACUAAGACACGGACUUACAUGAUUCCGUUGGUGGGUGCUGAUGGAAGCAAAGCUAAAGCCAUGGCAGCUUGUCAUAGUGAUACAUCAGCUUGGCACCCAAAACAUGUGGCCUUCAAAGUGCUCAAUGUUAAGCCAGGAACAGUCCCUAUCUGCCAUUUCGUUCACAACAAUGCCAUGGUCUGGAUUCCAAAAUAGCCUGAUCAUGAAAUCAACGGAAAUAUUUAAUCCUCAAGCCCAGUUGCAUUGUUCCAUGUAAUAGUCGUUUCUAGUAUCAAUGGUGUGGUUUGAAUAAAUGCAGGUUAAUUUGAGAAGAAUGUAGUGUGGAAUGCUAUUCAUCAAUCUUUCCCGGUUGAUUUAAGGAAUAUUGUAAAUAUUGUUGUGUGGAAUAAUAUUCAAUAAUUAAUGAAUGAGUAUGAAUUAUCCUAGUGUAUAUAUAUUGUAAACUUAUUUAUAUUUUUAAAAAUUAAUUUUAAAAUUUGAAUUAGUAAUUUUUAUUAAACCUUAAUUUUUAAAAUAAUUUCAACCGUUUUAACCAAAUAUUCCAUUUUAAAAAUUAUUAUUACUAUUUUUUUCUUCAUAAAUCCCUAUUUUACUUCAACAAAGAUCUUAUCGGGUUUUUUUUUUUAACUUCUACACCUAGUUUAAAAAAUAAUUCUUAAAAAAUGGUAGUUUGAAAAAAAAAAAUUCUUAAAAUAUAGUAGUUACAAAACUAUUGAUAAAUCUACAACACUUUUUGUCAUUUUAAAAGGUGUUUCUUGAAAAGACAUCUUCCAUAUUAUUCGUAUUAACAUGUUAAAAUUUUUUUGAAUUUAUGUCUUUUGAAAAGACAUUUUUCAUAAUAUCAUAAAAUUGAAUUUAUAUUAAAAAUGUCUCUUCAAAAUACAUUUUUUCAUAAUUCCAUAAAAUUGAAUUUAUUAUGCUAAAGUUGUCUCUUCAAAAAGACACAUUUUUAUAAUUUUUUUAUUAGUCAUACAUGUUAAAAAUAAAAAUAAAUAAAUUUAUACUAAAAAAAAUAUUAUUUCUACAAUGUCAUAAAAUCGAAUUAAUACUAGAGGUGUAUUUAAAGAGACACCUUUUACAAUUUUCAUAUUAGUCACACGGUGAAAAAAAAUUGAAUUUACAUUCAAAGUGUCUCGAUAAUUCCACAAAAUUGAAUUUAUGCUAAAGAUGUCUCUUGAAGAGAUAUUUUUCAUAAUUUCAUAGAAUUGCAUUUAUACUAAAAGUAUCUCUUCAAAAGACACUUUUCCAUAAUUCUAUAAAAUUGAAUUUAUUAUGCUAAAGCUGUCUUUUCAAAAUAUACCAUUUUAUAAUUUUUUUUAUUAGUCAUACAUGUUAAAAAAAAAAAAUUAUACUAAAAAAAAAUUCUUUCCACAAUGUCAUAAAAUCAAAUUUAUACUAAACGUGUCUCUUGAUGAGACAUCUUCCACAAUUUUCAUAUUAUACAAUGAAAAAGAAAUUGAAUUUACAUUGAAGACAUCUCUAUAAUUCUACAAAAUUGAAUUUACACUAAAUGUGUCUUUUGAAGAAGCACCUUCUACAAUUUUUAUAUUAGUCACCUAUCGAAAAAACUAAAUUUAUACUAAAAGUAUCUCUUGAAGGGAAAUCGUUUAAUAUAAAUUUAAUUUUGUGCAAUUGUGAAAUAUGUUUUUUGAAGAGAUAUUUUUAAUAUAAAUUUAAUUAUUUUAAUAGGUAAUUGAUAUGAAAAUCGUUGAAGGUGUCUCUUUAAGAAACAUUUUUAAUAUAAAUUUAAUUUUAUAAAAUUAUAAAAGAUUUCUCUUAAGGAGAUAUUUUUAGUAUAAAUUCAAUUUUUUUUACUAUGUAACUUAUAUGAAAAUUGUGAAAAAUGUCUCUUAAAGAUAUACUUUUAUUAUAAAUUCGAUUUUAUAGAAUUAUAAAAUGUGUCUUUUGAAGAUAUAUUUUUAAUAUAAAUUUAAAAUUUUUUUAAUGUAUGUCAUUGAUAUAAAAAUUAUAAAAAGUGUCUAUCGAAGAGAAAUCUUUAAUGCAAAUUUAAUUUUUUGAAACAUGUAUAAUUGAUAUCAAAAUAAUGAAAGAUGUUUUUGAAGAGACCUUUUAAAAUGGCAAAUGUUGUAGAUCUGAAAAUAUUUUUUAAUGUACUAUAUUUUUUAAUUUAUGGGCAAACAGCCGGCGGCUGUGAUAAUUUAAAGAAAAGUUUAAUUAAUUGUAAAGGUGGCCAUGAAGUCACUUUAGGUAAAGGCGGUGACGGAGCUGGUGCAUGGACACACCCUACAAAUAAUGCAAAACCUUUAAUUUUAAAUUCACUGUAUAAUUAUAAAAAAUCCGAUCUUAUCGACAACUCCCACGUGGUGAUAAUUUAUGGGCAGACAGCCGGCGGCGGCGCUUCUUCAUAAUUUAAAGAAAAGUUUAAUUAAUUGUAAAGGUGGUCAUAAAGUCACUUUAGGUAAAGGCAGUGACGGAGCUGGUGCUUGUACACCCACCCUACAAAUAAUACAAAACCUAGAAGGCAUGGCUUUGAUUGCACAAGUGGGAGAACCAAAUGAUAAAACAAGGCAUUCAUCACCACGCCAGUAUAGAAUUUUUUUGCCACAGCAAAAGAAAAGGAAAAGGUAAAUAAAAAAAUUUAUUUAUUUUUGUAUGUUUUUUUAAAAAAAAUUUAUUUGAAUUAUUUUUACCUAUGAAGAUUAAAUAAUUUAAAAAUAAAUAAUGUUUGAACUAAUUUUAAUUAUAUUUAAUUUUAAUUUUUUUAUAAUAAAAUCAAAUACAAGAAAAAUCAUUUUUUCAAUAUUUGUUUAAGUAGGUCCCAAAAUAUCCAAGAAAUCCAUAUACAUAGAAACCAACACACCUGACUUCUUUCCAUGCAACUUGCAAGCUUCUUGUCUCAGUUUAUGAGCUUUUACCAUUAAUGGAGUUCCUUCGUCCUCUUCCUAAUGCACAUAAAUAAUCUAAACAUGCUCAUAGCAAUCCUUAAAUAACAAUUAAAUCAUAAGUGGAAUUGAAAACAGAUAAAAAAACGUAUCUCCCGCCAUUGCCAUUUUUACAGUUUAAAAAAUGUGUCUUCAAUUUUUUAGGUUUCAGGUGCUUUUAAACCUUUCUCAACCUCCACUUAGAUGGUGUUUUUUAAGACUAAAAGAGAUUGAAGGCUUAGGGAACCCUACCCUUUAGUUCUCUGCCCUUUUUUAAAGACUUUUUCCAUCACCGAGUCUGCUUCGAGCAUGCACAAAACAUGGAGUAGUGAUGCGAACGUGGUUUCGAACGUUAAUCCUCAUUCCUAAAUUGAUGGAAUGAAUGUGGACCACAUUCCGAAUCAUGUCUUCGGUUUGUUAUCGAAGAUCCAGGAGAAACAAAAUCCCAACAUUCUCCCACUUGGUCCAUAUAUUCCAUCAUUCACCAUAACAAGAAACAAAACACAUGAAUCAUGGUGAUAGGUCCUCUAAAAUCGAGUAUUAUCUUCCAUGUAUCACAAUGCAUCAUGUCUCUCAAAAAUUAGCCCAUAUAAGUUAAUGAAUAAACCCUAUGUUUAUUCUAGGUCCAAACAUUAAUGAUAUUUCUCAAUAAAUGAAUAAAGUGUACACAAAGAAAAUCAAAUAUGAGAAAAUAUCACAAAUAGAGUUUUAUUGAAAAUAACAUUCGUUCUUACAAUGAAAAUCACAUGAAGGAACCAAGUCCCAAUCUAUCUACAUGAUCCUUAAAUUUCAACGGUGGCAUGCCUUUAGUCAAAGGAUCAGUAAUCAUCAAUUCAGUGCUAACGUGUUCAAUAACCACUGUUUUCUCUUUAACACGUUCUCUUAUGGCUAAAUACUUGAUGUCGAUGUGCUUGUUUCGACUAUUGCUUCUGUUGUUCUUAGUCAUAAAAACUGCAGUUGAAUUGUCACAAUAUAUCUUCAAUGACCUAGAAAUUGAAUCCACAACUCUAAGCCUAAAAAUGAAACUCUUUAACCAUACACCAUGUGAGGUAGCCUCAAAACAAGACACGAACUCAACCUCCAUAGUGGAGGUUGCAAUCAAAGUCUGUUUUGCACUUCUCCAAGAAACAGCUCCAUCGGCUAGCAUAAAGACAUAUCCUAAAGUUGAUUUUUGCAAAUCAAUGCAACCAACGUGGUUCGAAUCAAAGUAGCCAAUCACUUCUAAAUUAUCAGUCCAUCUAUACAUAAACAUGUAGUCUUUGGUCCCCUGAAGAUACCUCAUCACUUUCUUUGCAAUUUUCUAAUGGUCUAUACCUGGAUUACUCUGAUAUCUUCCUAACAUCCCAACAGCAAAUGUAAUGUCAAGUCUUGUGCAGACCUGAGCAUAGAUCAAGCUUCCAAUAGUAGAAGCAUAAGGAAUGUUCUUCAUUUGUUCCCGCUCAAGAUCAUUCUUCGGGCAUUGGUCUAAAUUGAACCUAUUGCCCUUCACAAUGGGAGCUAUACUAGGUGAAAAAUCCUUCAUCCGAAAUCUCUAUAAAACUUUGUUGAUACAGGUCUUUUGAGACAAACCCAAAAGGCCUCGAAAUCUGUCUCUAUGUAUCUUAAUGCUAAUGACAUAAGUCGUAUCACCCAUAUCCUUCAUGUCAAAGUUUUCAAAGAGAAAUUGUUUCACCUCAUGUAGCAAACCCUUAUCAUUGGUUGCAAGUAAAAUGUCAUAUACAUACAGAACAAGGAAACAAAUCUUACUCCCACUUACUUUAUGAUAUAUACAUUGAUCCAUAAUGUUCUCCACGAAACCAAAUGAAGAAAUAACAUCAUGAAACUUCAAAUACCACUGACGGGAUGCUUGUUUCAAUCCAUAUAUGGAUUUCUUAAGCUUGCAUACCAGAUGCUCACCUCCACUAGAGGAAAAUCCUUCUGGUUGUUUCAUGUAAACCUUUUCUUCUAGAUUUCCAUUGAGAAAUGUUAUUUUCACAUCCAUUUGUUGCAACUCUAUGUCAAAAUGUGCAACUAAUGUCAUAAUGAUAUGAAGAGAAUCUUUCUUAGAUACAGGAAAAAAAGUCUCCUUGUAGUCAAUUCCUUCAUUUUGAGUGAAUUCUUUAGCAACAAGUCUUGCUUUAUACCUUUCAAUGUUGCCUAAUGAAUCAUUCUUUGUCUUGAAGACCCAUUUAUAUCAAAUGACUUUUGCACCAUUAGGCAGCUCAACAAGAUUAUGGACUCUGUUAGAUGCCAUAUAAUUCAUCUUAUAUUUCAUAGCAUCAUACCAUAAAUUUGACUCUUUGCAACUUAUGGCUUGUGAAAACGUUUCAGGAUCAUUUUAAGCUCCAAUGUUGUAGUCCGAUUUUUGCAGAUACACAAUAUAAUCACUAGGUAUUGUUGUUUUUCUUACUCUGGUAGAUAUCCUUAAUGUUGUAUCAAUAUUUUCUUGAGAAUCAUGUUGCUCAACUGGUUGUUCAACAAUUUCUAGUGAAUCUUGAACAACUUGAUCUAUUGGAUUGUCAUCAGCAAUUUCUGGAACUUCAAUGAUAGGUUGUCUGUUACUUGUUUAAACUUGAGGGGUGUUGUGAAUAACAAUGAAUCUAUCACUUGAAGUGGAUGGUUGAGCAUCAAUAUGAUCUUUUCCAGAAACAAUGUCCUAAAAUUGAUCGCUCCCACUAAUCAAGUCAUUCUUAAGAAACUUAGCAUUUCUUGACUCCACAAUCCUAGUGUUGUGAGAUGGACAGUAGAAUCUAUACCCUUUAGAAUUUUCGGCAUAUCCAAUGAAAUAUGCACUAAUGGUCCUUGGGUCUAUUUAUUCUCUUGUAGGUUGUAAACUCUUACUUUAAACGGGCAUCCCCAAACACAUAUAUAUUGCAAACUCGGUUUCCAAUAUUUCCAUAAUUCAAAUGGCGUCUUGGGCACAACCUUUGUUGGAACUCGAUUCAAUAUAUACACUGCCAUUGUAAGAGCUUCAGUCCACAAGGAUUCAAGAAGCUUGGAGUUGCUACACAUACUCUUAACCAUGUCCAUUAAUGUUUAGUUUCUUUUUUCAGCCACACCAUUCUGGUCUGGGGAACCAGACAUGGUGUAUUGAGCAACUAUCCCAUGCUCUUGAAGAAACUUUGCAAAGGGACCAAGUGUUUGUCCAUCCUCGGUGUAUCUACCAUAAUAUUCUCCACCUCUAUCCGUUCUCACAAUCUUUAUUUUCUUUCUGCAUUGUUUCUCUACUUCAGCCUUAAAAACUUUAAAGGCACCCAAUGCUUCAUUCUUGUUAUGAAGCAAGUAGAUAUACAUGUAUCAUGAGUAAUCAUAUAUGAAAUGCAUCAUGAGUAAUCAUAUAUGAAGGAGAUAAAAUAUUUCAGACCAUACGCGUCUAUGCUUGGACAAAAAAUAUCUGAAUGUAUGAUCUCUAAUCUUAGACUCAUAACAAAUAAAUGAGAUUGGUUUAUUUUUCUUCUCAAGCCAUUUCUAGAAUUUGGUGCAACCCUUCUUCAUAUACCCAUUUUUCUUGUAGAAAAGGCAUCUAUUGGCCUUCUUAAUUCCACAUUGGGGCAAUAUUUUAUCUUUUCCUUUCUUUUUAGUCUGAUUAUGAUCCUUUCCUUCCAUUUCCAUUAAUGCACUCUCACCCAAUUCCAUUUUUUAGUCUUCCCAUCCUCUUGAACACACAAGGUCAUAAGCUCAUUAAUUGACCACUUAUUCUUGUGUGUGUUGUAGGAGAUUUUGAAAUGUCCAUAUUAUUGUGAAAGAGUGUUCAAAAUAUAGCGCACAAGGAAGGAGUCAAACAUUUCAACCUCAAGUGUCUUCAAUUGUGCCACAAUGUCCCUCAUCUGCAUUAUGUGCUCUCACACACCACUCACAUCGGUGAGCCUUAAGGAUGAAAACUUCAUUAUCAAGGUGCUGGCAAGUGCCUUAUCUGAAGUCACAAAUUACUCAUCAAUAACCUUCGGUAAUGCCUUGACAUUGUCAUGUUGAUCGACAGAACCACAAAUACCAUUAGAGAUUUUAGUCUUUAUGAACAUUAGACUAAGGCGAUUUAAUCACUCCCAUUCUUCAUAAAGAGCCUUUUCGGUUGUAGUGUUGGUGUCAGUAAUAGUUGGCUUGUCUUUAUGUAUCCUAAAUGAAGGAGAAUUCUCUCAUUCCAAACCUUAUAGUUAUUAACUUUCAAUUCGGGAAUGUCACAUUUUGUAUUAGAGAAAUUUGCAGGUUGCAUGACUGCACAAAAAUUAAACAUAUAUGCUUAUAAUUCAAAAUUGAGACUAAUAACCAUAUAUCAUGUUUUACCAAUGUAACUCAUGUUCCAAAAUUAUGAAUAUAGUGACAUAAAACUUGCGUGUAGGCUAAAGUUCUAAUUCAAUUAGAUCCAUAUAAAACCAUCAAAUUAUGUUUCAUUUCCUAAUUUCUAUGGGUAAUUAAGAAAUAUAAUUUUAUAUUCCAUCCUAAUUAAUCAUACAAAUAUAAUUAAAAAUUCCUAUGGGAUAAAAUUUUAUUAUAUCAAAUAUAAUUAAUUACCCGUAAUGUCAUUUUUUUUAUAUGUGAUUCUAAAACACUUAAUAUAUAAUUUUGCAUAAUUAAAGAUGUUGUGACUACUCUUUAAUUAAUUACAAUUAUAUGGAUCACUUGACAUUUAAUUAAUUCACAAGAAAAACUUAUAUAAAUUACAUGAAACCAUAAGCAAUGUGUACACAAAAGUCAAUAUCAAUGUACUAAUAUUAUUCAACUCAAUAUUGCAUGUAAUAAAACAAUAAAUCAUACACACAAAAUUAUGAAAUAAAUAUUAUAAGUACAUAAAUAUCGAAAAUUAAAUCCAUAAAGAGCCUUGCAUAAUUAAAGAAUCAAUUUAAUGUGCAAAAUUAUUUUAACUUAAUGUUGUAUGCAUAAUAAACCAUAAAAGUAUACAUACAAAUAACAAAAAUAAAUAAUUUAGCAUAUAAAAUAUCCAUAAAUUAAAAGAUCUUAAGGAGUCUAACCUGGGUAGUGAUUGGGGAAAGGCAAGGCUAAGACCAAUUGGGCUACUACCCAUUUUCUUAUUUUUAUUUUACUUAUUUCUUUCUUAUUUACCUUAAAAAAUAUAAGCCCAUGUAGUUGUCUUCUACUUUUAACCAGGUCUGUUUGACCCAUUUGCGACCCGAAAUGAAACCCGAUGAUUUCCAGGUAUUCCAAACACCAGAUUGACGAUUUAAAACAUUGAAAUGUUAGAAAUAUAAUCUCCUAAUGAUUUCUAACUAUAUUUUUAAUAAAAAACUUCUAAAAACCAUAAACUCCAAAAUACCAAAACUCACUGUAUUUUUUUAUUUAUUGAAAAACGCAGAUUGUAAAAUGAACAAGAUAGAAACAUACAUUGCUCUGAUACCAACUGAUGGACAUAAAUAAUCUAAACAUGCUCAUAACAAUCCUUAAAUGGCAAUUAGAUCAUAAGUGGAAUUGAAAAUAGAUCGAAAACGUACCUCCCGUCAUUGCCAUUCUUACAGGUUAAAAAAUGUGUCUUUAAAUUUUCCGGUUUCAGGUGCUUUUAAACCUUUCUCGACCUCCACUUAGAUGGUGUUUUUUAAGACUGAAAGAGAUUGAAGGCUUAGGAAACCCUACUCUUUUAGUGCUCUGCCCCUUUUUAAAGAUUCUUUCCAUCAUUGAGUCUGCUUCGAGCAUGCACAAAACAUGGGGUAGUGAUGCGAACGUGGUUUCAAACGUUAAUCCUUGUUCCUAAAUUGAUAGAAUGAAUGUGGACCACAUUCCGAAUCAUGUCUUUGAUUUGUUACCGAAAAUCCAAGAGAAACAAAAUCCCAACAUUUUCCAUUCUGGCUUUUUUUUUAGUAAGUCCACAUUUUUUUCUUCUUCAUUUUUGUUAUGAAUAUUGUCAAUCAAAUAGUCUUUCAAUUGUGUUAUUGUGAUUAAUGCAACUUAAUUGCAGGUGGUGGUGGUAGUAAGCCAUGCUUAUUUACCUUUUGAGAGUUAGUAAGCCAUGUUUUUCUACCUUCUGAGGGUUACUAGAAGUUGGUUUUGCCUCACACUCCCAUGCCCAAAGAUGUGAAGGAUCACUUGCAGCCUGGUUUGUUUCAAUACAUCUCUAGACUUUGUUGCAAGAUAUUUUCUUUUAGAUUAUUUGAUCUUACAUUAAGCUUAUAAGUUUUCUUUGUCAUUGCUGAAUUUGCAAAUUCAAGGUGUAACUUCUUUCAAUGUUUCUGCUGCUUGAUGUACUAGGAUUCACAUUCAGUUCAACAAAAUCCAGGCUCAAGAUGGCUUAAAUAUAGGUAACUUUUUUUUACAAAUAGAUCUGCACCCAAGUACAAAAAUGAUGUUGCAGUUGCCACAAACUACAAAUGAAGCAAUAUUCUUGCCUCGUCAAGUUGCUAACUCCAUACCCUUUUCAUCUAAGAAGCUACCUAUAGACCCUCAUCUUGGGGUGUCUUUUUGCAGGAUAAUUUUUGCCAGGUGUCACAGUCCUAGAAGACCAUAUGUCACCUCGUGGUUAGCUGUGAGAGAAUCAUGUUAGUGGAUAGAGAAUGCAAUGGGAAAAAGACACGUGUUUUAGAAUAUUCUAGAGAUGAGUGUAUUCAGUUAAGGGAGUAGGCUGGUUGUUGCUGGUGGGAUUUUUUUUUAGCUUGUUGGGGGAGGCAAGACAGGGAGAGGAAAAACUGUGGAAAACAAGUUGGGUAUAUGGGAAGAGAGAUGGUAGGAAGAAUGGAACAAAAUUGAGUGUUCAUUGAAAGGAGUGGUUACAGAGAACGUUUUUUUGGGAAAGAGGGGAAAGAGAAAGAGAACUUGGGGAGAAAACCAGAGAAAUGAGCUUGAGAGAAAACGAGACAGCUUGAGAAUGGAGACAAGAAAAAAUGAGAGUAGUAGAUAUUUUUUUGGGGUGAGAAGAGAAAUUUGAGAGAGCUUGAGAGAGAACCAGUGAUAAGCCUUAGAGAGAAACUGAAGAAGAAGCAGGGGAGGAACUUGUCAAUUCGGUCCAAGUAUGAUUUCAUCAUUCUUUUGUAUUUUAUCAUUUCAGAUUGUUCUAUCAUGUUUCCUGAUGAUUUUUGGGUUUAUUUGCUGAUUGGUGUGGACGUCUGCUUUUUAUGUGCAUUCUCUGUUAGGGCCUCAUGUUCAAAUCUUUGUUUCUCUGUGGAAAAUACUUGAUGUAUUAAUCUUUCCCUGAGUUUGAUGAAUAGAAAUCCUGAUCUUGCUUCUUGAGAUUUUUCCACCCAUAUCCAACUCAUUGAUUAUCAUGAAUGGAGCUAAUUGUAACAACAUUUCUUCCUCUUGUACAUGCUCUGUUUUUCUUCAUUUUUUCCUCUGUUUCUGGUAUUUUUAGAGUGUUGGGCAGCAUGUUUGGGUUGGCCAUUUGGAUUGGGGUGCUUUUGAGAGAGCUCAACAUUGGAGUCUUUGAAAGACAUUGCCCUAUUGUUCAUUUGGUGAGCUGAAGGUUAUCUAUCUAAAGAAGGCAUGAAGGAGGCCAGUUUCUAGCAAGAUAUGAUGUCGCUUUUUUUUUACAAGGAUGACGGAAAUAACAUAGUUCAGUGAAGAAGGUCAUUUGGAUGUCAUCUUCACUCUGAUCAGACAUUGAAAAAUGACCCUCUCCAAAUUAGUGAAUGAAAGCUUCAUUUUCAAGUAUCCGAGUUCUUUGUAGAAGAGGUGCUCCAUGACACACCAAAUUGCCAAGGUGUCUAGUAAAUGGUCCAUGCCUUCAUGAUACCCAUGCACCUAGUUCUAGCUUCUCAUGACUGAUACCAGUUGAAAGAUAUGAUUCACCACUGUUUGCUAUCCAGCUGAGUCUUGGGAAAGGUCGGAGAAGCAUGAAUGGUGUUGAUGUGGUUGGAAGUAUGGUUGAUGCUGUAGAUAGAGAAUGUGAGAGAGAUGACCAUUUCUUCCUUUUUUUCAGCCAAAGCUGAGAUUGAUUCAUUACUUCGCGGGACUAAUCCCAUCACUGGUGGUUUUGAAGCUGGUAUCUCCAAAGGUGGACCAACCUGUGAGCACGCACAUGCCAACUUUCAUUCUUGGCAUGAAGUGGAUGAUUUGCUACUGAAAUAAAACAGAGGACAUGACGCCAAUGUGCUCUACAAUAAGGCUUCGAAGGUGCCGAUAUGAUAGAAAGGCCUACCAACCUUGAUUGGUACAAAGACCCGAUUCUUCUUGAGGCCCUAGACAUGGUUAAUAAGCCUAAAAGGCCCUCAGACAAGCCACUACAUCAUCUUCUAUAGGAUGUGCAUGAGAUUGAUGGGAUUAGAACUGUACCAAUUGGGCGUGUAGAGGCUGGCACCCUGAAGUCCAGCAUAGUGGUGACUUUUGUCCAUUAUGAACCUAUAAUUGAAUUCAUACCCGAUGAGACGUGCCAUCAGUCUUUCCCAGAGGUUGUGCUUGAUGAUAAAUUAAGCUUCAAUGUGAAAAAUAUUGUUAUGAAUGAUAAAAAACGUGGCUUUGUUACAUCCAGCUCCAAAGGUCGAUCCUAUAAAGGGAAUUGCCAGCUUCACCGCCCAGGUCAUCAUCACGCACCACCUUGAUCAUAUCUGAAAUGGAUAUGUCCCUGUUCUUGCAGUACCUCCUCCUCCACCAUGUACCCAUCCUAUCAUCCAUACUCUCCAUGCGUUUCCAUUUUUCAAAUACCCAUACCUAUAUCUUCACCUUUCAACACCCACUAAACCCAUUUUUCUUAUUACGUACCUAUUCCAUCAACCAUUUCCUAACCAAUUUCUCACACUACCCCUUAUCAUCCAUUCCACCCAUGAACAAGACCAAUAUUUUGUAAACCACUUUCUCUCCCUACUCAUGGCUCCACCCAACACUAAUCCUUUUGCGCAUGGCUACUUUCAUUUCACCACCUCUCCUGUUUGUUUUCAUCAUGCAUGAACCCAUAUGUACCUCUCUCCACAAGUUAUUCCAUUGAUCAAUCUUCAUACUCACCACAUACCUAGCACACCCACUUCCAUGUUUAUAUUUCCAUUUUUUUCAAUGCCCUUAAACCAAUAUCUCUCGUUACCUUCCUAUCAUUGCUCACUCUCUGUCACCCUUCCAUCAUUCUACUAUGGUGUACAAUGGUUCAUGCUGACGGGUUUGUUUUGCAAACUUAGAGACUACCUAAAACAUUCACAGGGGUUCAGUAGAUCAGACUAUUUUCAGCUACUCGGGGUAUCCGUACCGAUGAAUGAGGAAAUAGUAUGAAUGUACCAACCCGAGUUGAAAAGCAUAACUGGACAUGGUACAAGAAGCACCUUCUCUUAAGAAGAAUGUGAACAUGAAAUUGCCAAAGGGUUAACGAAGAUGAAUAUUUUAUUCCUACUUUGGAAGAUGAAGCAAUUGAAGUUAAACAUUUACUUGUUGAACCUAAAAAUGAUAAUAUCUUUGUGGAUGGUGUUUUGUCUCUAAAGAAGUGCUUGGACAUUUAAGAUAUUCCUGGCAGAUUUGAAUGUGUCCUAGAAGGCCAUAGUGGUGGGAUGGAUUCAAAUACUACUCGGGAAGGAGAAGACGAGCUAAAACUUGGAGUUUUGAUGGAAUGCUGCAUGAAGUUGGAGAAGUUGGGGAUCUUCAUGCAACAAAAGUCUCUCUGGUGCUUGUGAAGAUUAUCUUUUGGAUAUUGAAUUUGCUUAAAAAGUUUCAGAAUUGGACAAUGGUCUUUGUGCAGGAUCACACUUGGAGAACUCAAGUUUUGAAAGUCAUUCUCCAGGAUUUAGCGGUAAUGAUAAUGGUGUUGUUGGGAUAUCAGAAUCAUCAAUAGGAGCCAUUCCAUUGCUCGAAUGUGGGAAUAAUCUUGACAAGACAACCAUUUGUACUUUAUAUGGCACUUCUGGAAGCAAAUGUGAAUGUAAAAAUGCUUAUUUAAGAAGCAAGUAGAAUACUUUCAUACCAGGGGAAGCAGUCUGCAUAUGAUAUGAUGUAUCAAGUGUCACUGAAACAAUACUGCUCCAAAGCCACCACCUUAUUAGCUGAAUAGGAACUCAUUUGUCAAUACUCCCUUGGUGCACCCACGUAGACUUCUUCUGGCUUAAUCAGCGAGAUGGAGCUACAUGCAAAGAUCAUGGGUUGCUUUGUCGACCACUGUAUGUUGUUUGGUGUCCAUCUAUGUUUUUGUUACUCCUAUUCUCAAGCUCAUUGGAGAGACUAAUCAGGUUUCUGAGGUUGUGCAUAGCUAGAUAUCAAUAGAAAUUCCACAUGUUUGGAACAUGUUCUUGCUUCACUACAACCUUCCGUCUUUGCACUGCUCAACUGAAGACUUUUAUGACAAUCAUAUGGUGAUGCCGAAUCAAUAAACUUGUUGAUCUAGUGGAAGUUACUCUUGGUCUAAAAGACAGGAAUGUUAGACAUAACUUUUAUACACUUUUUCUCAGUCUCUUAGAUCACAUGGUUCUGGUGAAAAUCUCGAUACCGUGAAGGAACUUUUUGGUGUUGAACUUGUUAGUAGUGAGCAGAAUAGCAAUGGGAGGAAGUGGCUUAAGAAGAUUUAGCACGAUUGGAGCUUCCUUCAAGUCCUAAGUCCACUUCUAGAAUCAGUGCAAGUCAUUUUGGUGGAAUAUGGCAACCAACUCAUGCGUAGCAUCUUUGAGGCAUUUGCAAUAAGAAACUGGAUCUUGAUCCUAAAAAGGUCAAUGUCAAUGGAGGUGCUUUGGCUCUUGGGCAUCCCUUGGGUGCUAUAGGUGCUCAUUGUGUUUCAACACUGUCGUAUGAGAUGAAGCAUCGUGGAAAGGACUACCGAUAUGGUGUGGUUCCCUUGUGCUUAGUCGAGACCAUGAAAGGCAAAACCCAAGUGAGAUAGAAUCAGAAAUUGUAGAUUCAGUGAUGUGGUUCAAUGACCAGCUCAAAACCCCGAACUUAGGAUCCCACUCUUGCAUGAUUUUGGUUUGCAUGGCCACCUCCCUAAGCCCAUUUUCAUAGCCCAUACCUGCAUGCAUGUCUCCAAAACUGAUAUUUGGAAAAUCUAGUUUUCAAAAUGAUUUAAUUCACAACUUCUCAUUCCUCUUUGAUGUUUAGGUUCAACAAGUUUCAUUUUUAAUAAAAUUUUGCUGCCAUAUUGUGGACCCGCAUUUCUCACGUGCGUCCCCACUCGAUCGGCGAGACUCGCUUUUUUAUUUGUGAAAAAUUGAUUUUUGGAAAAAAAGUUGGAGUCGCCACUUAUUUUAUUUUUAUUUUAGAGGGAAAAUAAAACAAGAAAGAAAAACCCUAAAAUGUGACUCCAUUAUUUUUGGAAAAAGCAUGUCUUUGAAAAACCCGAGUCUAAGUCUGGGGAUCAGGUUACCUAUUGGGAAGGUACCUUUAAAAGGUAGCACCCCUCUAAGCCCUAUAAAGGUCUCUACUAACUAAGUUAAGGGGAAUAUGACAAUUAAUCGUUUAAUUAUGGAUACCUGAGUAGGCUAAAGUGAUUUCAAAAAAUAACAUGCCAAAUAGGAUCAAAUUGUCAUAAAAGAAAGGUUAGGAUGCGUACCCGGACCGCUUCUCAAGCGCUAUCAUAAAACAUCAGAGUUAGUAUAGAUGUAUAACACACAACAUGUAUUUAAUCAUAGUGAAUCAAGCAUACAUCUAAACACCUAAGGAUUAUCAAACAUAUGCAUACUUCACAGUGACAUGAUUGUUUACAAAAUUUAGAAAGUAGGUGAUACGAGGGCGUACCUGGAUAGCAUAGAUAACUUACAAUGCGCUUCCAUAAGACAUGAGGGAUUAGAUAAUAAUAAAAUAAAGAAACCCUAGCAUGCUUGUUAUCUAAUUAGCAUAACAAAAAUUAUCAAAGUAUAUGAAAACAUUAAUUAUCACACACAUCUUGCAUACAAUUCCUAAAAAAGAUAGACAUAAUUUCAACAAGUGACAAAGGUGGUAACAAAAAUAAUCUUUGAAAAGAUUUUCUUAUGUAGGGGUUUCACCAAUUCCCCAAUUGAUAUACACGAAUUUAGCUCAGAAUUAUCCCAUUUAUUUGGGACCACAAGCUUUGAUUCGUGUUUUAUUCAAAACUGAAAUUUUGUUUGAAAGAUGUGAACCGAUCAAAACAUGGUUGCACAUCAUUUUUUAAAAAAAAAUGAUAUUUUGAUUCUAAGAACUCUAAAUGAAUUUUUGAAAUGGAUUAUUAAGGGGAAUGAGAUUUUGAGAAUAUUGUUAUGUUUUAAAGAUAAAAGAAGUUAAUUUGAAAACAAUAAAAUGUAUGAAUCAAAAGAACAAAAUCACAAAGUAAAAUUUUUGACAACCGAUAAAAUUGAAGUGGUGGGAAUGAAGGCCAAUCUUCACUAUCUUCCGGUAGCCUCUAAAAAUUGAAUUUGAUGAAGGAUGACCAAAGUGAUAAACCAAAACCUUAGAUCUUACAAGCACUGAAACUUUAAAAACAUUUAAUCUUAAGAUAAACUUAAUCAAGCACUAAAUAUUAUGUGACCUUUAAAACAGUACAAGCGAUACGUAUCAACUAAUAUUGACAAUUUUGAGUCAUAAAUCUAAUCGACUAACUAGAUAAUUGAAUAAAAGAAAACAAACACAUAAACUAAAUAAAAUUAGUCAAAAACUAAAAUGAAUUAUUUUUAAACAAAAAAUGAUAACAUGGGGAUAGAUUAAACUAAUUGCCUACAAUUCGAAAACAUAGAAUUAAUAGAAAAAUGAAAUUAACAAUCUUAAAACAUAAACUAAAUAGUAUGAAACCAAUCAAACUAAUGAAAAUUCUAAAAAAAUAAAAAAAUAAAAAAUAAAAAAAAUUAAAAAUUAAAACAAGAUCAAUCAAAACUAAAAUAAUUUUUUAUUUAUUUUAUUUUUUAUUCUUAUUUAUUUAUUUAUUUUAGAACAUGAAUAUAUUAACGCAGAAUGAAACAAAUUAACCAACUUAAAUUCUAAAACUAAUAAACUAAAAGGAUGAAUCAUGAAUUAAAAUUAACAACCUUUAGAUAUCAAAAGAGUGACAUGGAAUCAAUUGAACUAAUAAACUGAAAUUUUAAUAUCUAAACUAAAAGAUAAAUUAAAAAUAAAUUGAAUAAAAUUAUGAAUUUCCUAAUUGAGAACAAAAAUAAUGCAAAUCAAAAUUCUAAAUUUUUAACUAUCAUCAUGAAUUAUCAAAACUCUAAAAAAAAAUCCUAACUUUUUCAUUAUCAACAAAAAUUGCCCAAACUAAUACUAAAAAAAAAAAUCUAAUUUGCCAAACUAAACAAAUAAAUUGUAACUACAUUAAACAAAAAUCAUAAUUUUCAUGCUAGAAUAAUAAAUCAAAAUUAAUUUAGCUGGUUAAGAAAAAUUAAAAAUUAACAUCUAAGCUAAAUAUGAAUUUACAAUAAAAUAAAAUUUUAAAAUGCAUAGGCCAAAUGGGAAUAAUACAAAACUAACAUUAACAAAUCAAAAACAUGAAUACAUUGACAUUGGGAAUGAGUACCUAAAUAUAUAAAAUUCUGAAACAAUUAUGAAUGGCAUUGAAUAGUCAUGAAUCAAAAUUCAAAUAGGAAGAAUUAAUUUACCUUUGUCAAAGACGCGUGGGCUACUCUUAUUAGUGACAGUAUGAUUUUUAAAAUCAAUUCCACAUGUUGUGGUGGAUACCAUGCACUGCAAGUACUUGUAGAGUCACCAAAGCAACGUGUAUUAGUGGAGAGAAAUCUCUGAUCAGCACGCACACUUGUGCUCUUGGAGAAGGAAACCGUGAAUCCUCGGAUAGUGGACCCCCUUAAAUUCUGGUGUGUAAUGAUCUCUCCUCGAGAAGUGAGAUAAUGGCCUUAGAAAAUCUGAAUGCGCCUGCCUAUGCGUGUGUUCUUGCUGGAGGAGCCUCAAUGGUAUUCUAUGCUACCAUUCGAAAUUAAUAGUGCAAUGUCUGACAGAGGAGCCUCAAUGAUGCGUGUUGCCUUUGAGAGAAUCUGGCAGUCCCCUUCAUGUCCUCUAAGCAGCAACCCCUUAAAUUGAAUGACAUUUUCUAUCACCACAUCCCCUUUGGUGCAGCCCGCGCAUGGAGUCCUUCUUGAUGGCCGGUUUCUUUUUCGUGUGGUUCUUGGCUCCUUCCUUUGCUCCAGAAAAAAAAAAAAUCCAAUAUGUCUCCGUGUGCUCCUCUAAAAAAAAUCCUCCGUGUGUUGAUCUCUCCUCGUCAAAGAAAAGUCCUAUGCGUGUUGUGCAUGGAUCUUUGUGAACGUGGCAGCCGGUUUCUUCCCUUGUAGAUCAGCAGCAUGGAUCUCUCCUUGAUGGACUGAAAGCGCGUGUGCUCCCCUGUGUGAUGGAAAGUGGCAGCCCACUUUGAAGAGAAUUUGUGGCUGUUCCUUGGAGAAUUAAUGAUACAGUCACCCUCUCCUCUCUUCCUCUGAAAAUCACCACCUCACCUCUCAAAACACGGACUGCUCCCCUCUAUUCUCCAGCCACUCUCCUGGAAGACCUCCUAGGGAAAGUCCUUCCUCCUCUCUUCAAUCCUAAAAAGAAUCAAAAUCCAUUCUUUUUUCGGUGCAGCUGCCUUUUCCCUCCAGAGAAUCCUUUCCUUCUCAAUGGUCCCGUUGACUCUACCAACAUGGAAAGACAACUCACCAGCCCGGAGAGCCUCAAUCAUCCACGUCAGUCAAGCAUCAUCAGGACUCUCCCUCCUGAACAUAGUCUUCAUUCCGUCCAAAUACCCAUUGAACCUUUCCUUUUUCCAUGCCAAAAUAGCUUUGGUAAUUUUCUUUCUUCAUUAUUUCCUUCCAUCAAAAGCACAAUCAGCACAUGCAUGGGUGCAUACUUGCUUUCUUUCUCAGUUCAUUUCCUUCCAUACGUCCUCUCCUCUUCCAACCACCUUGGAUCUAUCCUUCAACACAUGCAUAUCUUUGCCAAUACAUGUUUUCAACCUUCCCUUUUCUCUCCAGUGAUGAUUCCUUUGGUGAAUUUCUCUACAAAAAUAUAAAGAAAAUUAGACUUAAUGAAUGAAUCCCAAGGUGUUUUAGAAAAUUAUAAAAUAAACAAACAAAUUAAAUUAACAAAAUAAUUAAGUAAAUAAUGAUAAUAAUAAUGAUAAUAAUAAUAAUAAUAAUAAUAAUAAUAAUAAUAACAAUAAUAAGAACUCAUUUCAUGCAAUUAUAAAAUAAAAUAAAUAAACAAAAAUACAAAUAAUAAUAAUGAUGAAAUAGUAUAAAUAUAUCAAAAACUCACUUAAUCUUAAAAGCAAUCAAUAAAAUAAAUAAAUAAAUAAAACAAGAAAACAAAUCUAAGUGAAACUAAACCUUGAAAAGUGUUUAAGUGGGCCUAAGGCGGUACCUAAUGGGCCAAGUGUGUCUAAUGGGCCUAAGGUGCACUAAGUGAACCUAAAGUGAUGCCUAAUGGGCCAAGUGUACCUAAAUGGGCCUAGGGUACCUAAAUGGGCCUAAAGUGAUCUAAGUGGGCCUAGGGUGACUAAGUGAGCCUAAAGUGGCUAAAUGGGCCUAAGGUGCCUAAAUGGGCCUAAAGUGAUGCCUAAUAGGCCAAGUAUCUAAAUGGACCUAAGGUGAUGCCUAAUGGGCCAAGUGUGGUGCCUUAGUGGGCCUAAAGUGCCUAAGUCUAAAUUAGAGCUACCAAAGGUCACAAUAAGAGGUCAAAUCAUCCUUCAACCAUAGUCUCCAAGGUGGCUUAGAAAAUAUAGGCUACACGAGUAUUAACAGGCCACCAGGGAAUUGCUAUAAACGACAUGUGCGAGGAAGACAAAAUAGAGGGUCUACAAAUAUGCCCCUCUUCGGUAGAGAUCACGAGUGUAGGGAAUGUGAGUAAAAAUACGAAUAAUGAGCGGAACGAAAUGAACUAUACCGAAGAACUAAAAGAAAAGGACCUGAGAUUUUGUCCUAGCACAUGACGAGAAUAAGCUCUAAACACGGGGACGCAAUAAAAAACGAAAUAACUUCAGGUCGUGAGCUCAAGGCUUUACACAGAAAGAAUGACUCUGGGUCAUAGACGAGAGAAAUGACUCUGGGUCAUAAGUGAAAAAAAUCGACUCUAGGUCGAGAGCUCUAGGCUCUAAAUGGAAUAGAAAUGACUCUGGGUCAUAAAUGAAAAAUCGACUCUAGGUCGAGAGCUCUGGGCUCUAAAUGGAAAAGAAAUGACUCUGGGUCAUAAAUGAAAAAAUCGACUCUAGGUCGAGAGCUCUGGGCUCUAAAUGGAAAAUCGACUCUAGAUCGAGAGCUCUGGGCUCUAAAUGGGAAAUCGACUCUGGGUCGAGAGCUCUGGGCUCUAAAUGGGAAAUCGACUCUAGGUCGAGAGCUCUGGGCUCUAAAUGGAAAAUCGACUAUGGGUCGAGAGCUCUGGACUCUAAAUGGAAAAUCGACUCUGGGUCGAGAGCUCUGGGCUCUAAAUGGAAAAGAAAUGACUCUGGGUCAUAAAUGAAAAACGACUCUGGGUCGAGAGCUCUGGGCUCUAAAUGGAAAAGAAAUGACUCUGGGUCGAGAAAAAACGACUCUAGGUCGAGAGCUCUGGGUCUAAACGAAAAUCGACUCUAGGUCGAGAGAUCUGGGCUCUAAAUGGGAAAUCGACUCUGGGUCAAGAGCUCUGGGCUCUAAAUGGAAAAGAAAUGACUCUGGGUCAUAAAUGAAAAACGACUCUGGGUCGAGAGCUCCGGGCUCUAAAUGGAAAAUCGACUCUGGGUCGAGAGCUCUGGGCUCAUAAACGAAAAACGACUCUGGGUCGAGAGCUCUAGGCUCUAAAUGGAAAAUCGACUCUGGGUCGAGAGCUCUGGGCUCUAAAUGGAAAAGAAAUGACUCUGGGUCAUAAACGAAAAACGACUCUGGGUCGAGAGCUCUGGGCUCUAAAUGGAAAAGAAAUGACUCUAGGUCAUAAACGGAAAACGACUCUGGGUCGAGAGCUCUGGGCUCUAAAUGGAAAAUCGACUCUAGGUCGAGAGCUCUGGGCUCUAAAUGGAAAAGAAAUGACUCUGGGUCAUAAAUGAAAAAAUCGACUCUGGGUCGAGAGCUCUGGGCUCUAAAUGGAAAAUCGACUCUAGGUCGAGAGCUCUGGGCUCUAAAUGGAAAAGAAAUGGAGACUAACUCAAAAGGGGGUAGGAAGCAAAUGGAUCAAAGUCGUGUGAUCGAAAUGCUAAGGGUUAGACUUGUAAGCUUAGGAAAGAAAAUAUGCCCCGGUAUCCAAGGUGCUCGUAGUGCUGAAACAACCAAUAAAUCAAUCAUUCGCUAAAAUCAAGGUGUCUGUAACCGAUGCAUCGUGACAAACCUCUAAAAAAUCUGAACUAAAAGAGCCCUCUAUGUCUCACAAGCUGCUCUGGCAACAAACCUCAAGAGGUAAAUCUCGGAGUGUGUAUAUUGUGACUCAUCUAAAAGAAAAACUCAAGGUGCACGAAAAUACUGGUCACCUAGAUAACCCGAUCCACAAGAUAAUCAAUGAAGAAAACAAUCUAUCUCAUGAGCAUCUAGCUAAAGGAUCCAUCCAUGCUCCUCGGGUGAAACCUGAUGUGAUCCAUCUCUAUCUCGACAAAUCCAUAUAGGGGGGUCCUGAUACAGUCAAUCAUCGAAAGCUUAGGGCUAGUACUCAAUCUGAAACCAAACUGGCUACUGUCCCAAUCUCAAGGAUACUCCGAAAGUAGGGAUAUAUGCCCCAGUAUGAGACCUGAUGUCAAAGUCAUAAGCUAAACAAACCGACACCAAUCAUCCAUCCUCAUAUCACUGCCCAAAUAAAUCUCGUCAAGGAGAGGGGAAUAUGCCCCAGUGUGGAUAACCUAAUGUCGAAGUCGUGAGGUAAACAAACUAACAAUGAUCAUCCAUCCUCGUACCAUAUACAAUAACAGAUAAGAAUCUCGGAGGAAGGGGGAAUAUGCCCCAGUGUGAAUAUAUAAUGCACAACCAAAUGAUGAAUCCAAUAUCAUCAAUCAACUAUCCUCAGCUCAACAAUAAUCUGCUAAGAAGUCAAAAUAAAGUAUCGACCAAUGCCUCAAGGGAGACACUCUAAAUCCAACCUCAAAUGAAUAGCCAAAAUGAUGAGGGAUGUGACAGUCUCGAGAUGGGGAAAUAUGCCCCAGUGUGGAUGUCUGGUGCACGAGAAAAUGAUGAAUCCGAUAUCCUCAAUGAACUGUCUCCAAACCCAAAAAUCCAUCAAAAUCAAUAUGUCAAGCAAGAGAGAGACCAAAUGCUUCCAAAAGUAUCUUCCAUAAAAGAUAACAUAGUAACGACCAUACUUCAACCAAUCUACCAAAAACCUGUCCAAGUGAAGACUGUCAAAGAUAACGUCUGAUCUCGUGGCCUCAGGGUGGUCAUAAGACACGGGACGUAACGUAGGCCAAGGUGAUAGGGUGAAAGAAAUGAAGGGAAACUAGGCUCAAAUACCCAAUGAUCAAACCCGUACCCUCGUGUACAAGAUGUAAUGCAUAGAAAAAUCUCAUGAGUCAUGGACUUAGAAGUAACCAAAGGGAAUGCCGAUAACGAAAUGAGAGAAAGGAUGAAUGGUCAAACCAUCAAUGAAAUAUGUGAAUGAUGUGAAGAAGGUAUCAAAUCAGUAAUGAGUAUCAAUAUGUAGGGAAUGAAUAAAAGGUGGAACAAAGAUCUGGAAUGCGGUAAUGGGAUACAAAAGAAAGCAAUGAGAAAGUGGAAUGAGUGAUGAUCAACCCAUGUUAGUACAAUAAAGGAAAGUCAUAUCACCAAUGAUGGAAUGGUGGGUAAGGCAAUGAUCCGGAGACCUCAGUAAAAAGAUUACUCAUCUCUCAUACCUAGUAUAUAUCAAACAUGAUCCAAAAAGCAUAGGAUCUCAUAGAACUCUCAUAUGAACCCUCGACACUCCAAAUGCAUAACAAGAGUGGCUCAAGGACUGAAAAACUCAUAAAAACUCACAAAAACCCACAAUGACAAAUAUACCUAAUAAAUGAACCUCAAAAGGUGGCAUAAAUACCCAAUGGAACGAGAUACCAUACAUGAGCAUAUCAUUGCGCUUUUCUUUUCCUUUUUUUUUGUUUUUGUUUUUUUUUUCUUUCUUUUUUUUUUUUGUUUUUUUUUUGUUUUUUUUUUGUGUUUUUUUUUUGUGUUUUUUUUUUUUUUUUUUUUUUGCGCAUGCUCUGAUCAUCAAUAAAUCAAACUCCAAUGGAAAAAAUAUAAGGAAUGAACAAACUCUCUCUAACCAUUGAUGAAUACAUGAACCCCAACCCCUGAGACAACCUCUCAAACUAAGAUCUCCGAAUCAAUGUCAAAUGAUGGAAUGAAUAGAGUGAUAUAACUUGCCCUCUUUGCACUAAGACGUGAAGAAUCAUCAACCCAAGGAAGAGAAUAGAUAAGAUAAAGCAAAUAAUGAUAGAGACAAGAAAGAGAAUGAAUAUGUGGUGAUAAUAAAAUAGAACAAAUAGGGUGAUAAGAGGAUGGUAACAAAAUGAGAAGAUAGACCUAUAAGUCUAAAGCUCAUGAGACUUUCCUAGCAAAGCAUGCGUAUACAUCAAAGGCCCCAACCCGGGUAUAGAAAUGGUAAUCAAAGCUAUAAGAAAGAAAUAAGGCUAUAACAUACCACGCGAAGCUCAAUGGGCUAGCAACGGUCUAAUAUAUAGAGGUGAUAAAGUAUGAGGCUAACCGAAAUGAUGGCCACCCAUCCUGCGACCACGGUCUCAAACAUAAUACUUCUUCAGCUGAUCCACAUUGGUAGGCUCUGAAAAUUGGUUUCCAUCUAAGUCUGUCAACCAUGCAGCCCCUUCCGGAGUCAACUCUCGGAUAAUAUAAGGCCCACUCCAACUAGGUCUAAACUUUCCUCUAGGGUCUCCAAUCAAACCUCUGAGAAUCCUCAAAACUAAGUCUCCUUUUUGCAAUGGUCUAGGCUUAACCCGUUUCUUGAAGGCACGAGCCAUCUUUCUCUGAUAGGCCUGAACAUGAUCUGCUGCUCUCAAUCUCCUCUCAUCUAAAAGGUUAAGCUGAUCAAAUCGAGCCUGAGCCCACUCUGUCUCAGAAAUCUGCUGCUCAAGGACUACUCUCAAUGAGCCCAUUUCUGUCUCGACUGGCAAAACAGCCUCCAUACCAUACACUAGAGAGUAAGGCGUAGCUCCUGUAGAAGUACGAAAAGAUGUACGAUAUGCCCACAACGCAAAGGGAAGCUUCUCUGACCAGUCUCGAGAAGUCUCAACCAUUUUCCUCAAAAUCCUCUUAAUAUUCUUGUUUGCAGCCUCUACUGCCCCGUUGGUCUGUGGCCUAUAUGCUGAAGAUCUAUGAUGUCGGAUGGCAUACUUCUGCAACAAAGUAUCUACCUCAGCUCGGAAGUGUACCCCUCUGUCGAAAAUCAACUCAUGAGGAACCCCAUAGCGGCAAAUGAUGUGUGAUCUGAUAAAACUAGCAACCCUAGCAGAUGUCAACCUCGCAUAUGAUGCGGCUUCCACCCACUUGGUGAAAUAGUCUAUGGCAACUAGGAUGAACUCAUGACCACUAGAAGAUUUUGGUGAAACCUUCCCAAUAAUAUCAAUACCCCAUACUGAAAAUGGCCAUGGCGAAGUCAAGGCGUGUAACUCUGAUGGCGGUGCAUGUAUGAGAUCACUAUGAAUCUGACACUCUGGGCAUUUCUGAACAAACUGACAACAAUCUGUCUCCAUAGUUAACCAGAAGUAACCCGUCCUCAUAAUCUUACGAGCUAGCAUGUGUCCUCCCAUAUGCGGACCACAAACUCCUGCAUGAACCUCUCUCAUCACUCGAUCUGCAGAGGCUCGAUCUAAACAUAAUAAAAGCAUACCAUCAGCUGAUCGCCUAUAUAGAGUCUCUCCGCAAAUCACAAAUCUAGUGGCUAACUGCCUCAAUGCCCUACGAUCUCGGGCAGUGGCAGCCUCUGGGUAUAUGCUAGAUCUAAGAAGCUGAUAAAUGUCAUGAUACCAAGGUAGAUCAUCCUGGGUCUCCGUCUCUCCAAUCAAACAACAAUAGGCGGGGGCAAACCUCGACUCAAUCAGCAAUGGACGUAUAACCACAUCAAUCGGAAUAUCCACGGAAGAAGCUAAGGUAGCUAAGGCAUCAGCAAACUGGUUUUGUGCUCUAGGUAGAUGAGUGUAUCUCAAGUCAUCAAAUCUCCCAACCAGUAACUCUAAAUAAGCAUGAUACGGCCUAAGCUUUACAUCCCUAGUCUUCCAAUCUCCCUGAAUCUGCCUGAGUACGAGAUUGGAGUCACCAAAUACUUCCAUCUGUCUAAUGCCAAGCUCUAGUGCAGUCUCUAAACCAAGGAUACAAGCCUCAUACUCAACUAUGUUGUUCGUGGCGGGAUGUUGAUCUGAAAACACCAAACGAACUGACCUCGGAAUAUGAUCACCUUGGGGAGAUAUCAACAAAACGCCUAUCCCAAACCCUAAUUGGUUGGCUGCACCAUCGAAGUACAUGCGCCAACCUGAUAAGCUAGUCAUGGAAAUGAACUCCUCAUAUGGAAAAUCAUCAUCAACUGGUCUACCCUUAGAUAUCGGUAAUGAAGCCAAAUGAUCGGCGACAAUACUUCCCUUAAUAGACUUCUGAGAAACGUACUGAAUAUCAAACUCUGUCAGGAGUACGAGCCAUCUCAUCAAUCUACCAGUCAAUGCAGGUCUAUCAAACAGAUACCUCAAAGGAUCUAACCGAGAAAUCAAGCACACCGAAUACUCAGUCAUGUAGUGCCUCAAUCUCCUGGUGGCCCAAACUAACGCUAAACACAUGCGCUCAAUCAUAACAUAUCUCAUCUCAUACUCCAGCAUCCUCUUGCUCAAAUAGUAAAUCGCCCGCUCUUUCCCGGAGUCAUCAAGCUGAGCUAGCAUGCAUCCCAAGGUCAUGUCUGAAACUGACAAAUACAGAAGAAGUGGACGUCCUGGCAUAGGAGGCACUAAAACAGGAGGAGAAAGCAAAUACUCCUUGAUCUUCUCAAAUGCAAUUUGGUAGUCGUCAUUCCAAACCGUUGGCUGAUUCUUCCUCAAAAGACGAAAGAUGGGCUCACAUAUGUCUGUCAAUCUGGCUAUAAAACGACUAAUAUAUUGUAACCUGCCUAAAAAACCUCUGAUCUCUUUCUCAGUCAUCGGCACAGGCAUGUCAAGUAUGACUUUGAUUUUAUCUGGGUCGACCUCUAUGCCCCGAUCACUGACCAUAUGCCCCAACAGUUUCCCAGAAGUCACUCCAAAGGUGCACUUCUUGGGGUUUAGCCUCAAUCUAAACUUCCGGAUCCUCUCAAAGAAUCUCUCUAAAGCAUCUAAGUGAUCUGCUCUACCUCGAGAUUUCACAAUCAUAUCAUCCACGUAAACCUCGACAUCCCUAUGCAUCAUGUCAUGAAACAAAGUGGUAGCGGCUCUCUGAUAAGUAGCUCCUGCAUUCUUCAACCCAAAUGGCAUGACUUUGUAACAGUAGGUACCCCACUCGGUAAUGAAGGCUGUCUUUUCCAUAUCUUCUAGGGCCAUCAAAAUCUGAUUAUACCCCGAGAAUCCAUCCAUGAAUGAUAACAUCGAAUGGCCUGCGGUGCCAUCAACCAACAAAUCAAUGUGUGGGAGGGGAAAAUCAUCCUUAGGGCUGGCUUUAUUAAGGUCUCUGAAAUCGACACAAACUCUAACCUUGCCAUCCUUUUUGGGAACUGGGACGACAUUAGCCAACCACUCUGGAUACUCAACUACUGAUAUAAACCCAACACUGAGCUGUUUCUGAAUUUCCUCUUUCACUUGUAGACUCCAACGUGGGUGUAAUCGCCUCAAUUUCUGCUUAACUGGUCUAACAUGUGGUAGAAUAGGCAGAUGGUGUUGGACUAUAGAGGGAUCCAAACCUGGCAUGUCCUCAUAAGACCAUGCAAAAACAUCCAAGUAUGACCUGAGUAAAUGAAUAAGUCUAUCUCUCUCUUCUGUAGAUAGGGGUGAACCAAUCUUCAGCUCUCUAGGCUGAUCCUCUGUGCCAAAAUCAAUAGUCUCAACAUCCCCUGUAUCAGGUGAAACUCUCUCAUCCACGGGAUCAGAGUUAUGAUCAGAAGAGUCCCUAUCCGAAUCGAGCCAUGCAACUUCAUCAUUUAUAUCAAAUAUCUGUGAAGUGGGUGAGUGGGGUGCAAAUAUAGAGGUACUAUCACAAGAGACAGGCGAAUACUCAAAAAUACUCAAAUCCAUAAAUGAAGCAACAGAAACAUCGUCAGAGUGGGAGACAAAUCCCGAUAAAACAUCAAAAGAAAGAGGUGGGUCCACAAGGUCGGACGCUCCCUCAACUGGGCUAACAAUGCCCUCAAACAAGCUACUAUCAUCCUCUGGAAGCUCUGGAAUAGGAAGAGUCUGAGUCCCCUCAAAAACCUCAAUGGUAGACACCCCGAACAUAUCAAAUGCUGAAACAGGCUGGAGCUGAACAAUGCUGGUAAUCUGGCUCGUGGUCAUCAUGUCCAUCUCAUCUCGGUACUCAUCAUGGGAAACAACUCCAUCAAUCAUCUCAGUAGAAUCAAUCAUCACCCCAUCACCAGUGAUCUCCUCUGGAAAGCAUAGAGACAACAUGCUAGCUCGAUCUGGAGACGUGGGAGUAAUCGUCAAAGGGAAAGGAGAGUCGGGAGCCCCAUCACUCAACUGUAGCUGGUGAAAUAGAUGCUGAAGCUCGGUCUCUCUAUCUGUAUGAACCACACUAUCAAUCUCCUCUAGACGAGGUCGAGUCUCUGAUCCUCUAACAAAGUAGUCAGCCAAACUCAUCCUAUAGGGUCGAAUAGGAUAAUCAAAUGGUGUGUGGGAUAAACGGGCUCUCACCCUCUCCUUACGCAGUCGCGCCAUGUGACGGUAGUCGGCCUCAGUAGGGAUGAAUCCAAGUCCAAAUGUCGUAUCAUGGUCAAUGGCAGCUAUGAACUCGCUUGGUCCCUACUGACGUCGUCCUAACCCCAUGCCAGGUAGAAAGGUCAUACCCCUCAUCAUAUCAAGGACCACUGUGCUGCUGUGCUGAUCAAAUGACAUAGCCACAAAAUCUCUACAAAAAUCCUCAAUCUCGAGAGUCUGUAUCUCGUCAAAAGUAAACCCAAUCAGAAGUAGGUCGUCCUCACUGUGACUGAUCUGAAGUACUGGCUCAGAAGCGACAAAUACAUCCCUGGUAGAGCGAACUGUGAUGACCUGCCCAUCAUGAAUAAACUUCACCUUCUGAUGAAGGGAAGAAGGAAUAGCUCCAGCUACAUGAAUCCAUGGUCGGCCUAGUAGCAGGUUAAAGGAUGUAGGAAUCCUCAAAACCUGGAACAAAGUGGAGAAUGUGGCUGGACCAAUCUGCAGAUCAAUCAUCAAGGUACCCAUAACCUCCCUCUUGGUGCUAUCAUACGCCCUGACUGUCUGAGUAGAAGGACCAAAAUCUGAAGGCGCGAAACCAAGGGCUAUAGCAGUGGCUAAAGGGCAAACAUUCAGGGCUGAGCCGUUGUCCAGUAAGACAGACGGGACUCUACGGCCUGAACAUCUAACUGUGAUGUAUAGAGGGCGCACGUGGUCUAAACCAUCAGGUGGCAAGUCAUCAUCUGAAAAUACAAUGCAAGUGGCCCUGCCAGCCGUCAUCAUAUGAAUCAAUCCCUCCGGGGUAGUGGUGGUCUCUACGCGAAUCUGGCUCAAAGCCCGAAUCAAUGCAUCUCUAUGAGUACUAGAAGAUGCCAACAAACUCCAGAUAGAUAUGCGGGCCUGUGUACUCUGUAACUGCCUCAAUAUCUCAUCAUCCUCUUUCCUGACCUCCUCAUGAGAAACCGCGCCAUCAAAUGGCCUGGAUACUAGAGGUGGGGGCUGAGCUACUCUCCCACUACGGGUCACAAUCUGUACAUCUCUCCCCUCUAAAUCAUCAUCAUCUAGCCGUAGGAUAAAUGGGACGGGCGGGCCCUGACGUGCUGUAGCCGAUGGUGCAAUAGGAGUCAACUCAAAUGGUAUCCAAUCUGAAAUCAAACUGAAUGGAGUAAAAGUCUGAGAACCCACUGUGUCAACCUCAUAACCAUCAUCCAAAACAAUCGGCUCUGGCACUCCAUCAUCCCAACUCAUCAUGUGUAUGCUGUCAUCCUCUACAAAAUCUAUAUGAUGUAUACCACCUAGGGGUGGUGGCAUUGCAUGUGUAGAGUGAGCCGGUAAAGGGUUCGUGGUUACACUUGCCUGCCCCAAGUUAACCAGACCCUGAUCUAUCAAGUCCUGUAUAGCAUGUCUCAAGGCGGCGCAAUGAUCUGUGUCAUGCCUUGGGCCUUGAUGGUAGGAACAAUGUAGAUCCAUCUUGAAGCGUGGUGGCACAGGCUGGGGUACAGGCCUAGGUGCCAACUGAGUCAACAAACCACCCUCCAUGAGCUUUUGGAAAGCUCGACUCAAAGGCAUACCUAGCUGGGAGAACUGUCGUGUCGGCCUCUGUACAAGAGGAAUAGUAGUUUGUGGAGCUCGAGGCCGAGGAUAUAAGGUAGGAGGCCUCUCCGAGACCUGUGCAGCAAAAACAGGCUCUGGGGUCUGGUGUAGGUAUGUAGGAAUCAUGGGCCUGGGUGGUCUAUACUGAGCAUAACGCUGCGGGUAAUAGGCUCGUGAAGUCUGCCCGAAUGUCUGAUAACGCUUGGGAGAUCUCGAUCCUACUGAACUGAUAGCACUCACAUCUCCUAGUCUCUGUCCUCCUAACGGAUUCUUCCCCUUUGAAUCAGAAAGAGAAGACUCAGGCCACAACCCUCUAGCAAUGCCCUCCUCUAUGCCAUACAGGGCCUGUACCAAGGAUCCAAAAUCCGUAUGAGGAAAUCCCAUCAAAUGUCUAGCAAAUCUAGGCUGUAAACUCCUCAAAAUCAUACUAAUCUGGUCCUUCUCGGAAGGACGAUCAACAAUCUGGGCGAUCUUCUCCCUCCACCGGGAGAUAAAUGAAGUAACCGACUCAUCUGACCCCUGUCUCAAGGCCUCUAACUCUCUCCUCGAGACAUCAAUGACAAUGUUAAACGCGAACUGUCUCAAAAACUCUUGGGCCAAGUCAUCCCAAGUCCUACGGCGUGAAACGUCUAAAGAAGCAAACCAACGCUGCGCUGCACCACUCAAGGACAUGGGAAAAAGCAUAAUCAAAUGGGCCUCAUCCAACCCGUGGGCCCUCAUCACACUACUGUAUAACCUCAAAUGAAUCUUAGGGCAACCUAUGCCCGUAUACCUCUCAAUCUCUGGCAUCCUGAACUGAGUCGGUAAACUGACUACCGGUGCUCCAUCAAAAUCAUCCCAACUGAUGUCUCCAUCCGAAACCCUCAUCUGUCUCAUCCUCUGCUCGAGUCUAUCCAUACGAGCAUGUGCAUCCUCUGAUGCCUGAAUGGGUGCUACAACAGGAAGUGGGGUAGCAUCAGUCUGACCAUGUAAAACAUACGGUGUCGGGUGUGGAACUGACUGACUGAGUGAAGGGGGUGGUGGUGCCGUAGAGUCAUACUGUGCACCAUCCUGAGGUGGGGCCUGCUGCCCGUCUAUCCUCUGGCCAAGGCCGGCUAUAGCCUCCUGAAUCGAAGCCAUGGCCGCAGCAAACUGGUCAACUGUGACUACCUGGGAGUCCAUAUCUCUCUGAUCUACUCUCUGGUCUGGCUGAUCUGAUACUCUGGUCAACCUGCCUCUAACUCUAGUCCACGAAGGCGAAUCCAGACUGGGCACCAAAAAAUACUCCUUUAAACACGGAAACACUAGAUGAGACGUUGUACAAGGGUAACUCUGUAGAAAUCGACUAAAAGGUAAUCAAGCAUAUAGCCCAUGUAUACUCAAACUGAUACCCGUAUCUGAUCAUACCAAAAUGGGACUAUGGAGAGGGUAAUCGAACCCAAUUGUAGCCAAGACAGCUCUGAAGGUCCACAGAUGCACCCACGUGUAAGAGUGAAAUCCUAAUUGGGUCUAGGCUAGCCUACAAGAUUGUGGUGGUUCUAUAAGAUAAAAAAAAUGGGUGGAUUAAAGGAUCCCUAGCAGAAGCGAUCGUACCCUCCGGUGGUACGCAACCCUCUACACGCCUCCAAAGAGACGGGGUGCUUCCAUGCAAGGUGGUCAUCACCUCCACACAUGCACUUCCUCGCGUUCCCAGGGGGUUUCCUAAUGGUGAAGGCUCUCUCAUCUCUCAACACUCAGGGAUAAUCUAAAGUGCACAAUGAAGAAUGUGGGUGCAUCCGAAAAACCUAAGAUCUAAAGUGAGAUAGUGGACAAAGACAAGCAAUCAUACAAUCAUGCAAGAGAAAGGGUUGUCAUGCAACAAGCAGUCAUACCAAGCAAAUAAGUAUCAUACAAUCAAAGUCCUACCUAACAUAUGUGAGAGUGGAUCAUGCUAAAGUGAGCAAGCAAUCAAGUGAUCUUUUAAGGCAAUCAAACAUGUUAAGAUAGCAAACCAAACAAGCAAGCAAAUCGAAUCACCUUGCCUAAAAAGGAGGUACCCACUAAUCGACCAAUUAAACGCCACAUUUUCCUCAACUAGUGUUCAAGCUUGAUCCUCAAAAUCCCCAGUGGAGUCGCCAAUUUGUGGACCCGCAUUUCUCACGUGCGUCCCCACUCGAUCGGCGAGACUCGCUUUUUUAUUUGUGAAAAAUUGAUUUUUGGAAAAAAAGUUGGAGUCGCCACUUAUUUUAUUUUUAUUUUAAAGGGAAAAUAAAACAAGAAAGAAAAACCCUAAAAUGUGACUCCAUAAUUUUUGGAAAAAGCAUGUCUUUGAAAAACCCGAGUCUAAGUCUGGGGAUCAGGUUACCUAUUGGGAAGGUACCUUUAAAAGGUAGCACCCCUCUAAGCCCUAUAAAGGUCUCUACUAACUAAGUUAAGGGGAAUAUGACAAUUAAUCGUUUAAUUAUGGAUACCUGAGUAGGCUAAAGUGAUUUCAAAAAAUAACAUGCCAAAUAGGAUCAAAUUGUCAUAAAAGAAAGGUUAGGAUGCGUACCCGGACCGCUUCUCAAGCGCUAUCAUAAAACAUCAGAGUUAGUAUAGAUGUAUAACACACAACAUGUAUUUAAUCAUAGUGAAUCAAGCAUACAUCUAAACACCUAAGGAUUAUCAAACAUAUGCAUACUUCACAGUGACAUGAUUGUUUACAAAAUUUAGAAAGUAGGUGAUACGAGGGCNNNNNNNNNNNNNNNNNNNNNNNNNNNNNNNNNNNNNNNNNNNNNNNNNNNNNNNNNNNNNNNNNNNNNNNNNNNNNNNNNNNNNNNNNNNNNNNNNNNNNNNNNNNNNNNNNNNNNNNNNNNNNNNNNNNNNNNNNNNNNNNNNNNNNNNNNNNNNNNNNNNNNNNNNNNNNNNNNNNNNNNNNNNNNNNNNNNNNNNNNNNNNNNNNNNNNNNNNNNNNNNNNNNNNNNNNNNNNNNNNNNNNNNNNNNNNNNNNNNNNNNNNNNNNNNNNNNNNNNNNNNNNNNNNNNNNNNNNNNNNNNNNNNNNNNNNNNNNNNNNNNNNNNNNNNNNNNNNNNNNNNNNNNNNNNNNNNNNNNNNNNNNNNNNNNNNNNNNNNNNNNNNNNNNNNNNNNNNNNNNNNNNNNNNNNNNNNNNNNNNNNNNNNNNNNNNNNNNNNNNNNNNNNNNNNNNNNNNNNNNNNNNNNNNNNNNNNNNNNNNNNNNNNNNNNNNNNNNNNNNNNNNNNNNNNNNNNNNNNNNNNNNNNNNNNNNNNNNNNNNNNNNNNNNNNNNNNNNNNNNNNNNNNNNNNNNNNNNNNNNNNNNNNNNNNNNNNNNNNNNNNNNNNNNNNNNNNNNNNNNNNNNNNNNNNNNNNNNNNNNNNNNNNNNNNNNNNNNNNNNNNNNNNNNNNNNNNNNNNNNNNNNNNNNNNNNNNNNNNNNNNNNNNNNNNNNNNNNNNNNNNNNNNNNNNNNNNNNNNNNNNNNNNNNNNNNNNNNNNNNNNNNNNNNNNNNNNNNNNNNNNNNNNNNNNNNNNNNNNNNNNNNNNNNNNNNNNNNNNNNNNNNNNNNNNNNNNNNNNNNNNNNNNNNNNNNNNNNNNNNNNNNNNNNNNNNNNNNNAACACAUGCAUAUCUUUGCCAAUACAUGUUUUCAACCUUCCCUUUUCUCUCCAGUGAUGAUUCCUUUGGUGAAUUUCUCUACAAAAAUAUAAAGAAAAUUAGACUUAAUGAAUGAAUCCCAAGGUGUUUUAGAAAAUUAUAAAAUAAACAAACAAAUUAAAUUAACAAAAUAAUUAAGUAAAUAAUGAUAAUAAUAAUGAUAAUAAUAAUAAUAAUAAUAAUAAUAAUAAUAAUAACAAUAAUAAGAACUCAUUUCAUGCAAUUAUAAAAUAAAAUAAAUAAACAAAAAUACAAAUAAUAAUAAUGAUGAAAUAGUAUAAAUAUAUCAAAAACUCACUUAAUCUUAAAAGCAAUCAAUAAAAUAAAUAAAUAAAUAAAACAAGAAAACAAAUCUAAGUGAAACUAAACCUUGAAAAGUGUUUAAGUGGGCCUAAGGCGGUACCUAAUGGGCCAAGUGUGUCUAAUGGGCCUAAGGUGCACUAAGUGAACCUAAAGUGAUGCCUAAUGGGCCAAGUGUACCUAAAUGGGCCUAGGGUACCUAAAUGGGCCUAAAGUGAUCUAAGUGGGCCUAGGGUGACUAAGUGAGCCUAAAGUGGCUAAAUGGGCCUAAGGUGCCUAAAUGGGCCUAAAGUGAUGCCUAAUAGGCCAAGUAUCUAAAUGGACCUAAGGUGAUGCCUAAUAGGCCAAGUAUCUAAAUGGACCUAAGGUGAUGCCUAAUGGGCCAAGUGUGGUGCCUUAGUGGGCCUAAAGUGCCUAAGUCUAAAUUAGAGCUGCCAAAGGUCACAAUAAGAUGUCAAAUCAUCCUUCAACCAUAGUCUCCAAGGUGGCUUAGAAAAUAUAGGCUACACGAGUAUUAACAGGCCACCAGGGAAUUGCUAUAAACGACAUGUGCGAGGAAGACAAAAUAGAGGGUCUACACAUAUUUCUUUCUAGCAAGCAAUUUUCACAUCUCCUCUGUUUUUAAAAUGUUUUAAAAUAAGCAAGAAUUAAAUUUCGUAAUUCCAAGCGAUGGAAUUUAUGAAAUUGAUUCAUGCAAAAAUAAAUUGGGCUUUGGUGGGGGUCCAACAUCAAUGAAUGUUUUCUCUAAAAAUAAAUUUUGAGUGGAGUGUGAUAUUUGAUGAUUUAUUACUCGGUUUAGUGACAUGUGUGUCAUAUGUUAUGUUCAUUGUUGUGCAUUAACCUCAUUUCCUAAUAGCACUUUAGCGUUUAAUGCUAAGGUAUACAUCAUCUCUCAGUUUGACCAUUCUCUAUGUAUGCUUUGGCUUUCAGUGUGUGAUCAUGUUGAUAUCCAUUGAUUUCCUUACCAAUUGUCAUGAUUGUCGUCUUUACCGUACCUUCCUAAUAAGUAACUUGACCCUGGGCCCAUUUUUGGUUUUUUACAGAUCACAUUUUCCAAAUAAGGAGUUAUACUUAGAGUUUUCUUUCUUAUUUUGUUUACCUUUUAAAAAUAAAACAAAAAUAAGUGGAGUCUCAAGUCAUUUUCUAAAAAAUAAAUUAUUUUUCAAAAUAAAAAACGAGUUCGCCAUCGAGUGGAAGCGCAUGAGCAGAAAUGUGGGGUCCACACUACCCAAAAUUUUGAACCGGCUUUUAGUGAAGGAAAAUUCUGUAGAAGCUGAGCUGAUGAAGAAGAUAGAAGAGUGUGAGGAGGCUGUCAUGGAUGGAGAAUCUAGGUUCUGUGCAACAUCAUUAGAGUCCCUAAUCGAUUUCAACACUUCAAAGCUCGGAAGAAAUGUGAAUGUGCUGAUGAAUGAGGUCAAAACGGGAAGCCAGGAGUUUGAAUUUGGAGUGGGAACGAAGAAGGUUGCAGACAAAUCAGUGGUGUGCCAUAAGAUGAACUACCCAUAUGUUGUUUUCUACUACCAUACAUUAACUAAGACACGAACUUACAUGAUUCCAUUGGUUGGUGCUGAUGGAAGCAAAUCUAAAGCCAUGGCAGCUUGUCACAGUGAUACAUCAUGUGGCCUUCCAAGUGCUCAAAAUUAAGCCAGGAACAGUCCCUGUCUAUCAUUUCCUUCACAACAAUGCCAUGGUUUGGAUUCCAAAGUAAGGGAUAAGCUGAAAGCCUCGAGCCCAGUUGCAUUAUCAGUUCCAUCUUAAAGCUGUUUGUAGUAUGAAUGUUUAUAAACUUAGAAUAAAUGCAGGUUUGAGGAUUAAUGUGUGUAGUGUGCAAUUGAUGCUAUGUAUUCAUCAAUGUUUCCAGGUUGAUUAAGGAAUAUUAUGGUAUAUAUAAAUAUUGUGUACAAUAGUAUUCAGCGAUGCAUGACUAUUUUGGUUGUGAUCAAUGUUACAUACUACAGAGUUAGCCAAUAUUAUUUUAUUUUAUUUUAAAUUUCAAUCAUAUGAAAUAUUGGAAAUGACCUUCACUGUUUCAUAUAUCUACGGAGAAAGAAUUGAAUAAGAUUAACGUUGUGGCCAAAAGGCAAAACCACAUGUAUAAUUCGGGCCACAAGCCCACUGCCCAACCCACCUUUCUUCUUUCUUUCUAAUUAACGAAUGGGCAUCAAUGAGGAAAAAUAAAUAAACAAAUAAAUAAAUUAUAGAAUAUUCUCCGCACCCACUUACAGUCUUACACAUGGACAAAAAUAUCAGGAUUAAAAAAAAUGCACCAAAAUGUAUAUAAAAGAAUAUUAAAGAUUAUUUUAUUAAAUAAAUAAAUUUUAAUUAUUUGAUUUUUAUAUUUGAUUUAAUUUAUUACCAAAAAUAUAUAAACAUAAUUUUAAUAAAUAAAUAAAUAAAUUUUAAUUAUUUGAUUUUUAUAUUUAAUUUAUUUUAUUACCAAAAAUAUAAAAACAUAAUUUUAAUAAAUAAAUAAAUUUUAAUUAUUUGAUAUUUAUAUUUAAUUUAAUUUAUUACCAAUAUUUUAUGUCAAUAUAUUUAUCGAUAUAUUUCUAUUUUAUCCAUAAAAUUAAAAUAUCGUUAUUACUUAUAUUUAUAUCCUUACUUUAUACACAUCAAACCCUAACCUAUGCCCUCCCUUGUGGCUUUCAUUUGCAUUCCUCCCAACUAAAGUUUGUAAAGGGAGAAGAGAUGCGCGGUCAUUGCUAACUAUUUAGACGUGACAAAAAAUCUUAAAAAGAGUGCAAAGAUGCUUUCUCAAAGUAGUGCUUAUGUAUAAAUAAAGAGUAUUAAAUAUAGAUGAGGUUGGUAGAAACAAUGCCAAGACGCUUUCUCAAUGUAGUGUUUCUUUUUUAUUUUAUUUAUUUAUUAUUAUUAUUAUUAAAAGAAUAUUAAUUAUAGAUGAGCGAGGUUGAGAGAAAAAGAGUGUAAAGAUGCUUUCUCCAAGUGUUGGCUUGGUAUGUUUUUUUCAUUUUUAUUUUAAAAAAAAUAAUAUCAACCAUUAAAAAAAUAAGGAAACUCUUAUAUAAAAGGUAGAAUUUUAUUUUAUUUUUCUUUUAAAUUUUUAUCCUUUUAAAUUUCUUAUCAAAACUUCUAUUUUCACUUAUCAAAUGCAUCAUAUGAGUGUUUAUUAUUUUGAUAUAUCUAGAAAUGAAAAAUCUAUUCCCAUCACAUAAGAGCUUUUGUAGUGAUAAGAACAAACAAAAACUACUUCAUUGAUUUUGAAUAAGAACAAACAAAAAUUACUUAAUUGACUUUUUCUUUUGAGUAGAAAAUAUAAGAAUUUGAAUAUAGAGCCAACCACAUGAAGCGAACAGUAAAGUCUUGAAUAGAAAUUGAUGUUACAAAGGGAUUAAGGGUUUUUGAGAGAGGACAUGGGGUUGGGAAAACUACUUGAUUCACAUGGUAGUCUGAGGGAGUUUGAGGUAAACAAUAGAUUUAACUAGACCCUUAAUCUCUGUACUUGUAUAAAAUGUUCUUUAUUUUAUCAUCUAUAGAACCAAUAAUCUUUCUAAUCAUCAAUCAAUUAAAAACCAAAAGUGAUUAUGGAGCUCAAUCAAAUAAAGAUAUAGAAAUUAAGAUUUUAACUAAAACUAGUCAAAUGAAAAGAAAAUCUCUAGAAAAAUUCUCAAAUCAGUUUGAGGAAUCACACAAACAUGUUAAAUUUUAAUCUUAACUUUGUGGGUUAAAGUUAAUCCAAGACUAAAUCUAAUCCAAAUGAUAGAUUUAGAUUUGGAGAUACUUGAAUUUGGCAUUUUAGGUUCAAAUCUCAAAGUCAAUUUAUUAGAUUAUUCCAAUUAUUUGUAGUUUCUCGAUUGAUUCAUUGAUUAUGCACCGAUUCAUCUUCUAAGAUUCAUUUUAAUCUUAUAUGCAACAAAUCAAAUGAGGUCUCCAUUAUUAAUUAAUAAAUGAUCAACUAUUAUUGGAACUAAAUAAGCAAUGUCUUUCCCUUAAUUAUCUACAUAGAAAGUUCAAUCCAAAAGAAAUUACAAGUUAAAAUAAGCUUUGUUUGGAAAGAAAUAUAUCACUGCUUUAUGUAACCUUUGGUAAUAUCUUUUUCAUCAAUUGUUUCUCUAGGUAAAACUAAUCAAACACUCAUAUUGAAGGAAUAUAUUUUUUCUUGCAUAUCAUAUUUGGUUGGCAAGAAAUAAGAGAAAGCAAUAAAAAAUAAGAAUUUAAGAGAUAAAUUAAAAUAAUAAUUUUUUUUCUCACAUAUCACAUAUAGCGCUGAAAGAAUUAUUUCCUUUGUCUUUUUGUUGUGAUGGAACCCUUGACAAACAUUGUCAUAUCAUAUCUCAACACUACAAGCACGUCAUGUUUUUUUUUUGUUUUGUUUUGUUUGCAAGAUUUUUUCACUCUCCUAGUGUUAGUGGAACUUAAUUAUUUAGUCAUGCAUGUCUUAUACAGUAACUCUUAAUAUCUUAAUAUACAAAGGAAAUAAUUAAGAGCUACUAUACAAGAUAUGCAUAUCGAAAAAUGUUACAAAAAAAACAAAAGAAGAAAACAUGAUUAGCUUAUAGUAUUGGGAAAUGAUAUGACAAGUUUGUAAUUUCUUUUGGAUUGAAGUCCCUCAGACUACAUCCAGUGAAGACCAAGAUCAUAAGCGCUGGUUUGAUUUGGGGGUUUGGUGAUAUAUGUGCAUAGAAGAAACAUCACCAAAUUGGAGUAAGUACCCAUCAACAAAACCCUAAAUUUUCUCUUCAUUUUCCCAUGUUUCCAAGCGGUUUUUGGCUCUUUUUCACCGUUCGGGGCAGAUUGGUAUCUGUGAUUUUCUCUCUGUUUCUUAUGAAUUAUUUGCCUUGGUUCUUUGUUUGGACAAAUAAGUGUAUGAUUUAAUCCGUAUUUUUCAUAUCUUGUGAAUGGUUGUUUUAAUUUAUUGCCUUGUGUGUCCUGAGCUCAACUGGUAGACCUCAUGGAGCAGUUGGGAAAAUCUUGUAAUUCACUGUCAGGAAACCUAAACAGACUAAGGUUUAAGAUUCUGAGUUGUUUUCUCUUCUUUUCAUUCAUUGUUUUUGGCAAAUAAGGGAGUUGGGGGUGGUUUGGUCUGGCAAUUUUGGGGGAUUUCUGAAAAACCCACAGCAUAUUUAGCAAUGGAUUUCUGCAAAUUCAUAUAGAAGGUAUAAAGUGGAGUAAUUCCAAAUGGAGCAGUGAGGGUCUAAACCUAAUAGAUUACUCCCAAGGGGAAUUGAUGAAUUGUAUGUAAGAAAGAAAAUAAAUGAUAGAUGACAUCCUAUUAUUGAUUAAACAUAGAUUGUGAAUUUUCUUAUAAUGCCCAUGAAAUGAAUAUGAUCUUGGUGUAACAAAUCAAAUGAGGUCUCCAUUAUUAAUUAAUAGAUGACCAACUAUCAUUGAAACUAAAUAAGCAAUGUCUUUCCCUUAAUUAUCUACAUAGAGAGUUCAAUCCAAAAGAAAUUACAAGUUAAAAUAAGCUUUGUUUGGAAAGAAAUAUAUCAUUGCUCUAUGCAACCUCUAGUAAUAUCUUUUUCAUAAAUUGUUUCUCCAGGUAAAACUAAUCAAACACUCAUAUUGAAGGAAUAUUUUUUCUCGCAUAUCAUAUUUGGUUGGCAAGAAAUAAGAGAAAGCAAUAGAAAAUAAGAAUUUAAGACAUAAAUUAAAAUAAUAAUUUUUUUUCUCACAUAUCACAUAUAGCACUGGAAGAAUUAUUUCCUUUUGUCUUUUUGUUGUGAUGGAACCCUUGACAAACAUCGUCAUAUCAUAUCCCAACACUACAAGGACAUCAUGUUUUUUUUUGUUUUGUUUUUUUUUGCAAGAUUUUUUCACUCUCUUAGUGUUAGUGGAACUUAAUUAUUUAGCCAUGCAUGUCUUAUAUACUAACUCUUAAUAUCUUAAUAUACAAAGGAAAUAAUUAAGAGCUACUAUACAAGAUAUUCAUAUCUAAAUAAUUAAGUUCCAUCGACACUAGGAGAGUGGAAAAAUCUUACAAAUAAAACAUGACGUGCUUAUAGUAUUGGGAAAUGAUAUGACAAUGUAUGUCAUGGGCUCCAUCACAGCAAAAAGACAAAGGAAAUAAUUCUUCCACUACUAUAUAAGAUAUGUAUGUCUAACUAAUUACAUCCCAUCAUACUAAAUGAGUGAAAAAACAUUGCAAACAAAACAAAAGAAGUAAAUUAACAUGACAUGCUUGUAGCUACCAAUGAUAUCAAACUAAUCCUAUUUAUGUGGUUCACACUUAUCUUGAGAUUUAACCAUUUUGAGGUACACUGUGAAGCUUGAAAAAUUGCACACAACAUACCUAUCUUGAGCCUUGAUUUAUCCAAAGGCUUAUAGCAGGCCUUCUUGGUUUUUAUCAUAUCGCGUACUUCAUCAUUGAUUAGAACAUGUAAAAUCAUAUGAACUUGUGCCUUAAAAGCAAACAGGACUCCAUGAGUUGUUCGGCCACAUCUUUUGUCCUUGUGAACUGAUUGGAGAUUUUUUUUUUUUCUUAAUUUUAAUCGGUAGCUUUAACCAUAUUUAUAGGAUUUCAAUGGUAAUGAAUACAAUCCAAAUGAAAUUAAAAGUUAAAAUAAGUGUUUUAGAAAGAAACAUAUCACUGCUCCAUGCAACCUCUGGUGAUAUCUUUUUCAUUGAUUCUUUUUCCAGAUCAAAAUGAUUAUCCACUCAUGGUGCAGGAAUAUUUCUCCUCACAAAUCAUAUUUGGUCAGCGAGAAAUAAGAGAAAGUGAUAGAAAGUAAGAAUUUAAGAGACAAAAACUCCAAAAUGAAAAAUUAAAUUAAAAAAUGGCUAGACAAGUUGCUAAAGCUGCUACUAUGAUGAGCUCUAAGGUGGUUUCCAAGUCUCCAUUAGUCUUUAAGUCACCUCAAGUGUAAAAGUGUCCGAAGAAGGUAGUUCAAGAAAAAUCUCUUAUAAAAGUUCAGGGAAAAGAGAAAGGUAACGAGAAGCUUGUUGAGAAGAAGACGUACGUGGAAAUGAAAGAUCAGGGUAUUGAGUUCACACCAAGAAAGUUCAUUGUAAAUCACUUAUGUUGUGAAGAUAUUUUAGCUUUCAAAUUCUAGAGUGAUACUCUUUUCAAUAGUUGAUGAACAGAAAAAAGACGGAAGAAAUAAUUCUUGUGUUGCUAUAGAAAAUCUUACAAACAAAACAAAAGAAGAAAAGUAAAGAUCACAUGCUUGUAGCAGGAUCUUUGACAAGGGUUCCAUCACAGCAAAAAGACAAUCCGCUAAAACUUUAUACAUAUAUAAAACUUUUUAUUUAUAUAUUUAUAUAUAAAGUUAAAGCAGUGUAAGGAUUAAUUAUUAUAUCUGUGGGGCAUGAAUCAUUAUGAUUGAUCUAAGCAAAUAAAUUAUUUGGGAGAUUAAUAUUUGAAAAAUGGCCCAUCUUAUGUUAGAUUCCCAUUAGUUGUUUUUAUUUGUAUAUUAUUUUCUUUUGUUCUUAAUUAACAAACACCUAUUGCAUUAUUAAGUUUAUGUUUAUAUAAAAAAUUAAAUAAAAAUAAAACUUUAUUAAAUAAAUAAACUUUAGUUAUCUUAUUUUUAAUUCUAUUAAUUUAAUCAUUAAAAUAUAAAAAUUAUCAUAAUAAUCUUCUUGUUUAUUUAUAUUUUAAAAAUAUUUUUGUAUGAUAAUUAUUAGAGAAAUAUAAACUUAAAGACGGUACAAAUGUAAAAACUAUAAGUCAAGGAUUACAAAGCAUAAAUUCAUUAUUAAAGGAAAAGUAUAUAAUUUUUUUGAUAGAUAUUAUCUCUAAGAUUUACUUUCCAGUACAUAUUCACAUGUGUACUACCACUAAUGGGAAAGAUAAAAGAAUGAAUCAAAUUUCUAAAUCCAAUGGCUUUUUCGAUGAUCCCAUUUCCCAAUUUGUUUUUUUUAAGAAAUUGACUUUCAUUUCCUUGAGGGAAAGAAAGACUUUAUGAUCGACUCAACGCUAAUUGCUUCGAAAUAGACAUGUCAAAGUGAGAUCGGUCAAAUAUAGGGAGUCAAUUGUAGUUUUAAAAUUUUGAAGAGUGGAGUGUCAAACAACGAGGUGGUUUUAGGUGUACAAGGAAAAUGAAGAGGUUUAGAAGAUUAAUGAAAUUUUUUGAAAUAAACCCUUGCACCCAAUUGCUUUAAAAAAAAAAAGAGGUUGAUGAAUUUUGUAAAAAAUCGGGGAAAAACUAAGUGAACCUAAAUUGAAAUUCAACUUAAUAAGAUUUGCAAAAGUUCUAAAAAUAGGGGUUCCCUUGGACUUCUUUCUUUUCAUGAAAAGAACCUCAAUUAAGCUAAUUAAAUCCAGUGCUUCAAACUUGUGAGCUGUACCUCUCUGUGAAAUCUUUAAACCGUGGAACUACCACUGAUGGUUGAAGGGAAAAUUUGAGCUAUUCUUAACAUACCAAUCUAACCCACUUACCUAAGGAAAGAAGACUUAAAAAGUACAAAAGCUUUGGAUUGAUGGUUGUUCCUUACCAAAUUCAAUUACAUAAUCUUAUUAUAAGAGACAAAAGAAAAUUGUUAUCAAAUUUGACCAGCUGAGUUAUUAGAAUGUAGUGUUACAUGACAUCACUCUCUUUCAUUCCUAUGCAAUUUGAAAAUUUCCAUUGUUUUCGCCGGGCUUAGACCAUGUCACUGGAACGGAUAUAUUAAGAGUGACAAUUGUGAUCCAUUAUUUUUUGUUAAAAAUAAAUAUAAUUUUAGUGUUUUUGUAGAAAUUUUAAUUAUUUACUUUCUGAUCCAUUAUUUAAAAUUUAAAAUUAAAUUGAAAUUUUAUAUAUAAUCGAAUUUUUACGUGUGGAUGGUCCGUUCCAACCCAUUACUUAAUCACUCCAAUAGUACUCAUGUCACAAUUAUUCAAAGGAAACAGUGCCCAGAAGAAUAGUGACAAUUGCUACUAUUAUUAUUUUAUUUCAGUGACAACAAAAAGGAGAAUUUCAUUGUUUAAUUACCUCAACAAUGCUCAUGUCACAAUUAUCCAAAGAAUAUAGUCCUGAUCAGAACAAUACUGACAAGUAUUAUUAUUAUUUUAUUUGAAUGAUAAUAAAAAUAUGACGUGGUCGAUGGUAAGGCCCAUUAUAUUAUUGCGGUUAAUAUAAGCUUGAAAUGUGACUUGCAAAACCUACUUACAAGAUAUGGGUUAGUCAAUAAGACAAAAUUAAUUUGAUUGAUCUUUUUCAAUCUUAUCCUCCCAAGAAGAUCUUGUUAUGAAAUAACAAGAAUAGGUAAUAAAAAAUAAAAUAGAAUAAGAAAAUACAGAUUUAUGUAGAAAACCUUAGACGGGAAAAAACUACGAGUAGAAGAGAAGAAAAUUCACUAUAUAAAAAAUUGAUACAAAAAAAAUAAAUUUGAACGGUUAUACUAGAAGCAUAAUCAUCAUAACCCUAAAAAAUUAUAUACAUAAUUGUGUGUGUAUAUAUAUAUAUAUAUAUGAUCUGAUUCCUCUACUACCACCAUAAGCCUAGUAAAAAAUCUCAUAAUUUUAACUUCAUCAUAUAUAUUGCACUGUAAGCUUUUUAGAUUUGACUAAAUAGAAUUUGGGUUAUUAAGCUCUAAUAGAUUCAAUGGGAAAAUUUUAAGACAAGUAAAUUAGAGGAAAAUAAUGAAAAGGUUUAAAUUUGACAAAUUUGGUUAAUUUUAUACAUACAUUUAAAUUUAUUUAUUUUUUCUCUUUCUCUUAAAAUAAAUGAACAUUAAAAAUAUAUUAAUUUUGUAAAUUUUUAUUUUAUUUUAUUUCAUUAUGAAAAUAACCACAAAUCAUAUAAAUUUGGUUUCUUUUUAAAUUUACUUUUCUAAUAUGUUUUAUGAUUUAAAGAAAGAUUAAAUAAAGGUGGCAAGUGGGGUACGAUUUAAAUUUACCUUUGUCUGAUUGCCAUUAGAAGAAAUUGAAUGCUAACAAAAACCUAGUCAUAGAAUAUUAACUUUUACGUCAGGUUGGUAGGAGCAUGUACGUACGUCAUAGGUGACACCCAUUUAUAAAAGUAAUUAAUAAAUGGUUCCCAUUUUUCACUAACUUAUAAUCUAUCUAUAUAUUAAGAAAUCCCUUUCAUAGGUAUUUCAACCAGUAAUAGAACAUGCUUUCCAAACCCAUCCAUCUUGUUCCAAUUUUAUUUUUUUGUCUUUUAUAAAAGAUUUAUCAAAUUAUCAAUUUUUUAAAUAAAUACUAAUUUAAUUGCGGUUAUGGUCAAUUUCCUUUCAACCUCCUCCAUGAUGGCCUCAUUAGUCUAGAUCUUUUGGAGGUAGUGUGCAUAGGUCGGAUGGAAUCAACUGUAGAUAGUAUAUAUCUAGUUAGUUUGGUUCUUUCUUUGGAGAGCAUGAGAGUAUAUACUCCGUCAAAAAAUGCAUAUUGCUGUUUAAGAGCAUUUGACAGAAAUAACUUCAAAAAAAAUACCAAGUGGGGAGUACAAUUUGUUCAUUAUUUAAACAGAAAUGUAUAAAGAAUACUAUCUUCUCCGGGAUCAGGAUUCCAAUCGAUCACCCAAUUCCAAUGGAAAGCAUCUACCAAAUAGAUAAAAGACUAUGAACAACCUCUCACACAGAAUAUUGUCUUAAAUUUCAAUUAGAUAAUGACGAUACAACGACCUCUGACGCAUGAAAAUCUUGCGUAGUUUAAUGGAAUUAGCUUUGUCUGUGUCUAUGCCACUAGCAUUUUGAUUAAUGCUUGUGGGACAUGAGUGAGAGAAGAAAUCCACUAUAAAUAGGAAGCCAUGCACUUCCUUCCUUCCCAUUCUGAGUUCUAGGUAAGCUAGCUUUGUACGAGUUGGAUUAGUUUCAGAGCUUUAAUGGAGUUUCAUCUCGUUCCCAUUCUGACUUCUUUCUUGGUGAGCCUUCACUUCCACCUUUUCCGAUCUAUAGGACAGUGAACCGAUAUUUGUGAUUACAUUUUUCCUUUAUUUGCAGUUGAGAGAGCUCACGUAUAGAAAUUUUUUUGUGACAAACUUAAUGGAAAUCCAUUGAGAUAUAUAUUAGUUUCAAAGUUUCAAGUUUUUUUUUCAUUUGUAGGUGGCUUUUCUUGAUAACUUCUUUGUAUAGCUUGACUGACAUAUAUGGCAUGAACUUGUGGCAGCUGGUGGUGGUGGUGGUGAGCCAUGCUUAUUCUCUACCUUCCGAGGUUGAUGGGAAGUCGGCUUUGCCUACCACUCCCUUCCGGAAAGCUGUGCGGAAUCUCUUAAUGCAGCCUGGUUGGUUUCAAUAACUCUGCAACUCACUUUUUUGUUGGCUCACAAUAAACCUGUUUGAGAACUGUUACUAGUUUGAUCCGUUAACCAAGUCAUGCCCACACACAAUGGAGUGCACCAAUACUUAAGAAUUUACUUAUUAAAAUGAAUGAAAAAUGUUAUAACCAUUUUCAAUUGCAACCAUGCUUUUCUAAAAAUAAAACCCUAACAUAUAAAAGGAUUAAAUAUAUAAUAGGGACAAAUUCGUCAAUUAUCAUAUAAAAAAAUUCUCCAAAUAUCCCGAGAGCAACAAUAAUUUAAAAUUGUUUUUAUUCAAGUAUAUAGUUGUAAAAUUGUUUAUAUUAUUCUAUAGUUUGCUGCUGUGUAAGAGGAAUAUUAAUAACAACUAGUUUCGAACAUAAUACUGAAGAUCAUAUUACCAUUUUUUUUUUUCAUGUUGAAGAUAUAAUAUGAUUAUUACACAAAAUGGGGUGACUUUGAUUUAAAGUAUUUAAUUUUAAGUUAAUAAUUUUAGAAAUAAAAUUUUGAAUAAGUAUAAACAUAAAAUAAUCCUAUAAAACUAAGACUUGAUAUGUAAAUUCUAAGAAUAAAAUAUUAUGCAUGUUUAACAUAAAUGUUAAAUUUUUAAUUUGAUAUUUAAAUUUAUAAAUUAAAAUGAAAUUAAAAAAAAUAAAUUGAAAUGAUUUUAAUGAAUAUAAAAUAAACAUUAUUUAAUUUAAUUUUAGUAUAUAAAGGAGAAAAAUUAAUAUAUAAACCUUUAUAACAAUAUAAUAAGUUUGAAUAUAUAACAUCUAAUAAUGCAUGCUAAAUUAUACUAUAUUAAUAAUUAUUGUCAAAGUUUGGAAAUAAUGGCAAAGAGUUCUAAUGUUUGACCUACUUACAAAGAAGACUUAGAACCCGUUUGAUAAUGAUUUUGGGAACUACUCUUAACUUUUUGAACGCUUGAAAGUUUUUAUUAUUCAAAUGUUAAAAAAUCUAUAAAUGUUUUCUAAAAUCAGUAUGAAAUAGACUCUUAGAAAUGAUAACAAAUUAAUAAGUUUAAGUUGUUAUUUCUUCAAUUUUGACACUAUUCAUUUUGAUUUAUUUAAUUUACUAAAUUGUUUUGAAAUGAUUAUAAUGUGGCUUAUAUAUAAUAAUUUUAAUUAUCAUGUCAUAUUAACACGGUUACAAUAAAACCCCACAUACCACUAGUUGUCGUAAAUGAGAAAAGUAUAUUUCAUGCGUUUAUUUGAAAGCAUAUGCAAAGUAGGAAACUAUUUUUUCAUAUUUCAAAGUGUUAUCCUAAAAUAUUUGUUUUUUAUACGCUUUUGGAUAAAAAAUAAUAUCGAAAUACUACCUUUUCAUAAUACAAAUAUUAUAUUUGAUUUGGACGAAUACCCAUUUCACUUGAAAAUUUUUGAUAGGUUAUGUUUACAAUUUGUAAAUUUCAUAAUUUUUUUUACCUUAACAUGUGAAAGGAGGAUCCAAUUCUUACCUCUAAUGAUAGACUUACGAUCAUGAGUAAAUAUUAAAUAACAAGCCCAACUAGGCUCUUGAGUUAUAGACUUUCACAAACAAUCAUUCUCCAAUUUGUAUGUAGUAGCAUUUUGAAAUUAAGAUGCAAACUCUCAAAAAGCAGGAAGAAGUUCUACCGAUGCUCAAAAGCAUGCUAGCUCGAUUGCCGAAUAUGAAGCAGUCUAUGGAAACCCUCAAAAAGUAGAAGGAAGUCCUAUCAAUUCUCACAAGGAUGCUAGCUCAAUUGCCGGAUAUGAUGCAGUCUAUGGAAACCCUCAGAAAGCUAGAGGAAGUUCUAUCAAGGCUCACAAUGAUGCUAACUCAGUUGCCGCAUAUGAUGCAGUCUACGGAAACCCUCAAAAAUUAGGAGGAAGUUCUAUCAAAGCUCACAAUGAUGCUAACUCCGUUGCCGGUUAUGAUGCAGUCUAUGGAAACCCUCAAAAAUUAGGAGGAAGUUCUACCAAUGCUCAUGACAAAGAUGCUAGCGCAAUUGCUGGAUAUGAUGCAGUCUAUGGAAGCACUCAAAAACAAGGGGAUGCUAGUCCAAUUGCUGGAUAUGAUGCAGUCUAUGGAAGCACUCGAAAACAAGGGGAUGCUAGUCCAAUUGCUGGGUAUGAUGCAGUCUAUGGAAGCACUAAAAAACAAGGGGAUGCUAGUCCAAUUGCUGGCUAUGAUGCAGUCUAUGGAAGCACUCAAAAACAAGGGGAUGCUAGUCCAAUUGCUGGAUAUGAUGCAGUCUAUGGAACCUCUCAAAAAGCAGAAGGAAGUUCCAUCAAUGUUCACAAGGAUGCUAGCUCAAUUGCCGGAUAUGAUGCAGUCUAUGGAAACUCUCAACAAAAAGCAGGAGGAAGUUCUAUCAAUGCUUACAAAGAUUCUAGCCCAGUUGCGGGGUAUGAUGCAGUUAAUGUGUUUUUGGAAAAAGACCUGCAUCCUGGGACAAAAAUGGCGGUGCGCUUCACAAAAACCUCAAGUGCAGCUCAUUUCUUGCCCCAUCAAGUUGCUGAAUCCAUACCUUUUUCAUCAAACAAGCUACCAGAAAUUUUGAAGCGAUUCUCCGUGAAAGAAAACUCCGCAGAAGCCCAGAUAAUACAGAAAACAAUAAAACAAUGUGAGACGCCUGCCAUAGUAGGAGAAGUUAAGUACUGUGCGAGGUCCUUGGAGUCCCUAAUUGAUUUCAGCACUUCAAGGCUGGGAAAAAACAUUCGAGUUCUCUCCAAUGAGGUGGAAGCGGAUAUCCAGGAGUAUAAAUUUGGAGAGGGAGUGAAGAUGGUGGGAGAGAAAUCAGUGGUGUGCCACCAGCUGAACUAUCCAUAUGCUGUGGCAUUCUGCCAUACACUUCACAUGACAAAGAUUUACAUGGUUCCAUUGGUGGGUGCUGAUGGAACCGGAGUUGAAGCUGUAGCAGUUUGUCACCGGGACACGUCAACUUGGGACCCAAAGGCUUUGGUCUUUCAAAGCCUCAAAGUUAAGCCAGGAACUUUGCCCAUCUGCCAUUUCCUUCCCAAUGGUCAUACUGUCUGGGUUCCAAAGUAGGUAGAGAUCCGCAGAAAGCCUCCAACCCAAUUGCUGGCUUGCAGUUUCUGUAAUAUAUUGUGUGCUUUGAAUAACUGCUAGGGUUGAGGAAUGUGUGUCCUAACUCCUAUGUGUAAUAUUAUUCAGUAACGAGUGACUCUCUCCUUGGUUAUUUAUUUUUUCGGGUUUAUUUCAUUACCUUCUUUCGAUUAAGUACAUCUAGCAACCACGCUUUUUAAAAAAUAAAACCAUGAUAUAUAAAAGUGUUAAAUAUAUAAUAUAAGCAAAUUCGUCUUCUAUCUUAUAUUAAAAUGAAUGAAAAAGGUUACAACGAUGAAACUCUCGAAAAACACUUUUCAAUUACAACCACACUUUUUAAAAAAUAAAACCCUAAUAUAUAAAAUGGUCAAAUAUAUAAUAGGAACAAAUUCGUCAUUUAUCAUAUAAAAAAAGAUUCUCCAAAUACCCCAGUAAAAGAGCAACAAUAACUUAAAAUUGUUUUUAUUCAAGUAUAUGGUUGUAGUAAAAUUGUUUAUGUUAUUCUAUAGUUUGUUGUUGUGUAAGAGGAAUAUUAAUAACAACUAGUUUCAAACAUAAUACUGAAGAUCAUAUUGCCAUUUUUUUUUUCAUGUUGAAGAUAUAAUAUAAUUAUUAAACAAAAUGGGGUGACUUUGAUUUAAAGUAUUUAAUUUUAAGUUAAUAAUUUUAGAAAUAACAUUUUGAAUAAGUAUAAACAUGAAAUAAUCCAAUAAAACUAAGACUUGAUAUAUAAAUUCUAAGAAUAAAAUAUUAUGCUCGUUUAACAUAAAUGUUAAAAUUUUAAUUUGAUAUUUAAAUUUAUAAAUAAAAAUGGAAUUAAUAAAAAUAAAUUGAAAUGAUUUUAAUGAAUAUAAAAUAAACAUUAUUUAAUUUAAUUUUAGUAUAUGAAAGAUAAAAAUUAAUAUAUAUAUAUAUAUAUAUAUAUAUAUAGAAAACAAUAAAACAAUGUGAGACGCCUGCCAUAGUAGGAGAAGUUGAGUACUGUGCGAGGUCCUUGGAGUCCCUAAUUGAUUUCAGCACUUCAAGGCUGGGAAAAAAUUUGGAGAGGGAGUGAAGAUGGUGGGAGAGAAAUCAGUGGUGUGCCACCAGCUGAACUAUCCAUAUGCUGUGGCAUUCUGCCAUACACUUCACAUGACAAAGAUUUACAUGGUUCCAUCGGUGGGUGCUGAUGGAACCGGAGUUGAAGCUGUAGCAGUUUGUCACCGGGACACUUCAACUUGGGACCCAAAGGCUUUGGUCUUUCAAAGGCUCAAAGUUAAGCCAGGAACUUUGCCCAUCUGCCAUUUCCUUCCCAAUGGUCAUAUUGUCUGAGUUCCAAAGUAGGCAGAGAUCCGCAGAAAGCCUCAAACCCAAUUUCUGGCUUGCAGUUUCUGUAACAUAUUGUGUGCUAUUUGAAUAACGGCAAGGGUUGAGGAAUAUGCAUCCCAACUCCUAUGUGUAAUAUUAUUCAGUAACGAGUGACUUUCUCCUUGAUUAUUUAUUUUUUCAAGUUAAUUUCAUUGACCUUCUCUCAACUACGUACAUCUAACUCUCAUAAUUUUAAAAUUUCAUUAAAUAUUAGGCUUAUUCUUUUCAUUUCUUAUUUUCACUUAUUACCUAUUUAAUUCAAAAUAAAGGAAAUGUACCAUGAAAAUUUAAAUUUACAAGAAUUAAAUAUAUUUAAUCAAAAUCUUAAAAAUGGUGAAUGAAAUUAACUUUUAUUUUUUUGUUAAUAUUAUCUAUUGCAAAUAAAAGGAAACAGUGACCAGAAGAAUAGUGACAAUACUUACUAUAAUCAUUUUAUUUCAGUAAUAAUAAAAGCAAAAAUUUCAUUAUUUAAUUACCUCAACAAUAAUCAUGUCACAAUUAUUCAAAGAAUAUAGUCCCGGAACAAUACUGAAAAUUAUUAUUAUUAUUAUUUUAUUUGAAUGAUAGUAAAAAUAUGACAUUUAUCUCUUUUUGUUUUACCUACUUAAUUUCCAAACCCAUCCAUUUUUUUUCCUUCGAGUUUUCUAUUUUUAUUUAUUUUUAUAUUUUAUAAAAGAUUUUUCAAAUGAUCAAAUUUUUAAAUAAAUAUUAGUUUGAUUGUGGUUAUCAAUUUUCUUGCUAUACAAAGAAAAACACCAAAUCAAACGGUAUUUGAUGUUUUAAACUCUUUAACAAAUCUAAUAACUUUUAAAAAUAAUUUAGAAACCAAUUAAUACCUAUUGCAACCUAAAAAUGUGCUAUCCAUGUUGACAAUUUAUUACCCCAUUUCCAAUUGUAGUUGUAGAUGAGGGAGAUAAUUUUCCUGAUGAGGGCAUUAUUAUAAACAUUAUUACGAUGGUAUGGCAAAGUGAAGGAUGCAUUAUGAUGGAGCUUCCAACAAUCGAGAACAUGUUGUUGAUGUAUUUUAGUUAUUUCUCUUCUAGGUGAUCACAUUCCUAAUCAAUUAUAUAAUCAUAAUGAUUGAAAUCGAUGCAAUCGAAGCAUUAAAAAACCAAUGUGAAGGAACGAGUCUUAAGUACAAAUAAAUGGAAUCACUUAUAAAAAUUAAGAAUAUAAAAAAUAAUAUUUAAAUUUAAAAAUGUAUUAAUAAUAUAAUAAAUUAUUAUCAAAUAUAAAGAUAUAUGAUCUCCAUCACAUUUUUCAACUGCCGUCCAACUUGGCAGCCAAUGUCGCUACCCUCCUUUCAACCUCUUCCAUGAUGACCUCAUUAGUCUAGAUCUUUCGGAGAUAGUCUGCAUAGGUCCGAUGGAAUCAAUAGUUUGGUUCUAAUAAGUUUGGUUCAGUUUGGUUCUUUCUUUAGAGAGCAAUGAGAAUAUACCCUGUCGACAAUAAUGUCGGUUUCCCAUCGGAAUGAGUUUGUAGAGGAGAAAAAAAGGGUAGCUUUAGCACAAAAUUCAUAUUACUGUAUGUGACAGAAAUAACUUUAAAAUAUACCAAGUGGGGAUUAAAAUUUGUUCAUUAUUUAAAAAGAAAUGUAUAAGAAUACUAUCUAAUUCUCCGGGAUUAAGAUUCCAAUCAAUCAGCCAAUUCCAUUGGAAAGCAUCUAUCAAAUUGAUAAAGCCGAUGAACAACCUCUCACACAGGAUAUUGUCUUAAAUUUCAAUUAGAUAACGACGAUGCGACAACCUCUCACACACGAAUGCCUUACGUAGUAGUUUAAUGGAAUUAGCUUUGUCUGUGCCUAUGCCACCAGCAUUUUAAUUAAUGCUUGUGGGACAUGAGUGAGAGAAGAAAUCAACAAUAAAUAGGAAGCCAUGCACUUCCCUCCUUUCCAUUCUGGGUUCUAGGCGGCUAGCUUUGUACGAGUUGGAGUAGUUUCAGAGCUUUAAUGGAGUUUCAUCUCCUUCCCAUUCUGACUUCUUUCUUGGUGAGCCUUCACUUCCACCUUUUCUUGAACACUUCGUUUUUAUAUUUCAUGGAAUAUAACUUACAUAUAUGGCAUGAAGUACUUGUGGCAGCUGGUGGUGGUCAGCCAUGCUUAUUCUCUACCUUCCGAGGUUGAUUGGAUGUCGGGUUUGCCUAACACUCCCUUCCCGAAAGCUAUGCGGAAUCUCUUAAUGCAGCCUGGUUGGUUUCCAACUUCCUCUUUUGUUGGCUCAUAGUAAUAGUGUGUUGAAUAAUGUAUUUAUGAGAAUCAUCUAUCAAAUAUUUCUUCGGAAAAUAUUAUAAGUAUUUUUUCAAUGAUGAUUUUUCAUAUUUUUAAAGAUAUUUCCUAAAAUUUUAUCAAAUAUCAAAUGAGUUCUAAACCUGUUUGAGAACUAUUGCUAGUUUGAAUGACCAUAAUAGACUAAAAAAUGACUUGAGUAGAGAUGAGAUUUAUUUAUUUUAAUAUUUAUGUCAAUUAUGGGGAUUAUAGGUAAUGACGAAUUUGAAAAAUAAAAUGUAACAUCGAGUAUAAAUGAGUUAUAAUCAUGUGAAAUUAUCAACAACCAUGUUUUGAUAAAAUAUUUGCUGCUUAAUGCAACAAAUUAAAUGGCCUUAAUUAGUUAUACCAUCAAUCAUGGGUUUAUGUGUGGCUUUAAGAAAAUAUGUGUCCUUAAUUAUUUCUCAAGUUAUUAUCCUCGUCAUCAUAAUUAACCUUUUAAAUUGUUGAAUUUGCAAACACAACAAAAGACGGAAGUUCUACCAAUGCUGACAAGACCAUCCCCACUGCUAAAUACGACACCCUUUAUGAAAACCCUCAAAAAGCAGCGAAAAGUUCUAUAAAUGCUCGCAAGAAUGCUAGCCAAAUUAAUCAAUACGAUUUAGUUCAUGAAAACCUUAGAAAGUUAAAUGAAAGCUCUAUCGAAUCUCCCAAGGAUGCUAGCUCACUUGUCGGAUAUGAUGCAAUCUAUGGAAACGCCAAAAAACAAGGAGAUGCUGUCCCAAUUACCGGAUCAUAUGAUGCAGUCUAUGGAAACCCCAAAAAACAAGGAGAUGCUACCCCCGGAUCAUAUGAUGCAGUCUAUGGAAACCCCAACAAACAAGAAGAUGCCACCCCCGGGUCAUAUGAUGCAGUCUAUGGAAACCCCAACAAACAAGGAGAUGCUGCCCCAGUUACCGGAUCAUAUGAUGCAGUCUAUGGAAACCCCAAAAAACAAGGAGAUGCUGCCCCAGUUACCGGAUCAUAUGAUGCAGUCUAUGGAAACCCCACAAAACAAGGAGAUGCUUCCCCAGUUACCGGAUCAUAUGAUGCAGUCUAUGGAAACCCCAAAAAACAAGGAGAUGCUGUCCCAGUUACCGGAUCAUAUGAUGCAGUCUAUGGAAACCCCAAAAAACAAGGAGAUGCUGUCCCAGUUACCGGAUCAUAUGAUGCAGUCUAUGGAAACCCCACAAAACAAGGAGAUGCUUCCCCAGUUACCGGAUCAUAUGAUGCAGUCUAUGGAAACCCUAAAAAACAAGGAGAUGCUUCUCCAGUUACCGGAUCAUAUGAUGCAGUCUAUGGAAACCCCAAAAAACAAGGGGAUGCUACCCCAAUCACCGGAUCAUAUGAUGCAGUGUAUGGAAACCCUCAAAAAAUUGUAGGAAGUUCCAUUAAUGCUCAUAAGGAUGCCAGCCCAAUUGCCGGAUAUGAUGCAGUUUAUAGAAACCCUCAAAAAGCAGGAGGAAGUUCUAUUAAUGCUCAGAAGGAUGCUAGCUCAAUUGCCGGAUAUGAUGCAGUCUACGGAAGCGCUCAAAAAGUAGGUGAAAGUUCCAUCAAUGCCCACAAGGAUGCCAACUCAAUUGCCGGAUAUUAUGCAGCCUAUGGAAACCCUCGAGAUGCAGGUGAAAGUUCUAUUGAUGCUGGCAAGGCUAGCCCAACUGCCUCAUAUCGGACUGUUUACGGAAAUCCUCGAAAAGCAAGUGGAAGCACUGAUAUCAAUGCUGGUAAGCCUAGUAGAACUAUGCAAUACGAGAGGGUCUAUGGAAAUCCUCAAAAAGCAGGCGGAAGUUCUGUAAGCGCGGGCAAAAAUAGUCCAAACUUGCAACAAGGACACCAAGAUGGUACCAGUACAGGUAAUGUGUUCUUGGAAAAAGACCUGCAUCCUGGGACUAAAAUGAUGGUGCGCUUCACAAAAACCUCAAGUGCAGCUCAUUUCUUGCCCCAGCAAGUUGCUGAAUCCAUACCUUUUUCAUCAAACAAGCUACCAGAAAUUUUGAAUCAGUUCUCAGUGAAAGAAAACUCCGCAGAAGCCAAGAUAAUACAGAAAACAAUAGAAGAAUGUGAGAAACCGGCCAUAGAAGGAGAAGAGAAGUACUGUGCGAGAUCGCUGGAGUCCCUAAUCAAUUUCAGCACUUCAAAGCUUGGAAAAAACAUUAGAGCACUCCCAAAUGUUGUGGAAGGGGAAAUCCAGGAAUAUAAAUUUGGAAAGGGAGCGAAGAUGCUUGGAGAGAAAUCAGUGGUGUGCCACCAGCUGAACUAUCCAUAUGCUGUGGCUCUUUGCCAUGCAUUUCACAUGACAAAAAUUUACAAGGUUCCAUUGGUGGGAGCUGAUGGAACCAGAGUUCAAGCUUUAGCAGUAUGUCAUGAGGACACUUCCAUUUGGGACCCAAAUGCUUUGGCUUUUCAAGUGCUCAAAGUUAAGCCAGGAACUUGGCCCAUCUGUCAUUUCCUUCCCAAUGGUCAUUUUGUGUGGGUUCCAAACUAGGCAGAGAUCCGUCCGCAGAAAGCCUCAAACCCAAUUGCUGGCUUGCAGUUUGUGUAAUAUAUUGUGUGCUUUGAAUAACUGCAAGGGUUGAGGAAUGUAUGUCCUAUGAGCAAUAUUAUUCAGCAAUGAGUGACUCUCCUUUUUUCUUUUUCUUUUUUUCUUUUUUUUUCUUUUCCCUUUCAGUACUACCCAUUGCAGCAAUUGCAAUGCUAAACAUAUGCACUGAGUAUCAUAUCUAAACGCCCACCAGAAGACAGUUUGAGAUUACAUAUAUACUUAAUUACAUUUAGCAAUUCUUUUAUUUUAUUUUUUCAAAUAACUAAUACAAACUAAUUGAUAAUAAUCAAAUUAACUUUUGUUGUAGAGUUGUAAGUGAACUUGUAAUUAAGUAUCAUUGUAGAUUCACCAUUAUUUAGUUAAACAUUAGAGUCCAAAAUAUUUAAACAUCUCAAAAUAAACCACCAUUAAAAAUUUAUUUAAUAAAAUUUUUGUUAACAAAAUAUUUCUUUUAUUCAUAGAAGUAACAGAACCUAUUACUAUGAUUGAGAAUUAUUUUUUAAAAUAAUUUUCUAUUUUUUUUCUUAAGAACAAAAAACAAAAUGUUUUUAAAUAAAUCAUUUUAGUUAUUUUCUGUUGUUUUUAUUUGUUUUUUGAGGAUUGUUUUAAUAAAUAAUUAUAUAAACACAUUGAAUGAUUAAAAAUAAAACACCAAAUAUAAAAAUUAUUUUUUAAAAUAUUAAAAAUGGGUUAAAAAUAUUUUAGGUUUCUAAAUAGAUUUUUGUUCUAUAAAAACUAGAAAACAAUUUUAAAAAACUAUUUUCAAAAACUAUUUUUUCAUAAAUAUUUUUAAAAGCAAUUACCAAACAAAACCUAAAAUUUUUUAUAUGUUUUUUGUUGUUAGAAAUAGCAAAGCAAACAAAAUAUGAACCGUGUUUCCAUUCAUACGCGGGCAUAGCCAUAUAAGUGUUGCUUCACAGAAGCAUAUUUCAGGCUUUCAGCUAUCCUUAUAUGGAAAGCUCAGUCUAUGUAUCAAUUGAAAAAGCAUUAAAUAUAUUUGUCUUUUUUCUUCUUAAUUUUUUUUUUCCCUUUGUUAGCUUAUGGAUAUAGUUUAAUUAUGAAAGUUGCUUUUCUCAGUUAUUCAAAAUGAGUGGUAUAUACACAUGCAUGCUGCUCAGUCGUUGCAUAAUUCUCUCCUUCCUUGCUGGGUCAAUUUUUCCAACAACUUCUAAAGCUUGAUGAGUCCGAAAGUGUCUAUAAUUCUUCUGCUCUUGCAAGAAAUCUUCAAAGGCUUGUUAUUAAUUAAAUUUUACUUUCUAACCCUAGUUAAUUCUUUAAGUUAUGAAUUUGGUGUCAGAUACCAUAAAGUAAAUAACCCAAAUUAUUUAUUAGAGACCAUAAGGUAUAUAAUCCAAAUUAUUUUUUAGAUUAUCAUUCCUAACCCCAAUUCCUAUGUGAUAGAAUAACCACUAGCACACUUUAAAUUGUAUUAUCACUUUUUCUCCUACAUCUAUGAUAAUUCAAGAUUGUAGUUGAGAAAAAAAUAUUGAUGAAAAACUUAUUAUUCUCAUGUUGGUGGUGGAGUCCUUGAUUUAAGGGCACGGAAUACACAUGCCAAAUCUCGGUCCAUGUAUAUGUAUGAUAUAUAUAAAGAAUGUUGGAUAAGGAAAUUCUAGACAUGACCAAAUUUGAAUCGUGUAUUGCCACUUACAUUUGGCAAUAAGAUGUGAUUUACGUGGAAAAUUGGUGGUGGUAGGAGCCUAUAAAUAGAGGUCUCUUCUCCUCAUUCCAUUUAUUCUAUAAUUGAGAGAAAAAUAGUGGUGCAACUCUUUGAGUGAAAAAGUGAGAUUCAUAGAUACCAAUUCAUAGGAAAUCUACAUGUAGUAGAUGGUAUGUCAUGGAUCAGAGCUUCAUCUCAUUGUUAUUUACAUAGAAUAUUGAAGUAUAGUUGAUUUUCUAUAAUGGAAUGUUGAAUUAACUUCAUAAUUGAAUUCUAGGAGAGUCAAUACUUCUAUAGGUCCUAAUGGUCUUUGCUAUGAACUCAAACAUUGUGUUGGCGUAGUUUAUGAGGGUUGGAUUGACUUUAGGUUUACUCUUGUACAUAAAAGAAUUUUGAUAAUUACACAAAGUUGUAUAUGAGAUAAUAAACAAGGUUUUUAAAUUGGACUAAUUGAUUAAUUAGAUAGUCAUAUGCGGUUAAUUAAUCAAUUAUGACUUAUAUUAUAGUAGAUUAAGUAACCCAAACUCAAGUCACUUAAACCUAAUAAGAGAAUGUUAUAAAUACCCUUUAGAAAUUAGGGCUAAGGUUUCCAUGGCCUUAGACAGUUGUCUUCCAUCUCAAAGAGAGUAUAGGUUUCCACAAUUUCAAAGCCCACACUUUGGAGUGUCAAGAUUAUGGUUUAAGUUAUCAAAUAGAAGAUCUUGGGUGAACAAGACUCCCGAACUAUUCAAGCAUGUUUUUUAUUGUGAGGAAUUGAUAUAGGAACAUUCAGAUUUAGGUAUGAAUACUAUAUCUCUAGAUCUAUAAUUAAUAAUAGUUUUUGCUACCAUUUUAUUUCAUCGUGAUAGAUUUAUACAUACCUAGGGAUAGAUGCAUACACCUACUAGAUCUAGGGAUAGGGAAUUCCCAACAACUAUAGCCAAGGAAUAUGCAUGGAAUGGACAAGUAUUGAAGCUUAGUUUUAUUUUAAGGUCAGAGGUUGGGGUGGAAUACACACCCAAACACUUUUAGUUGAGAGUAAUCAGGUGUUGAAAAAGAGUUCCAAUGGAGUUUUAUUCUUUAGAACCAGAGUGGGUAACCUGUUAGUAAGAAAAAUGCAUGUGCAAAGGCCUCAUCACAAUGUUUGAUGGGUAGAGAGGCUUGUAGGAGUCCCUAUUCAACAAUGAGGUGAUGUUUAUGCUGAGUUGUUACAUUUUGUUUAUGGGCGUAGGAACAUGAGGUUCUCUGGAUAAUGUCAUUUGAGAAAGGAUAAUGUGUGAAGGUACGAUAUUCUCCGCCCUAAUCAGUUUGUAUAGCCUUACUUUUAUGACCCAUUUUAAGCUCAGCUUGAGACUUGAAAUUAAGAAAGGCUUGAAAUGCUUCAUUAGAUUUUUACUUAAAAGCAUGUAAAUCCAUGCAUACCUAGAGUAGGCAUCAACAUAGUGAAUGUAAUACUGAUAUCCAUUAGAAGAGGGUGUUGAUGCAAGGCCUCAUAAAUGAGAAUGUAUCGGUUCUAAGGGUGUUGUGUAUGGUGAGGUAGAAGUAAGAAAUGGAAACUAGUGAAUCUUUCCCAAGCAAGAUGCAAAACAAACAAGAGAGGAUCUUUUAUUAAGGUGAGAAAGGUUACCUAUAUUUAGUACUUGAGACAUGGUUUGAGCAGAUGGGUGGCCAAGUCUAUUGUGUCAUAAAUCAAAUGAUGCUCUUUCUUGUAGCUGAUGUUAUGAAGGGCUUGGAAGAGAAAGGUGUAGUGGUUGUUGUGCAGAGCUUGAAGGAGACGGUUGAGUUCUGAGGAUGUGAGGAAGUGAAGUUCAAGUUAUCGAACACAUAGAGACCCCUUUUAAGUUGGCAUUGUAGAAGAACUGUUCUGGUGGUAAGAUCCUUAACAAAACAAGAGGUGGAGGUGAAACUCAAAAUAUACAUGGUUGUCAUUUGCAAAUUUAGAAACAUUAAGAAGAUUUUUGGUGAUUUUUAGAACAUGAAGUAAUUGUUUCAGGGUAAGUGAUUUGGAAAGAUUAAAAGGAGAUGAGAAUGAUGUAUUACCAAUAUGAUGAAUAGGGAGGCCCUUACCGUUUCCCAUGAAAACUUGAUCUGGUGCCGAAAAUUGUGAUUUGUUCAAGAUGUUGUUCAGUUCAAGUGUUAGAUGAUGUGUUGCUCCGGAACAUGGAUACCAGUAGGUUACCUCUGAAAUAUCUGAAGAGGCUUGUUGUGUGGGUGCAAUUAAGAGUCCUUCAUGCUGCUGUGAUGGCCUCAAGUAUUGUUGUGGAACGUGAGUAAUGUUCCCUUGAGGUGGAUGAUUUUGCAGCUGUGAAUUCCAGUGAAGGAGUGAUGAAACCAGUAGUAGCAUUGCAUAACCACAUGUACUAUCCUCCCACAUAGCUGACAUUGGGGUUUCUUAUUUCCUUCCCAUGAAUUCUUUGAUUCAAGUGUGAGGAUCCACUGGUUGUGGCCAAGUUAACAAGACUAGUAUUGGACAAUUCUGAAUUCAAUUUCUUCCGUAGUGUAGGGAUCAAUCCUUGAGCUUACUGAGAUGAUAGAGGUUUCAUAUUCUUGAGAAAGGCCUUCAAAGAUUGCAUCUAUAUAGUCUUCGACACAGAGUUUAUGGCCAACUAGAGGAAGAAGAUCAACUGUGUUUAGAAGCAUAUUUCAACUACAAUUUCAUAAAAGUAUUACAAUUUAAUUUCUAUUUAGGAAAAAUAAUUUUUACAAAUUGUCUAGAGAAAAAGAUCCUUUUAUAAGUUCAUCUACAAAGUAUUUUUCAACUCAAUCUUAUUUACAAGAGUUAAAAUUCAAUUCAAAUAUAGUGGUAAAAAAAGUUUGAUAGAAAAUGAUUUUUACAAAAGAGAAUUCAAUUCUUUUUUAAUUUUAAGAAAAUAAUUUAUUAAUUUGAUAAAAAAAGAAAAAGAAAUUAUCUAUGAUUGGCUUAAAAAAAAAAAAAAAGAGUUUCCCGAUUUUAUUAAGUGAACUUCGUAAACUAUUUGGAUUUUAGUAAAAGAUCUCAACUUUAUUAUUUAAAAAAAUCAAAUUAAAAAAAUUUUUAAAAAAGGAUUCCAAUUGGAUUUUUCCUUAAAAAAGGAAUUUUUUAUUAAUUUAUUAAAAAAAAUUAGGACUUUAAUUUUAAUAGAAUUAUAUUUUAAUUAAAAUAAGAUAUUUUCAUAACAUUAUUUAAAAAGAGAAUUUUAUUAAGAAUUAGUUUUAUUUACAAUUUUAAUAAAAGAAUUUUCAUUUUAUUUAAGGAUUUUUGCAAGCUGUUUUAAUUUUGUUACAUUAAAAAAAAAAUCAAACUAAACACAAAAAAUAGGAUCAUGUCUUAAAAAGGUUUUCAAUUUAUUAAUGGCAUGAUUUUCGGAUUAUUUAAAAAAUAAAAAUCUCAACUUUAUCUAAAAGGAUUUCAUAUUUUUAUUUAUUAAAAAAAUUCAUUUAUUUAUUUAUUUAUUUUCCUUCUUCUUUUUUUUUUUUUCUAAGAGGCUUCCGAUUUCAUUUUGGAAGACCCUGAAACAAGGCCAAAAUUUUAUAAUGAAAUUUCAAAGAUCAAAAGGAAAGGGUUUCACCUCAUUCUUUUGAAGAACCUAAGGCCAAAAUUGAAGUGAGGGUCAUGGAAAUGAAGGUCUCGAUAGUUGAUGCAGAUGAGGUUGUCAGAGGGGGCCUGUGAGGUGCAUAAUUGGUAUGAAUAUGGUAGUGGAGCUGCGUGAGAGAGAAAUGGAAGAAAGGAGGGUGAGAGAGAGAGAGAAAGGGGUGGAGAGAAAUAAAGUGAAAGAAAGAAAAUGGGGGAAAAUGAGAAGAAGAGGAAGAAGUGGGUGGUCGUGUGAGGGAAAGUGAGAGAGGCUGAGAAAGGAAAACAAAUGAAAAGAAAGAAAAAAAAUGUUAAAAAAUAGAAGGAAAGAGAAAAGAGUAGGGUGUGGGUGGAGGAAAAGGUGGAAGAAAAAGGCCAAAAUUUUGGUUUGAAUUGCUGCAAGGGUUGAGGAUUGUGUGUCCUACCUAAGGGUCUUCAACGGGCCGGGCCGGGCCCUUAAGCUGGGCGGGUUGGCGGGCUUAGCUGGGUAAAAAUUAAAGUAUUUUUUAGGUUUGAAGGGAAGGGGAUUCGAACCCUUUCCCAUACGGAUCCAUAAGGAGAGCUAACCACCAACUGAACUAACCCUCUUUUAUGUAAUUAUUUUGUAUUAGUUAUAUAUAUAUUAGAAAUGUUGUAUGAUUUUUUUUUUAUAUAUAGAUUUUUUUUAAGUGGCGGGCCAGGCCGAGCCUAAAUUGGGGCCCAUGGCCUGGCCCAUCCAAGAAUGGGCUCGGGCUUGCCGAGCUUUAACCCGCUAGGCCGGGUCGGGCCGCGGGCUUUUUGGAGACCCUUAGUCCUACCACCUAUGUGCAAUAUUAGUGACUCGCUCUAUCAUUCAGCCUAGCGUGCACUUAGGUUAGGUUUGUUUUUUGAUUGAAUAAAAAAAGUCAAAAUAUUUAACUUUUUUUAUUCAGCUAAAAAUAACAUGUUGACAUUAUUCAAUAUAAUUAAACUGAACUUAUUAAUAAUAUAUUUAUUUUAAUUAUGUUGGAUGAUGUCAACAUAUUACUUUUAGUUGAAUAGAAAAAGCCAAAUAUUUGAUUUUUUCUAUUCAACUAAAAAACAAACACCUCUUAAUAUUAUAUCUACACACCCACAGAAGAGGUUACCUUUAGCUUUACAACUUCAUAAUUAUUUUGAGUUCUGCAUUAGAAUCGCCCUUUUAACAAUUAUUAUAAUUAAUUAAAAUUGAUAUAAUGACGUAUUUAAUUAUAUUAAACUUGGACAAUGGUGGAUGGUUUAACAAUGAUGGGUGUCCCCUUAAUCAUUGAAUUUGUAAAGCACCACCAGCUUUUGGACGAAGGGCAUGGAGCCCAAUGGUUCCAAAAUAAUUAAUCAAGUUGAUGGGACUAGUCCCUUUCUUCUUUCAUUACUGAAAUUACAGUUCGCUCCCAUCAUCGUCCCUUCAUUUUCACUUUAUUCUGCACUCAUUUCCCAUUUUACCUUUGCCAGGGUGAAGGGUGUCACACACUUAUGGUAUUAAAGUUGCAUUAUCUGGCAUUCACAAUGACUGGUGGUGAUAAUUCACAAUUCUCUCUCGUCACAUCCAAUGGCUACUGCGAAGGAGUCCUGGCCCCACCAGAUAGAGGCACCUCCCUUGAGCUCUUUCCAUCCCAUCUCAGCCACAUUCCUCUUCAGUUAGAGAGCUUUCAUGGAGUUUUACCUCCUUCCCCUUCUGGCAUUUCUCUCCGUGAGCCUUAACUUCCAACUUUACUAAUCAAAUCAUAAACCAUGCACUACAUUAUUAUUUUACAGGAAAAUUAAGCAUGUUCUCUAUUAUGGAAAAUCAAUACAAAGCCCAGAUGAAACUAUUCUUUACAAAGCAUUUUCAAAAUAUUUUUCUGAAAAUAUUGAAAAAAGCAAUAUGCAAAUUUAAAUGGAUGGAGUUCGCAACAUGCAUGUUCACAAUAUUUGAAUAAAGGAUUGGCAGUUAGCGUGGGUCCUGUAGUUGAUUGCUAUUUUAAGAUCGGCCCACUAUCUUCCUCAAUUACUCCAUUUUAUAUUUUUCUAUUUUUGAAAGAAUCUUUACGGAUCUUCAAUAAUUAAUGAGAAGUACUAUCUUCCUCAUCCCAUUCCUCCCCCUCUCACUCUCUUUACGUCCUUAAAGUAAGUGGUACAAUAAAAAGGGAAUAAAAAGGGAAAUGGAAUUAUUGCCUUUUCAUCCAGAUGAGCAGCCACAAUCAUUUACUUCAAAAGAAUCAAAGCAUCUCUCUUUUGCAGUGAAAGACAUGUGAAAUUCAUUGAGUUUGAAUUUCAAUAAAUUUGAAUUGAAUUUGAAUUUGAAUUUACCAAUUCAAGGCAACGGGGCAAUCGUCAAAAGUGGAUUUUUCUAUUUUUGAAAGAAUCUUUACGGAUCUUCAAUAAUUAAUGAAAAUUGAAUGCGAAGGUUGGGCCACAUGCAACUUGAUCAUGCAUGGAUGCUUUUACUAUCUUAUUUAUAUAUGCCGACUUAGCCAUUAUAUAUAUCCAUCAAUUGAUUUCACUUCUUCAUACCAACGUAUAGCUUAGCCUGCGGUUCACAGCUUCUAUGGAGCUUCAUCUUCUUCCCAUUCUAACUUGCCUCUCUGUGAGACUUCACUUUUAUCUUUCCUUUGUUUUUAUUUUUCUACCAUAACUCAUUACAUGACAAGGGCAAUGCAAGUUAUAUUAUUUUGCAGAAAAUGGUACUUACAAUAAAUUUUCUUUAAAAAAUGAACAUUUUCUAAUCCAAAUUUUAAGUCUUACUGUUCUAAAAAUGGUAAUUUCUUAAUGAUUUAACAUGUAUAGUUUAACAUGAGCUUCUUGGCAGAGUUUCUUCUAUGUUAAUAAUGGUGAUGUAUUUCAAUUGGUAUCAGAGCAACAUGUUAAAUCAUUAAGAAAUUACCAUUUUUAAAAUAAAAAUGUCGAAAUGCUCUCACUUUCCUUCACCAAAACCCUCAGUUAGCCUCCUUUCGUGCGCCUGAAACACCAUGGAGGGCAUUAGGGAGGGUGGUGAUUUGGGUUUCCGGAGAGCAUGAAAUUCAGGCGCGGUUCAGGCGAGUUUCAGGCGUCCGUGCGGCGCUGGUGCACAGUCCGUGCGGUUUAGUCUGUUUUCCUUGAAAAGAGUCUGUGGAAGCCAACAUAUAAUAAAGGGAGACACACAAGACUGUGAGACCUGCCAUGAAAACAUUUUUCAAUUGAAUCCACACUUUUUAAAAAAUAAAACUCUAAUAUAUAAAAGGGUUAAAUAUAUAAUUGGAGCAAAUUUGUCAUUUAUCAUAUAAAUUUUUUUUCCAAAUACCCCAAUAAAAGAGCAAUUUUUGAAAUGUUAAAAAUAUUAAAAGUAUUUCGUAAAAUCACUAUUAAACGAGUUAUUAGAGUGCGUUUGAGAGCCCAUUUGAUAGUAAUUUUAUGAAGCGCUUCUAACCCUUUUAACACUUGAAAUUUUUUAUCAUUCAAGUGUUAUAAAUACUAUAAACAUUUUAUAGAAUUAUUAUCAAAUACAAUAUGAGAAUUAUUAUUAAAAACAUUUUUGGUUUUUUUAAUACUUGAAAGAUAAAAAUUUUGAAAUAUUAAAAGCACUCCUUAAAAUCACAACCAAAUGGAUCUUUAGAAUAUAUUAAACAAUGAUUUUAAAAAAAACUUUUAACCUUAAAAACAUUUUAAAACAAAAUUAAGUGUUUGAAAAAUUUUAUCAAAUAUUUUUAAAAAUCUUAAAAAUUACUUAAAAUAUGAAAAAAUUAGAUUUUUUUUAAGAAACCUUUGUUAUUAAUUUCCCUAAAAACACCUUUAAAGAAAAUGCUUAUAUUAAAAACAUUUUAAGACGAUGUUUUAAGAUCUCAUCUGAUAGUAAUUAUAGAAAACACUUUUAAUCUUUUUAAUAUUUAAAAAAAUUUAUUAUUUAAGUGUUAAAAAUAUUAUAAACGCUUUUUAAAAUCACCCUUAAAUGUACUCUAAAUUUAUAUAUAUAAUAGAGUUUCCAGGAUUCAACAACCACGGAUAUUAUGUUUUGGAGAGAUGAAAGAAAAUUUUGAUUUAACAUAAUACUACAAUUAUUACUAAAUGCAAUUGUUGGCUUCAAAAUCCAUCUAUUAAAUGCAACUACCACUGAUUAUUAUAGGCACUAAAAUGGAAAUGCUUUUAUUGUUUUCUCAUCCAUUUUUUUUUGUUUUUGUUUUUGACAAGAAAUCAUUUCUAAGUAAGGGGAUUCCCACACAUUUUCACAAUAUUUGAAUAAGGGAUUGGCAGUUAGCGUGGGUCCUGUAGUUGAUUGCUAUUUUAAGAUCGGCCCACUAUCUUCCUCAAUUACUCCAUUUCAUAUUUUUCUAUUUUUGAAAGAAUCUUUACGGAUCUUCAAUAAUUAAUGAGAAGUACUAUCUUCCUCAUCCCAUUCCUCCCACUCUCACUCUCUUUACGUCCUUAAAGUAAGUGGUAGGGUUGGCUUUUUUGAGUUAGAGUUGGUACAAUAAAAAGGGAAAUGGAAUUAUUGCCUUUUCAUCCAGAGGAGCAGCCACAAUCAUUUACUUCAAAAGAAUCAAAGCAUCUCCCUUUUGCAGUGAAAGACAUGUGAAAUUCAUUGAGUUUGAAUUUCUAUAAAUUUGAAUUGAAUUUGAAUUUGAAUUUACCAAUUCAAGGCAACGGGGCAGUCGUUAAAAGUGGAUUUUUCUAUUUUUCAAAGAAUCUUUACGGAUCUUCAAUAAUUAAUGAGAAUUGAAUGCGAAGGUUGGGCCACAUGCAACUUGAUCAUGCAUGGAUGCUUUUACUAUCUUGUUUCUAUAUGCCGACUUAGCCAUUAUAUAUAUCCAUCAAUUGAUUUCACUUCUUCAUACCAACGUACAACUUAGCCUGCGGUUCACAGCUUCUAUGGAGCUUCAUCUUCUUCCCAUUCUAACUUGCCUCUCUGUGAGACUUCACUUUUACCUUUCUUUUGUUUUUAUUUUUCUAACAUAACUCAUUACAUGACAAGGGCAAUGCUAGUUAUAUUAUUUUGCAGAAAAUGGUACUUACAAUAAAUUUUCUUUAAAAAAUGAACAUUUUCUAAUUCAAAUUUUAAGUCUUACUGUUCUAAAAAUGGUAAUUUCUUAAUGAUUUAACAUGUAUGGUUUAACAUGAGAUUCUUGGCAGAGUUUCUUCUAUGUUAAUAAUGGUGAUGUAUUUCAAUUGGUAUCAUAGCAACAUGUUAAAUCAUUAAGAAAUUACCAUUUUUCAAAUAAAAAUAUCGAAAUGCUCUCACUUUCCUUCACCAAAACCCUCAGUUGGCCUCCUUUCGUGCCCCUGAAACACCAUGGAGGGCAUUAGGGAGGGUGGUGAUUUAGGUUUCCGGAGAGCAUGAAAUUGAGGCGCGGUUCAGGCAAGUUUCAGGCGUCCGUGCGGCGCUGGUGUGCCUUCCGUGCGGCGCUGGUGCACAGUCCGUGCGGUUUAGUUUGUUUUCCUUGAAAGGAGUCUGUGGAAGCCAACAUAUAAUAAAGGGAGACACACAAGACUGUGAGACCUGCAUGAAAACAUUUUUCAAUUGGAACAACACUUUGUAAAAAAUAAAACUCUAAUAUAUAAAAGGGUUAAAUAUAUAAUAGGAGCAAAUUUGUCAUUUAUCAUAUAAUUUUUUUUUUCCAAAUACCCCGAUAAAAGAGCAAUUUUUGAAAUGUUAAAAAUAUUAAAAGUAUUUCGUAAAAUCACUAUUAAACGAGUUAUUAGAGUGUGUUUGAGAGCCCAUUUGAUAGUAAUUUUAUGAAGUGCUUCUAACCCUUUUAACACUUGAAAUUUUUUAUCAUUGAAGUGUUAUAAAUACUAUAAACAUUUUAUAGAAUUAUUAUCAAAUACAAUAUGAGAAUUAUUAUUAAAAACAUUUUUGGUUUUUUUUAAUACUUGAAAUAUAAAAAUUUUGAAAUAUUAAAAGCACUCCUUAAAAUCACAACCAAAUGGAUCUUUAGAAUAUAUUAAACAAUGAUUUUAAAAAACACUUUUAACCUUAAACACAUUGUAAAACAAAAUUAAGUGUUUGAAAAAUUUUAUCAAAUAUUUUUAAAAAUCUUAAAAAUUACUUAUAAUAUGAAAAAAUUAGAUUUUUUUUUUAAGAAACCUUUCUUAUUAAUUUCCCUAAAAACACUUUUAAAGAAAAUGCUUAUAUUAAAAACAUUUAAAGACGAUGUUAUAAAAAACACUUUUAAUCUUUUUAAUAUUUAAAAAAAAUUUAUUAUUUAAGUGUUAAAAAUAUUAUAAACGCUUUUUAAAAUCACCCUUAAAUGUACUCUAAAUUUAUAUAUAUAAUAGAGUUUCCAGGAUUCAACAACCACGGAUAUUAUGUUUCGGAGAGAUUAAAAAAAAUUUUGAUUUAACAUAAUACUACAAUUAUUACUAAAUGCAAUUGUUGGCUUCAAAAUCCAUCUAUUAAAUGAAACUACCACUGAUUAUUAUAGGCACUAAAAUGGAAAUGCUUUUAGUGUUUUCUCAUCCAUUUUUUUUGUUUUUGUUUUUGACAAGAAAUCAUUUCUAAGUACGGGGAUUCCCACACAUUUUCACAAUAUUUGAAUAAAGGAUUGGCAGUUAGCGUGGGUCCUGUAGUUGAUUGCUAUUUUAAGAUCGGCCCACUAUCUUCCUCAAUUACUCCAUUUUAUAUUUUUCUAUUUUUGAAAGAAUCUUUACGGAUCUUCAAUAAUUAAUGAGAAGUACUAUCUUCCUCAUCCCAUUCCUCCCCCUCUCACUCUCUUUACGUCCUUAAAGUAAGUGGUAGGGUUGGCUUUUUUGAGUUAGAGUUGGUACAAUAAAAAGGGAAAUGGAAUUAUUGCCUUUUCAUCCAGAUGAGCAGCCACAAUCAUUUACUUCAAAAGAAUCAAAUCAUCUCUCUUUUGUAGUGAAAGACAUGUGAAAUUCAUUGAGUUUGAAUUUCAAUAAAUUUGAAUUGAAUUUGAAUUUGAAUUUACCAAUUCAAUGCAACGGGGCAGUCGUCAAAAGUGGAUUUUUCUAUUUUUGAAAGAAUCUUUACGGAUCUUCAAUAAUUAAUGAGAAUUGAAUGCGAAGGUUGGGCCACAUGCAACUUGAUCAUGCAUGGAUGCUUUUACUAUCUUGUUUAUAUAUGCCGACUUAGCCAUUAUAUAUAUCCAUCAAUUGAUUUCAUUUCUUCAUACCAACGUACAGCUUAGCUUGCGGUUCACAGCUUCUAUGGAGCUUCAUCUUCUUCCCAUUCUAACUUGCCUCUCUGUGAGACUUCGCUUUUACCUUUCUUUUGUUUUUAUUUUUCUAACGUAACCCAUUACAUGACAAGGGCAAUGCUAGUUAUAUUAUUUUGCAGAAAAUGGUACUUACAUUAAAUUUUCUUUAAAAAAUGAACAUUUUCUAAUCCAAAUUUUAAGUCUUACUGUUCUAAA